RNAcentral lists this long non-coding RNA (123844 nucleotides) under Citrus maxima (pomelo). Its description in RNAcentral is "long non-coding RNA (CMAX_LNC003344)". Lineage: Eukaryota; Viridiplantae; Streptophyta; Magnoliopsida; Sapindales; Rutaceae. The record is from RNAcentral.
UCCAUGGUCAGAUGGUCUCGUCUCGUCUCGUCUCACCACUUGGUAUUGAUGCCAUGGGAAAAGAGUAGUUGGUUACUUGAUUUUUUAGACUUGGGGUGGCAUUGAAAAAGAUUGUUGAAAAGGAAUCGAGUGAAUCAAAUCGAAUUAGUUUGUCUUUCUGUACAAUACAUCCCCCAUUAUCUAGCUUAUUCAGUCUUGAGAAUUAUUAUCUGAUUUUGAUCCCCCAUUUAAACUUUUUGCCAAGACUAUCCUAGAAAUUGAUUUGUUUAUCAUUGCUUCUUGGUCCUUACGGUCUUUUAUGAAUCACAAUCAAUUUAAUCAUACAUAAAAAUACGGGUACAAGCUGGUUAGCUUACACGCUUCCUAUAUAAGAAAGGUACGGGAAUCAGAUUCAAAAUAUCCAUCCAUUCAUAAUUUAAAAAAAAAAAAAAAAAACUCCGGAAUUGAACUGAACGAGUUUCAGACAUGGCAUCGAAAUCCAAGAUUCUAUCCAUCGGCGGGACAGGGUAUAUCGGUAAAUUCAUCGUGGAAGCAAGCGUUAAAGCUGGUCACCAGACACCAGACGUUCGUGCUCGUGAGAGAAUCCACACUCUCUGAUCCCUCCAAAUCUCAACUCCUCGACCACUUCAAAAACCUCGGCGUCAAUUUCGUUAUCGUGAGUUAUCAUUUUUUUAUUUUUUUAAUUCCAUUAUUUUGACCCGUGGCAGUGUAGUAUCUACUUGAAAGACUUAGUAUUUUUAUUUUAUUUUAUUUUAUUGGGUGCCGUUAUUAUUAUGCAGGGAGAUGUUUUGAAUCAGGAGAGUUUGGUUAAGGCGAUAAAACAAGUGGACGUGGUGAUAUCAACAGUUGGUCACACUUUAAUAGCCGAUCAGGUCAAGAUUAUUGCUGCCAUUAAAGAAGCCGGCAACGUUAAGGUAUGACAUAAUUAUAAAUAUCUUGGAUCAGGAUUGUGCACUUGCGCACACGUGGUGAUUUAUUAUUGGCGUGGAGCUCGUUGUAGACUAGAGCUCCCUGUUCCGCCAAUAAACACCCGCUACAUGCACAAUUGCGCCCUCAAGAUAAUUUAAUUAACUAAUUAAUUAUAAACACCUAUGGCGUGAAUGCAACUAAAAGUAGCUGAUGUUUGUAAAUUAUUUAUUAUUCAGAGAUUCUUCCCGUCGGAAUUUGGGAUUGAUGAUGAUCGAAUCCAGGGCGCCGUAGAGCCAGCAAAAUCAACGUAUGUCGUAAAGGCGAAAAUCCGCCGAGCCGUUGAGGCAGAAGGCAUUCCGUAUACUUAUGUAGCAUCGUACUGUUUGAAUGGCCACUUCCUUCCCAAUUUGUCGCAGCCUGAGGCCACUGCCCCCCCUAGGGAUAAGGUCGUCAUCUUAGGUGAUGGAAAUCCAAAAGGUAAAAUAAAUUAAUUAAGCUCAUUGUUUUUAAUAAGAUUGUUGAAAAUAACCAUGUUUAAGGCUCCGUUUGUUUGGUAUAUGUUGCGAUGUUAGUGUUAUGGCCUAUUGUAGAAUGGAUGGUCUAGCAACUUAGUGUCUAUUUGGUACUGUUGUUGGAGAUUUUAAGAUAGAGUUUUAAGUGAUUACCAGAUACUGAACUGCCAUAUCAUGGCUGCCACACAACAAUUUCAAACAGAGCCUAAAUAACUUCAUUGCAAAAUAGUUAAAUGAAUCUAACUUAGUUUGGUCAUUUGAUUUUCAGCUGUUUAUAACAAGGAAGAUGAUGUUGCAACCUUCACAAUCAAAGCGGUUGACGAUCCGAGAACCUUGAACAAAAACCUUUACAUUCAGCCUCCCGGCAAUAUUUAUUCGUUCAAUGAUCUUGUGUCUCUGUGGGAGAGAAAGAUUGGCAAAACCCUCGAAAGGGAGUAUGUUUCAGAAGAGCAGCUCCUAAAGAAUAUUCAAGGCUAGUUAAAACUCUCACUUCUAAAUGUUAUUAAAGAAAGCCGCGAAUUUUUGCCUUAUUGAUCCUGUCUUCUCCAAAAUGUUGCAGAAGCUGCACCUCCACUCGGGAGGUUGUUAUCAAUUUAUCACUCUGCUUUCGUGGAGGGAGUUCAAACGGACUUCAAGAUUGAACCAUCGUUUGGAGUUGAAGCCUCGCAGCUUUAUCCUGAUGUCAAGUACACUACAGUUGAUGAGUACCUCAAUCAGUUUGUGUAACCCUUCUCUGCUUCCAGCUGCAGCUUGCAGGAUCUUGGACUCUGGGUAAAUAAAUAAUGGGCUUGUUGCAAUCUUUGGUUUUUAUAUGUAAAAAUUAUGGUUGUUGGCCUUACUUUCUUCUGGUUGUCAAUGGAAUUUGUAAGACCAUUUUAUGUUUGCUAUGUCAGUGAUCAAAUGAAGUAGGCCAUGUACUUGAUCUGAGAAUAAUUAUAAAGCCAACAUGGUCAGGUGAGUGCGUCUGUGGGGCUUUUAUUAGGGUGCGUGUGUGAGGCUUCUGAGGGGCUUGUGAUAUGGGGUCUACAGCCCCUAAUGGGCACGCGACUGCGUGCACUAAAUGAAGUUAUUAUAAAAAUAAUUAUAGAGUCACCAAGGCAAAAAUUAAAAGUAAUUUGCCAAUAAAAAUAGUUAAAAGUAAUAAAAAGUAGGUAUUAUAUUUCAAAAAUCAAUUUUUCAUUAAUGUUUAUAAGAUUAAAUUUGUUCUUAUCUUUCCUUAAUAAACACAAAAAUUUAUCGUUUUGGACUAAUUAAAAUUUUAAAACUAGCUAACAAGCAAACCGCCAUUAAUUUUUUUUUUUCCAUUUCUUUAAUCAUUCUUUUUUCUCUUUUUGACCUUUUUCUUUUUCUUUUCUUCAGUCCUUAUUUUUCUUUUCUUUUUUGGUUUUCCUCUAAACUCUUUAAGAAAGGCUGCCAAGCCUUGAAAAUAUCUCAAAAAAUAAGAUUUUCUUUCUUAAGAUUAACAUUUUAACCACAAAAAUAAAACUCUAGUCCAAACAUUGAGCACUUACAAAUCAAACGAUAAAAACCUCUUAUUAGUACAUUAACCGUAAAAUAAAAAAGAAUUAUCACAAAUAUUGAAAUGUUGUUGUUUGAUGCUUGAGAUUCUUGAAAUGUAUGCAGAAUUCCGACAAUAUUUUGUUGAAGCAACUCUCGGAAACUUGUUUGUUGAGAUUGAUGAAGAGUCCAUGGCAAGUAACCAGGCAUAUUGCAAUCCUUGUAAUUAUUCUGACCGAGAACAAUAAAACAAAAAGUGAAAACUGAAGAAAAUGAUAAGAAAACAAUAGAAUAAUAAUAUUAAAAACUCGCUAAUCUUGCCCAAUUUUUUUUUUUUUUGGAUAAUGUUCAGCGUAUACUAGAAUCUUUUAGAGCAGAAGCAAAACAGCAACAACUUUUCAAGAAAAGAAAAAAAAAAAGAAUUAUUAAAGAAAAUGGAAAAAAGAAUUAACGGCAGUUUAUUUGAUAGCUUUUAGAUAGCCAAAACCGGUGAGUUUUUGUGUUUUAAUAAGGAUAGUUAGGAAUAAAUUUAAUCCUCUCUAUAGAAUCAUUUAGUUACUAUGUGUCAAAAUCUCCUGUAAAGAAUAGGAAAAAUUAAAUUAGAAGAGGAUCCAAAUCAGGACUUGACUAGCUUACAGAAUCUGUAAGCUACGGACUGCAGCAUCAGCCGUUGGAUGUGGUUGGAUGUGGAGUGAGAAAUUAAACAAUAGAAGAUCGGAUGGUGGGAUGACGGGAGAUGUUUGUUACAGAAUCUGUACCAUAGACAGGUCCUCCAAAUCAUCAACAUCUUGGAAUAAACAAAAGAAUCUAAACAAAAGAAACUCGUUUUGCGUGUGAACCAGUUCAAGAUAAAGAGCAGACUAUUGGAAAGAGACAAAUACUACAAGAAUAACAAAACAUUCUACAGUUACUACAUAAGCCUGCAACAAUUAAUUAUUAACUCAAGAUUUAUUACACUUUUUCUUUAAUUUGACAAAGAAACCAAAAAUGAAAUAAAAUUGACAACAGCAAUGAUAUGCUUACAACAAUGAGUAUGAAACUUAGUACAACAAGGACCUUUUUGCUAAUUUUUUCAAAUUUUUAUGAUAUUUUAGAAUUUAUGGGUUUUAUUGAUUUUGAUAAAUUGGAGCAUUUCUCCAUUCAUCUUUUCUGCAUCUAUCCCUAAAUUUCUUAUCUUUGUAAAGUUUUAACUAUGUCUUUGUAAAGUUCUAAAUGAUUAUCUCGUUCAUAGAGAUCUAUAGUUAAAUUAAUUCUUGUAUUUAUAAUCAUUUGUCUCCUUUGAGACAUAGACCAAAUUUUUUCUUCUAACAUUCCUAUGUAUAUUCCUAAGCUAUAUUUCCAGCUUAGGUACAUCUUAUCUAGGAUUUCACAAAUAAAUUGUAAUUUGAGAUCUGCAUCUUGAAUCAACAUCACCAUAUUAUUAUUAUUAUUAUUAUUAUUAUUAUUAUCCAUUGUUUUAUACUCGAUUUUGGGUUCUAUUACUAGUCGCACUUGUCUUGGAUUAUUUCAAGGCUAGAUAGAAUUGAUUCUAUUAAUGCUAUCCUGUUUCCUUCUUCAAAUGAAUCGAAUAUUUUUGGAUCAAUAAUUCUUUUCAUUUCUUCAUACAAGUGUUUGCUUGUAAUUAAUCUAGUUUUAACUAUGGAAAUUGUAUAAGCAACUUGAUAUUCUUGACUAAAGUCUAGAUGAUCAAUUGCGUCUAGAAAUUUAUUAACAGAUCUUUCCAUUUUUAUGAAAUUGAGUUACUUUUAUCACUUCCUAUCUUAUAACAUUUCAGAAUACAAACAAGGCCCAACAUGCUUCCAUUUGUUGCUAAAAUAAAAGAAUAGAGUUCAAGAUUACUAACCAGUGUACAUUUCUCGGAAUUCUAAGAUAGAUUCACUAAUUGCCUCCAACCAUAGAGAGGUCUAUGGUUAACUCCGCCAUAGCUCCACACAUCAUAUAAGAUCACUUCAACGACUGUUACAUAGGCCCAACGCAACAUAUAGCAAACGGGCCUAAAAGAAUAUGUCUAAGUGAUUUGCUUACAGCUGUCUCUGGAAGAGUGCUUAGUAGUAGAAAAUCUUCUUCCUUUAGCACAAGUAUUGGCAUGUAAGGUUCUUGGUUAUUUUCUAAGAGUAUAUAAGAUAUCUGGAAGAUGACAAUUUCGCUCAAAAGAGUUUUAUUUAUUUCAUCAUUGAAAUUAUUUACAGAGGAUGGUUACAGAGAAUACAGGUGUAGGUGUAGGUGUAGGUGUAGGUGUAGGUGUAGGUGAAGGUUAGGCAUGUGAUGUCCUUCCCUUCUUACAUGUUUCUAUUUAUAAUCUUAAAUAGAUAAGGUUAUCUCUUUUACAUGACACUUGUUUAAUUCUCUUGGUGGAUUGUGGAUUCUUUCCUGAUAAGGUGACCCUUCUUCUUUUUAUCAUUAAAGACAGUGGUUGUCUUCUUUUCCUGGUGGUAGACAGCCUUUAUCUGGUUGUAGUGUGCUUUAUCUUUUUGGAAUCUUUCUUUUUGAAUUAUUAAUGCUUUUAGGAUAGCACCUUUUAUCUUUUCCAAUGGUUCCUGUCACAUGCCAAGUAUCAAAUCUUCCUCUAGUGACAUGUCUUCCCCACUAGAAUCCUUUUUUGAUCCUUCGUAGCAGUAGCCACAUGAUGACUGAUGUUUUAGCACCUUGCAUACCUCGUGAUGUGUCAGUAAGCUGGAUUCCACGAGAUUUUCAUAUAUUGCCUUUUUCUUUUUUGAUAUGGCCUGUCUGGCUAAAAUGCUUUCUUUUCUACUUAUAGAAAAGAUUAUAUGCUCCUUUGUGGCUUCGUGGAGCCAUAUUUUUUCCUCACUUAUCCUCUCAAGAGAUUCAUAGAGGACUUUCAUUCCUACGGCUCUUUUGCUGGUGAGAGCUUUGGGUUCGAAAAAUUCAGGAUCAUAAUCAUUAUAGACUUGAUCUAUAUCAAUAGUUGGACUAACUUUUUGCUGCUAAUUCUAACUUAAAUCAUGUGCUGUGCUACCACUUGUUUUCACCGUAUUAAGGGCAAGCAGUGAGGAUCUUGAUAAAAAUUAGUUCUUUUGUUUUGGAUAUCCUUUUGUGGUCAUUAACAGCCUCUGUAUUUUUUUCUAGGAGCUCUUUUAUUUUCCUACAAUCAUCACGGACAUAAACAAGGUUAAGAAAACCGUAUUCAAACAUGUCUUUUAUCAAUUUUGGAUAAGCUCCUAGCACAAAUUUUAUCCUUGGGUAUAACCCUGAAUGAUAUGGUAUUAUAGUCUGGUUAUGAUGAAUCACAUAAGUUAUUUUACCAAUUCUUUUAUAAUUAUAAGCGUUGUCGCUUCCUAAUGGAUUUUUAACCAUAGGAACAGACUGUCCGCUUUUAUUAUAUUGGGGCCUUAAGCUCACUGAAGACCUUUGAGAUUCUUCUUUCUUCAUAUAUUAUUCUUUGAGAUCAUUGAUUGUGAGAAAUUUCUCUAGAUGUGUGACCUUUGAGUUCUGUGAAGAACUCUGGGCAAUCUGAUCCUUAGUUUGAUCCUUAAAAUGGACCUUUUUUUAGCAUAUUACUAAUAGAUUGUUAUGAAAUUUGGACUUCUGGAUGAUUUUGCAAACUUUUCUAUAGGCAAAGUUUGCUCAAUUCUUCAUGGGCAUCAUCUAUCAUGGCAAGCCUAUUAUAAAUUAUACCAUUGCCUUUGAGAAGCAAUUCUUGACCUUCAGAGCACAUUAUUAUGCCCUUAAUUAUUUUGGAAAGACCCUUCUCCAUUGUAUUCUCGGCUAAGAAAAUUUGCAAUAGAAUUGUUAGAUCCUUUAAUAUAUUCAAUUUCAAAAUCAUAUUCAGCAAAAAAACCGUUGCCAUUUAAUUAAUCUUUUAUAUUAAGGGAGAUUAGGCAAUUUAUUAAAUAUAAAUCCUUUAACUCGAGUGUUAUCAGAUCUUACCUUGAAUUUCUUUGGUAACAAAAAAAAGUAAAUUUAGCUAUUCCAUUUUUAAUAGUUAACAGUUCAUUUUCAUUACUAUGAUAAUUCUUCUAUGCGGGUUUGAAUGUUCUGGUGGCAUAUCUACAAAUCUUUUCUUGAUCUGUUUUUAAGACUACACCCCAGUAAUUAUCUGAAGCAUCGGUCUCAAGAAUUAAAUUAUCACUAGAAGUAGGGAAUCCUAAUCUUGGAAGAUUUUUACAUUUUUCUUUCGAUUUUUUUACUACUUUGGUAUGGAGAUCUUUCCAUGAUUUAGUAUUAUUCUUUUUUAAUAAUCCUUGUAAAGAUUGUCUUUCUUUAGCUAAGUUUUCUAUGAAACCUUCAGCAUAAUUAAGAUAUCCUAAAAAUAUUUGAAUUUGUUCUUUAGAUUCUAAUUUAUUUGGGAAUAGAUAUAUUUUCCAAAAAUAUGAGGUUGCAUCUCAAUUCCUGUUUCAUCUAUUAUUAACCCUAGAAAUUCUAUCUUGAGUUUCAUUAUUUCAGCUUUCUUUUUAGGGAGUAAUAUUCCAUGUUUCUUGCAUUUCUCUGCAAAAGAAACGAGAUGAUUAAUAAGAUAUAUCUUAUUAUCUGAAAAUAUAAAAAUAUCAUCUAAAUAAACAAUGUAGAAUUCAUGAAAUUCUUUGAAGAUUUGAUCCAUCCUUCUUUCAAAUAUUUUUGGUGCAUUUUUCAAUCCAAAAGGCAUUACAAUCCAUUCAUAUUAUCCUUGAGGUGUACUAAAGGCAGUAAGUGGUAUACUUUCUACUUUAAGUUUGAUAUGUCAAAAUCCAGAUUUGCAAUCAAACUUGCUAAAUGUCUUUUUAUCGGUCACGGAGAUAAUUAAUGUAUCUUUAUAAGGUAAAAAAUAUCCAUUGAAUUUGGUAUAUUUAUUUAAUUCUUUGUAGUUAAUAACCAUGCGAGCUUUUCCUCAUUUAAUUUCUACAUGAUUUCUAACCAUAAAGGCUGGACUACUAUGAGGACUUUUAGAUUUCAAAUAAUCUUAAGUUCUAAUAACUCUUCAAUUUUUUUUAUCAAAUUCUUGUCCAUGUUCUUGCCCAUCUCUCAUAGGCUUAACUCUUAUGAUACCAUUUAGAUCUGUUAAUUCGAUCUUAGCAUAUGUUUAAUCAAUUUCUCAUAAUUGAAUUGGGUUUUCACCAAAAUUUUUAUCAAGUUUUUCUAAAAUUUUUUCAUAGUCUAACAUGAUUUGAAUGAUUUUUAUAGUGUAAUCAACACACUGACUGUGUCGAAAAUGUAAUUUUUGAGUUGUGCGCCUAACAAGGUUAUAAAUUCUCGGGGUAGUAAUGGAAUGAUUACAUGGUGUUUUGAGAGUAAUGGCUUCAUUAGUCAUUAUAUAAAUGAAUUGACGAAGGAAAUUAACUCCUAAAAGUAUAUAUGUUCCCAUAUGAUCAUAAGACCAGAAUAUAGGGAUACUUAAGAUGUAAUCUUCGAUUUGGAUUAAAGUCUUAAUCCUACAAGUCCCUAAGGUGAUCUGUUCAUCAUUUGUUCCUUAUCCUUUUAAAGGCUUAUAAUCUUUCCAAUAUGGUUUUGGAUAAAUCCUAGAACUGGCAAAACUAACUCCUAAACCAGUAUCGAUUAAAGCAUAAAACCAUUCCAGUUUAUGUUUAUAAUAUGGUAUAAUCACUUUUAUAUAAAUUAUAAAAGGAUUAGACAUAUCUUGAUAUGGUUUGCUUAAUUCCUUCAAUUGUUAUACUUAUUUCUCUAUCUCCUGUACAAUAAGGAGAGAAAUUCUAAAGAAAGUUCAUCCCUAAUAAUAAAGGAUUUAUUUCUGUUUCAUAAUAUGGUUCUAUGAAAAAAGGAAAGAUGAAUUUUGUUCCUUUUAUUUUUAAUGGUAUUUUACAAUAUUUUCUUAAUGUCUUUCUUUCUCUAUUAAAUCCUACAUAAGUAUGAGGUUCAAUUAGAAUUUUUCUUUCUAAAUAUUUAAUCAUUUUAGCAUCUACAUAAGAUUUUGUAGCUCAUGUAUCAAGGAUAGCAAAAGUCUCGUGCCAUGAUUUUCCAUUAUUAUAGUCAAUCUUAAUUUUUAGAUUUUGAUUAUUUUUUCUAAUUGUGGCUAAUAUUUCAUGUGAUGGUGGUGUCACAAGAUGACUACAUCUAGUAAAACUUUGGGUUCCUCUGAAUUUUGGUUCUCUUUUGGGUAUAGAGAAUGAUCUUUUAUGUCUUAUAAUGAUUCUUCCUUCUGGAGUAUAUUCUAUAGAUUUAGUAGUAUUUCCUUUAAUCAGAGUAGGUUGACUACUUAGAUUCAUUUUCCAUUCUUAUGAUAAAUAUAUUUCUCUCUGGAUUUCAGGAUAUUUUAUAUUUCUAACUUUACUAAAUAAUUUAUCUAUUUCAAUAAAAUAUUUAUUAGCAAACAUUUCACUAUUUGCUGAAUUUGUUAAUGCAUAUUUUAUGGCAUACAUUAUGCUAUAUGGAUAAGACCCCUCAUGCAUUAUAUCAAAGUAUUUAAAAUCAUGACAUAAGGUUAAUGUUUUAUUUAUAUUUCUAUCCCUAAGACUUAUAGAAUAUUUAGGAUAUAUCUUAAAUAUCAAUUUUUUAUAACUCAAGUUUCCUUGUAUUAUUCUAGGGACUGCAUGUUUUCGAUCUUGUAUUCUAUUAUCUAGUACUGCUAAAAUUAUUGGACUAUCUAUUCCUUCCCGAAAAUGAGCUUUUAUCAUAAACUGAAUUCCUCCAAUAUGAUCAUAUCCAAUUUUGGGUCUAUUGCUAGAUUUUAUCUUACUGAUUUUAUCUUCUAUAUCAGUCUUUAAUAAUAAUGGUAUAUUUGUAUUUCCCUUAGCAUACCUAAUUUCAAUAUGUUCUUCUCACACAGUAGCACUGAAAUACAUAACAUUUUUUCUUUUAAUCAUGGUGGCAAUUCCUAGAGCUAACUUAUUGACUGAAGUCAAGGAUGAUUCUAAUCAUUUUUUUGUUAAUCUUGAGGUAUUGUUUUUUUUUUUUAUCAAAGAUUAAUUCUUUGUUAAAAGAACCUUGUUCUUCUAAUUCUUCAUCUUGAUAUAAAUGCUUAUUAUCUAAUUCUUCUAUACUCAUUCCAAAUAUGAUUUUGAAUCUGAGCUACUUAAAGUUUCUUCAGAAAGAUAAUAUAUGCUAUCACUUUCACUAAUACCUUCACUAUCUGUGAUUAAUUCUAAAUCAUUAAAAUCCUCAAACAUUUUUAUAUUUUCUUUUUUCUUUUUAGGACAUUCAUUUGUAUAAUGCCCUUCUUCAUUACAUAACCACCACUUGCAUUCUUUAACUACAUUGGUUUUAAAUCUUCUUUUAAAUUUAUUUUUCUUGUAGAAUUUCUUCUUAUAUUUAUUUUUCUUGUAAUAUUUCUUGUUGCCUUUAAAGAAUCUCUUCUUUUUGAAUUUAUUCCUAUAUUUAUAAGUUUUAUCUGAACAUCCAAAUCUUGGUGGAUCUUCUAACUUAGAGCAAAACAAUCCUUGAUUUAGCCUUUUCAUAAGUCUGUUAUCUCUUAUUUCAGCACACCAUUCACUCAUUCUAUUUCGAGCAAACCUAAUCUUAUUUCCUAAGGUAUCAGUCUCUGUUGUAUCUUCAUAUUUGUUGUUAUAUUCUAGCAUAAUCCUUUUCUCCCAUGGGUCUGGUAUCCUUAUAAAAUAUAGAUCUUAGUAAUAGCAUAUGCUACUUUCAUCUAAUUCACAUUUAUAAUAUAAUUCUUCAAAGCUACACGUGUAUUCUUCUAAAUAACAUAUAUUACAUAUUUCAAGCCUUGUUAGUUUUAUUACAUUUUCCAUCUUUUUUUCACUUUAUUUCUUAUUGAAAACCAGUUUCUCAAUCUUCUCCUAGGAAUUUUUUUCUUAUUUCAUUUUCAAAUCUAUUUAAAACUUGAUCCAAGCUUUCAUUUUGAUUAUUAUUUUCUCCAUACAAUAUUUUAUUUUUGUUAUUAUCGUUUAGUCCCAUAAACGAAUGUGACACUAUUCCUACAAAUGAAGUUUUAAGGAAUUCUAUACUAUUAUUCCUAUCUAUUUUGUUAAAUACAAAUGCCGUUUUCAUAGAUUUAACCCAAGCGAUAAUCGUUUUAUCUCUAUCUUUGACAUAGUCUAAAUCUAACCAUACUCCAUCAUGGUUGAUUGGUCUCUCUCUAUAUUUUCCUGGAGUUUUAUAAUUUUUUUAGGCUUGUUAACCCUAAAAUAUUGAUGUUGUGAUCUUUCAUGAGCUAGUAUUUCUUCUCUAGUAUAGGAAGCUCUAUUACUAGAUUCUCCUUGUUAAAAAACCGUUGGUUUUGAUUCAUUCAUUUUUAAUUGUUCUAUUCUAUUUUCAAUAUCUCAUAAGUUAAUGAGUACAUCCUCUUCCUCUUCGGAUUUAGAUUCUUCAUUGGAUAUUUCUGGAUUGUAUAAUUCUUUUAAUCCAUUGUCUACAUUUUCACUUAGCAUCCUUAAACUUAUUAAUUUUUUAUCUUAGUUUUUUGUUAAAUAUUGUCUAGAUAUUGCUAUCAUUUCUUUAUCUUUCUUUUCGUUGUAGUAAAUUAUGGUGUCUUGUAAGGUUUUAUUUUUUUUUCUUGAAUUACCAUGAGUAAUUCUUCCAUAUUGUUAUUUAUCUUUUGUAUUUCAAUCCUUUUGUAGUUUUCUAUGAAAAAUUAUUUCUAUACACCUCUCUCCUAAUUCUAAAUAGGAGAAUAGGAUCGAUGUUUAAAUUUCUAUUCUUUAUUAUUUUGAGUUCUCCAAUUCUAAAUUCAUGAGCUCUAGAUAAAUAAAAUUGUUCUAAUUGUUUAUCAUCUAAUAUCUCAAGUUUUGAAUAAUAAUAUUGUUUAUGUUUAGUUAUGUUAUCCUUUAUAGUAUUACUAUCUACCAUUAGAUUAUAUCCCCUAUUAUUAAUAAAAUAAACAAUUGUUUCUUCCAUUUUUAUAUUUUGAACCAAAAAUCUGGUUCUGAUACCGUUUUUGCAGACAAUUUUCAAUCCUAAGAUCCAAGUAAGGAUGUAAAUGAUUAAUCUUUAAAAUCUUAUGAAUAUUUUACAAUUUUGCUUUUUUAAAACACACAGUUUUAUGCUAGGUGUUGUGCAAUCUUUUGUAAAAAUUCAUGAACCAAUACUAUAUUGACUUCUCCUAAAAUGCAUAGGUUUGUUAUGAAAUUCUAAGUGUACAACCCAAAAAGUGGGGUGAAUUGGGUUUUUAAAAAUUUAAGCAAUUAUAACCACACAAAAAUUUCAAUUAAUGUCUUAUUUGAUUCAAUAACAAUAAUUUUAACAAUGAAUAAAGUAAAGAGAUGAGGGAGAAGAGAGCAAACAUGAGAUUUUUACAUGGUUCAGCAAAACCUGCCUACGUUGACGCCUCCAAGCUCACUAUGCUUGAAGAUUUCACUAUCCAAGCAUUACAACCCUAAGGCUUCAAGAUGCUUACAAUUGAUUUCUAAGGUUUCCAUGGACCUUUACAUCCAGAGGUUCUCUCAAACCUCUUAACCAAGUGUUUCUCACACUUACAACCACUUAAUUGUGAUAUUGAAAAAAAGUUACACAAAUUUUCCACUCACACAAUAUAUGUGUUUACAACUAAAAGCCUAGAGUGUGUUUCAAUGAAAGAAUAAAAACAUUUAAGCUCAAGACAGAUUAAACAUGCAAAAGUAAGCUCAAUGCCAAUUUUUGAAUUCGUUAUUGAUUGAAUAUGAUUAAUCCUUUUGAUAGUUGGAGCUGAAAACUAGCCGUUAUUGACUUUCUGCACAAGGUCGGAUCAUCGUUAAUACUUAUCGGACUGCUGUUUUGACUUGAUCAAGUUACCGUUAGGCGAAAAUCUAAAUUUUCGGAUCACCAUUUUCGAGACAUUGAAUUGUUGUUAGUUUCUAGUAACAUUGCGAGAAAAUAGUUGGCUUACCGUUUUCAAAAUGUCAUAUCGUCGUUAGUUUCCAAAUCCAUUCGAUGUCGGUUAGCCAUUUGCUACAUUAACUGCUACAUUGAAACUAUUUUUUAAAAUUAUAUUUUUGCCAUGCUUUCUAUAAUUAUACUGUAGCCCAAAUCUUCAUAAUACUUUACAAAUAGGUCCAUUUUCAGAGUUUCAAAACAUACUUUUUAUUUCCAAAACUUUAUGAAAUUAUACUAUAACCCAAAAAUAUAUAAAAUAUUUCAAAUAGGUUCAUUUCUAGAAUUUUAAAACAAUACUUGUUGAUUUCAAAGUUCUCAAAACUUUUUAAAUUUAGAGCAUUAACUUCAAAAUAACCAAUUUCAUAAAAUCAUUUUUUUCAUUAAGAUUUAUGAAAAAUGACUUGAGCUUUUAAAUGCUUAAGCAUGCAUAUAUUUAAUCAUACUAGCUUUACAAGAAAUGUAACAAGAGAAAUCACCUAAGCUAGUACCUCUAAUGCUUGUUCUUGACUUAGUGAGCUUUUUACCUUCGUCUAUUUGAGUGCCUUGAACUUGAUCACACACACACACACACACACACACACACACACACACACACACAUAUAUAUAUAUAUAUAUAUAUAUAUAUAUAUAUAUAUAUAUAUCAUUUUAUCCUUUUAUCCUUAACACGUGGUUUGUUAUUAUCAAAACCCAAGUUCGUACAACCGCUUAGGCCAACAUGUUACUCCCAAUCAAUUGACUUCUGACAUGACUACUUCCAAAAUGGCUAGUACCAAAAGGGAAUCCUUCUGGGAUGAGAAUUGAAAAACAUGCCUCUUCUAGCACUAAAAUUACUCCUUCCACCUAUAUUUCCACUAUAAUGUCCUUAAAAUCCUCCGGCAUAUCCACCUCUUUUAGUAUUGCCUCCUAUUUGUGCAUGAUAGUAAUUAAUUAUGCCAUAGUUAUUAUGGUUAGCAAAGUUAGCACAAUUUGCAUUGAAUAUGUGUUUUUCAUUAUGACUUUGUUCAAGUCUUGCCUCUUGAGUAAGCAAUAGAGCAUACGCACCAUCAUAAUAUAACUUGCUAGCAGUAAUAAAAGUAGAUAAAUGCAGAUGGCUAGCUCCAAAACUAUUGAGAAUUUGUUAAACAUAUCUUUAUCAGAAAUAGGACUACCAACACAUGUCAAUUUAUCUGCUAUUUAUUUAAUCUUUAAGCAAUACUCUUCUAUGCUUAGUGACUUUUUUUCUCAAAGCAUUCAUCUCAUAUCUCAUUUGAAGAAUCCUACCCUCAUAAUGUUGCCUAAACUUUUUCUGUAAUGUUUUUCAUACAUCAAGUAAGGUGUUAUAAGAAUGAACAAGACCGAGAAUACCUUCAGUGAUAGAGCUGAGUAACUAGCUAAGUAAUGUGUGAUCUUGAGAUCUCCAAACAAUGAACUCAGGAUUUUCAAUCUGUUAAGUAGAUGCAGCAACUGCUCUAGCAUAGCUGAUGAAUCAAUGAAUUGAUUUGGUGCUUCAUUUUCUCUAGUUAUGUAUCCUUCGGUUUCCUCUUAUAAAAGCUAGAACUUGAUUUUGCCACAGCAUGUAAUUUGAUCAAUCGAAUGUGAUUGGAGUGAUGAAACAGAAUGUUGUUUGCAUUGAUUGAUUUGUAGAGAUUGCAAUUGAAUUUGUGCUUACAUUGCUUGAGCUUGCCAUUUUGGCUCAGAUACCAUGAAUAAAUUAUUGGAAGUUGAGUUAUAGUUGCUGUUUAACAGCUGAGAAAAUAGAGGAAAAUUCUCUGGAAAUUCUAAAUGUUUCCUAUUGAGCAAACGAAAGAUUAACAUACUAUAUAUAUACAAGUUUCUAAAUUGUUUCUAGCUAAUUUACAGUACAGCUAAUCAAUAGAUUUGAUCCAAAGUAAAACUAAUUAGUUUCACACAUAAGGAGCACGUGAAUCCAUCAUCGUUGCAUAAUCGAACAUGUUGACUUAGCUGCUGACUUGGCAUUGACAGCUGAUUUGCUUCUUUUUUGUAACUCUGGAUAGUGUGCUUUCUUCACAAGUUUCCCCAAAUCUCCAUUAUGUACAGCUUCUGCAAAAAUUUCCUAACCAAACCAUUUAUUUGUAAUUUCCUCUUGUGUUGGCCCUAUGCCAUCAUCAAGUGGUACCGUGAGAGGAUUUCCAUCUAGAUUACCCUGAUCUUUGUCUGAAUCAUAACUAGUAUGCAUAGUGUUUUCAUCCUCAUCACCCUGCGCAGCCAAAACAAAAUGCUUAACAUUACAUAUACAGUAAAACCUCUCUAUAGUCAUAUUGUUGGGAUUAAACUAAUUUUAUUAAUAUGAAGAUGUUAUAAACUUAAUGGAAAUUCAGUGACAAAUCUAUUGAUUAGCUGUGCUACUUUGAUAAUUAAUUAAUGAAGCAUGUCAAAUCUAAUGCAUUGACAUUGAUAAAAGAGGUAAACAUAUAAUUUAAAAAACUAGUACUUAUAUCUAUCAUCUGUGUAGUAUUGGGAACAUGCAAAGUCUUCUUAUUGAAAAUCUAAAGAAUAAAUUAUUAUCCAAAAUAAUUUCAGAAAAAUAUUAUAUUUCAUCUUAAAUCUUUCAUGUAACAUAGCAAAUUUUUUUUUUUUUUGCUCAAUAUACAUAUUAGUAAUACUGUGUGGAUGCGUGUUCCUUAAGAUAUGCUCUAUAAAAGUUGUUAACUUAUUACAAUGUGAAGUUUGUUCUUAUUUAUAAUUGGCUUAAAGCAGGAAUAAGAUUUUUUGUGACUAUUGGACGUUGUUCUUAUAAAAUGUAUCACUACAGAGAGAUUUUAUUAUAAUUCUAAACCGAGAAAAGAAAGUGUAAUCCUAAUAAAUCACCAUCGAUUAGAGCUAUAAUGAAUUAAGCUUUACAAAGAAGAAGAAGAAAGAUUACAAUGUGAAGGCAACAAGAAUCAUGACAAAGUGAGAAAAAGAGAGGCCACAUAAGCCCCAAGGGAAAUUGAGAUUUUAUAACACAGCCUAAUUGCAGAAAGCAUAGGCGAAAAACAGGUGCUUGAUUGCAAACAUGCACACGCGCGCGCGCACACACAAUUUGACCACAAAGACCGCAUACCUUUGAGAGUUGGUCCUCUGGGGCAUAGGCAUUUUUCGCACGUUUUCGUGCUUCCUCCUUUUAUGGCCACGUAGUUUUCGUAAGCUUGAUCAAGAAACUCCUCCAAUUGUUCAUCAUACCUAACACCAAAAAAAUGUCAUAAGAUCACAAAGGCAUAAGUUGAUAGAUAUAUUUGUCAAGAUAAUGCGACAGAAGAUAUAGGUAGAAAAGAAUUACUUUCUGCAUUCUUUAUCAGAGUCACUGUCACUGGACAAUUGCUCUUGAGUGUCUCUAUCGGGUCUCUCAUCUUCACAGCCCUCUGCAGUAGCAUUCUCAUCAUCAUCAUCAUAUUCAACAGCAGCAAGAUCUUUUUUACCCUAAACCGAUCAUUCAAGUUUAUAAAAGAAUGAGAUACUUGCCUUAGACCACACUUUUGAAUUGGAAAAAACUAAUAAAUCAAAAUUGCAACUAAUAUUGUCCUACCCAGCCAUUUUUCAUUUAUCCUGAUGUCAAGUACACUACAAUCGAUGAGUACCUCAGUCAGUUUGCGUAACCCUUCUCUGUUGAGUUGUAGCUUGCAGGAUAUUGGGAAAUAAAUAAUUGGCUUGUUGCCAUCUUUGGUUUGUAUCUGUAAACAUUAUGGUUGUUGGCCUUACCUUCUUUUGGUUUUCUAUGGAAUUUGUAGCACCAUAUUUUGUCCACUAUGUCAGUACACCAGUGAUUAAACAAAGUAGUCUCAUGUGCUUGAUCUAAAAAUAAUUAUAAAGUCACCAUGUGGUUGAUCUAAAGAUAAUUAUAAAGUCACAAACACAGAAAAAUUAAAAGUAAUUCAUAAACAUUUGUCAUGUGAAAUUUACUUAAUGGAAGAGAAAUUCUAGGAAACAACUUUAUGGUGAGAAAACUCUAAAAAUCAAACCGAAAGAUAUAUAAUAAAUAAUUUUAUAAGAAUUAGGCUAUGUUUCAAAUAAUAUCACAUAUAGUAAAUUUAUGAGUUGUCGCUCAUCAUAACUCAAUUGUUUCACAUAUUGUAAUUCUUUAAUUUUGAAUAACAACAUAUGUUUCAUAAGAUUUAAAAUGGUAUGACUCAUUUUAUAAUAUUUUUAACUGAAUUGAAAUUCUGCAACUAUAAAAAUUGAAAAGAAUGAACUUGGCGGUAUUACGCUUAUAGUAUUGUUUCUUAUGGUGAACCAAAAGCAAGCCAAAAUUACGCUUACAUCAUCUUACUCUACCGUAAAACUUAUUUAUAAUCAUAACGGUAACACUAAAUUAAUUUUAUUACUGUGAGAGUUUAAUAUUUAAUAGAGGUGUAGUUACAAAAAUUAUUAUUUUAACUUAAUUAUUUUUUGUGCAAGUGAUAUAGCGAUAAAAUAUGCACUAUAUUAAUAACUAAUUAAUACAGCAUGUCAAAUUCAAUGUACUAACAAUGAUGAAAAAGAUAGGCAUAGUUUGAAAAAAACUAGUACAUAUAUCUUUAUAGUGCUGGAAUUAUGUAAAAUCAUCUUGAAAGUCUAAAGAAUAAAUGAUUGUACAAAAUAAUUUUAGAAAAAUAUUUUACUUCAUCUUAAACCUUUAACAUAAUAAGGGAUAUAUUUUUUACAAUAUACCGAUAAUUAUUACUAUUAGAGGUAACUUUCUUAAAACCGGAUUUAAAAAAAUUAUAAUUUAUCAUAAUAUAGAGUUUAUUCUUAUUUAUAAUUAUUAGGCUUGAUAAUCGACUGGGUCGUGUUUGGGCCAUGCCAAGCUCUAGCCCAACUAGGGGUGGCAAAACGAAUAAACGAAUCGAAUUUGAAUCGAAUCGUAAACGAAUUGGGUCAAAAUUAUAUGGAUUCGGAUUCGAUUCGUUUAUUAAACGAAUUGAAAUUUCAGGAUUCAGAUUCGAUUCGGUUAUUAAACAAAUAUUCGGUUCAAUUCGUUUAAUUCGUUUAAUAGAAUUGAUAAACGAAUCGAAUCGAAUCCGGAUUCGUUUAUUAUUCGCUUAUCCUUUACGAAUCCAUAACGAAUCGAAUCGAAUCAGGAUUCGUUUACAAUUCAUUUAGAAAAAUAUAAUUAAUAAACAAAAUUAAGCAAAAAAAACACAAAUUUAAUAUCCCACAACAAAAUACAAAUAAUUCAAAUCAUAUUAUACAGUCAUCCAAAUACUAAAUUACAAAUCCUUAAUAUUACAAAUAACAAUAAUUCAAAUUCAAAUUAUAAAGAAAUGUAAUUUCUUUAAUUCUCUUCAUUUGUCUUUGUCGCCUUGAAAACAAAAAUCCUACACCAAAAAGUAAAUAAAAUGUUAUUAACAUGCUGCAAUAUUGAUAAUAGUCAUUGUAAAAUUUCAAAAAUCAAAUAUAUAGCAAAUUUGUAGCAUUUUCAAGAAAAUAAUAAUUAAACAAGAUAAAAACUUUACCUACCACACUCACACACUGUCAUUUGGAUCAUUGGCACUCUCUGCAGAUGGAGCACAAUUAGUGCUCAUGUUCAUAAUGUUUUGAGUAAGUUGGUCCACAGUGACAUCCAAAUUUUCUACAAUAAUUUUAUAAAAAUAAAUCUUAAUUAGAAACAAUUGCACAUAAUAUUAUAAAAGAAAAGUAAAUAAAUUUUAUGAGCAAGUUUUACCAAUCUCUCCAAACUUCCAAUCUCUAGUAGUAAUAAUUGCUUGAACUAUCUCUAGUAGUAAUAAUUACUUGAACUGUCUCUGGCUUCAAUACACUUCAAAAUUGAUCAAGAACUCAACCGCCAAACAACAACAAAACAACAGUAAAACAGCAACAAAAUAGCAGCAAAAUAGUAGUAAAACAACAACAAAAUAUCAGUAAAAUAGCAGUAAAACAACAACAAAAUAGUGGAAAAAUAACAAAAAAAAUGGUAGCGAAACAGCAGCCAAACAACAGCAGUAAAACAGCAGCGAAACAGCAGUAAAACGACAGUAAAAUAGCAGUAAAUCAGCAACAAAACAACAGCAAAACAGUAAUAAAACAGCAACAAAACAGCAACAAAACAACAGCAAAACGGUAAUAAAACAGCAAUAAAAGGCAAAUUUUCAGUGGUGUACCGUGAUGGUGGGUAGUUAGCGCGGCGGGAAGUGGUGCUGGGGAUGAAAACCUUCAAAUUUUAAAAAGCUUUCAAAUAAAUUUAAGGAUAAAAAAGUAAUUUAAUUAAACGAAUAAUAAACUAAUCGACCCGUAUUCGAUUGGUUUAUGACCGAUUUAUUAAACGAAUAAACGAAUCAAAAUUUUCAAACCUGCAUUCGAUUCGUUUAAUUAACGAAUCGAAUCGAAUUCACCCAUUUAUUAAACGAAUCAAUUUUUUCAAACUCAAACCCAUUUAAUUUGCAUCGAAUCGAAUCAAAUAAACGAAUCCUGACCCAUAUUGCCACCCCUGCCCAACCCUAUGAUUAAAAUGAAGGACUCUAAUACUAAAAAGCUUGACCCUUCAAACUAAAGAACAACCUGGCUUUAAUAAUUUUUUUAUAUUUUAUUUUUUUUUUUAAGAAUAUGACUCCUAUUCUUCAUUCUUUAGUAAUAUUAUUAUUAUUAUUAUUGUUCCUUUUUUUUGUUGGAUUUGUUUGUAAGGAAUUUAAUAAAUUAUUUUUUAUUUAACUUAACAACAAUAGAACGUUUAACAAUCUAACAAAAUUAAUAUAUUAACCAAGCAAUAGGUAAAUAAAUCAAAUACAAAAUAACAAAAUUAAUAUGAAAUAGAGAUAAAUAUCCCUAAAGUGUAGUUGUGACCAUCUAUGUGUAUGUGUGUUUAAUAAUAUUUUUAUUUUAAAAAUUAAUUUAAAGAUCAAGAGUUGAGUUAAAACAUUUUGGUAAAACUUUAACCCUAACCCAAAUGUAAUUAGGUCCUGAUUCCUUAAGCCCUAACCCAACGUUUAACCUUUCAAAUUCGAGUCAAAACCAUUAAAAUUAAGAUCGAAUCAAUCAAGUCGAGGGUCGGAUAAAACCUUUUUGUCAUCCUAAAAAUUACCCUAAAUUAAAAUCAAAAUUUUUUAAAAUUAUAUAAAAAUUAUUCUUAUACACAGUAACAAUAUACGACCCAACAAGAAAUGAACCUGGACGCAUUAGGGCUUUGAUCCACAAACAAACUUUCAAAACCCUCUUAGACCUCAAGAGCAUUUUAGUCCAUUUAAUCAAAAGUAAAAGUGCGGCUACCAGCUAACUCUCCGGAAUUGAACUGAACGAGUUUCAGAAAUGGCAUCGAAAAGCAAGAUUCUAUCCAUCGGCGGGACAGGGUAUAUCGGUAAAUUCAUCGUGGAAGCUAGCGUGAAAGCCGGCCACCCGACGUUCGUGCUCGUGAGGGAAUCCACAGUCUCUGGUCCUUCCAAAUCUCAGCUCCUCGACCACUUCAAAAACCUCGGCGUCAAUUUCCUUGUCGUGAGUUAUCAAUUUUUUUUUUCAUUUUUUUAAUUCCAAAUUUUGACACGUGGCGGUGUAGCCUCUACUUGAUAGACUUGGUUUUUUUUUUUAAUUUAAUUUUUGUGGGUGCUGUUAUUAUUAUGCAGGGAGAUGUUUUGAAUCACGAGAGUUUGGUGAAGGCGAUAAAACAAGUGGACGUGGUGAUAUCAACAGUUGGUCACACUUUAAUAGCCGAUCAGGUCAAGAUUAUUGCUGCCAUUAAAGAAGCCGGUAACGUUAAGGUAUGACAUAAUUAAUGUAAAUGUCUUAGAUUCCGAUCAGGAUUGUGCACUCGUGCACACGUGGUGAUUUAUUCUUCGUGUGGAGCUCGCUGUAGAGUAGAGCUCCCAGUUCCGCUAAUAAACACCCGUCACAUGCGCAAUUGCGCCUCAAAAUAAUUUAAUUAAUUAAUUAGGUAUAAACACCGAUGGCAUGAAAGCAAUUAAAAUUAGUUGAUGUUUAUAAAUUAUUUAUUACUCAGAGAUUCUUCCCAUCGGAAUUUGGAAAUGAUGUUGAUCGAGUCCAUGGCGCCGUGGAGCCAACAAAAUCGACGUAUGACGUAAAGGCGAACAUCCGCCGAGCCGUUGAGGCAGAAGGCAUUCCGUACACGUACGUAGAAUCUUAUUUUUUUGAUGGCUACUUCCUCCCUAAUUUGUUGCAGCCUGGGGCCACUGCCCCCCCUAGGGAUAAGGUUGUCAUCUUCGGCGAUGGAAAUCCAAAAGGUAACAUAAUUUAAUUAAGCUCUGUUUGUUUGGUAUGUAUUUCGGUGUUAAUGUUAUUGUCUGUUGUACAAUGGAUGGUCUUGCUUGGUACUGUUGUUGGAGAGCUGCAGUGUUUUGAUAAACACCUCUAUCCUUAGCUUUCAAGUUAAGUUGAUUUUAUACAACACUUGUUUAAUUAAAAACUUGUAAUAUUCUUACUACUUUGAUAAAAAAAAUAUUACGAUUAAAGUAUUAAUGGCACCAUAAUACGAAGUGAAUCUUAAGUGGUCAUUAUAGAUUUUAAGAUAGAGUUUUAAGUGAUUACCAGAUACUUUAGCUGCUGAACCGCCACAUCAUGGUUGCCACACAACAAUUUCAAACAGAGCCUAAAUAACUUCAUUGCAAAACAGUUAAAUGAAUCUAACUUAGUUUCGUCGUUUGAUUUUCAGCUGUUUUUAACAAGGAAGAUGAUAUUGGAACCUACACUAUCAAAGCGGUUGAUGAUCCGAGAACCUUGAACAAAAACUUUUACAUUCAGCCUCCCGGUAAUAUUUACUCAUUCAAUGAUCUUGUGUCUCUGUGGGAGAGAAAGAUUGGUAAAACCCUCGAAAAGGAGUAUGUUUCAGAGGAGCAGCUCCUAAAGAAUAUUCAAGGUUGGUUAAAACUCUCUUUUUUAAAUGUAUUAAAGAGAGCCGUAUAUUCUCUGCCGUAAAUGUUAUUGAUCCUGUCUUCUCCAAAAUGUUGCAGAAGCUGCAUCUCCACACAAUUUUAUAUUAUCAAUUUAUCACUCUGCUUUCGUGAAGGGAGUUCAAACUAACUUCAAGAUUGAACCAUCUUUUGGAGUUGAAGCCUCGCAGCUUUAUCCUGAUGUCAAGUACACUACAGUUGAUGAGUACCUCAAUCAGUUUGUGUAACCCUUCUCUGUUUCCAGCUGCAGCUUGCAGGAUCUUGGACUGUUGGUAAAUAAAUAAUUGGCUUGUUGCCAUCUUUGGUUUUAUAUGUAAAAAUUAUGGUUGUUGGCCUUACUUUCUUCUGGUUGUCCAUGGAAUUUGUUAGACCAUAUUAUGUUUGCUAUGUCAGUGAUCAAAUGAAGUAGGCCAUGUACUUGAUUUGAGAGUAGUAGUUAUAAAGCCAUCAUGAUCAGGUGGGUGCGUAGGUUGGGCUUCUAUUAGGGUGCGUGUGUUGGGCUUCAGGGGCUUGUGAUAUGGGUUCGACAGCCCCUAACGGGCAGUCAUUAUAAAAAUAAUUAUAGAGUUACAAAUCUAUGUAAAAAGCAAAAAUUAAAAGUAAUUUAUCAAUAAAAAUAAUUAAAAUUAAUAAAAAGUAGGUAUGAUAAUUCAGAAAUUAAAUUAAAGAUAGAAUUCUAAAGAGUUGGAUAAUCCUCCAACUAAACUAAAGAUCUAGUACUUUUGAGAGCAAAUUUAAUUAAAGAAAAGGAUAAGGAAAAACAAUAGAAUAAUAAUAUUAAAAAAUUGCAAAUCUUGGUCUUUUUUUUUUACGAUGAUGUUGAAUUCUUAUAAAUUUAAUCUUAUCUAUAGAAUUAUUUAGUUACUGUAUGUCAAAAUUUCCUAUAAAGAUGAAGAAAAAUUAUAUUAGGAGAAGAUCCAAAUCCGUUUAACUGAUGCAUCAUCGACAACAUGAGUACAACAUUUUCGAAUAAACAAAAGAAACUCGUUUUAUGUGUGAACCAGUUCCAAAAUAAAGAGCAGACUAUUGGAAGGAGACAAAUACUACAAGAAGAACAAAACAUUCUACAAUUCCUACAUGAGCCCGCAACAAUUAAUUAUUAACUCGACAUUCAUUACACUUUUUCUUUAAUUUGACAAAGAAACCAAAAAUAAGAUAAAAUUGACUAAGAAAUAAAAAAAUGACAAAAAUCUUUUUGAAGUUUUGCCAGUUCAGCCAUGCACGCUUAUCUUUAUUCACUUGUUUCCUUUCUUUCCUUUCUUUCCUUUCUUUCCUUUCUUUGCUGAAGCCUUCACAGAUCCUUUACCUUUCUGAGCCUUGCCAAUUUUCCCCUUCUUCAAACCACCUGGCCUUGCUGGAUCCACGUGUCCUUGCAUCCUUUUUCAUUCGUGGAUCAACAAGAAUCUCCCCCUUUCCAGCUCUCUCUUGAACUCCUUGCUUUGCGACCAUGUAUUCUUUGGUAGGCCUUUUGGGUAUAGUUGUCUUGUAUAAUUGUUCAAUUUGAUUCCUCUUCGAACGAUCAGAGAUGUCCGCUUAGUCUGAUAUGACAUUUGCCUUCUUGCGAACCUUCUCAAGAUUUCGCAUGGCAACCCGUAUCUUUCGAGCUUUGGUCUUAGCCACCUUCUUGGCAGUAUGGGUGGGCGAUUCGAUUUUGGGAUAAACUUUUGGUUUCGUAUCGGUUUAGAUUAAAAAAUAAUAUAAAAAAAUAUUUAGAUUUUAAGGGAAAAAAUCCGAACCGAGACUCACCUAUCGAUUUUGGCUCGGUUUCAGUUCAGUUUUGAUUCUCCUAAUAGUUUUAUUUUGCCUUAUUGACUUCCGGUCAAUGACACUUUUGAAAAAUUUACAAAAAAAAAAAAAAUGGCCAUAACAAAAUUUCUAAAUGCAAAUAUUUCCUAAACAUUAGGCUAUACUAAAUUUUUUUAAAAGGUAGGGAUCCAAACGAUAUUAUCCCUCUACUUCAUCUUCAACCUUCGUCACUAGGGAUGGCAAAAUUCAGGUUCGGGUUCGGGUCCGGGUUUAGCCAUUCGGGAUCCGGACCCGGAUGAAUAUUUUCUGUAUCGGACCCGAAAAUAAACCCGCAUUUUUCCACUCCGAGUCUGGUACGGGUUCAACCCGAAAAAAUUCGGGUUCCCAGACUGCGGGUUUCCAACCCGAAUUGAUGAAUCCAAUUGAAAAAAAAAAACUAAAUUCAACUAAAAAAAUCAAAUAGAAAUACAUAUCCAGGAUUUUAGCAAAUCAAAGAAAAAUUAUUUCAUCUGGAAACUAAUUAACAAAAACAACAAUUUUGUUUGGCUGCCCAGAAUCAGCAACCCAAUGUGGCGGCUCGUUCAAAACAUUAGUGUUUUCAACAGAUUUUGGGGUAGGAAAAGCCAAACCUAUCUAGAACAAUGAAUUUGUAUUUUUGGGGGAGAUGAGAUACCUCACUGGUUUGUUGUGUGCGGUGCAGUGUAUCUGAAAUUUGGGGGAUGUGAGAAGGGGAGAGGGAGUGGUAACAAUGGUGAAAGGUCAAAACCAAUAGAGAUGUCCUUCAAAAUGAGCUUCACACCUGUAAAACAGUGAAAUAAAGGUUAGAGGUGAAGCCGGGAUACCCCGGUGUUCACACUCCGAUGCUCAAGUUAGCAAACUCAAGCUUUUAUGACAAAGAGAACUGGCUAGCCCUCUGUAAAUUAGGGUUUAAGGUUCAAGGAAACCUAUUUUUUGGAAUGUGAGUGUUAAUGGUGAGUGAGAGACCUCUUCGAGAAUGAAACAUAGGCGCCUUUAUAUAUGGAGUACCUCAGCUGCCACAUGACGUACCCUUUUUUGGCUAACGUCAUUUUUCCUUUUUAUGAUUUUUGGGUCGUUAUGUGCAUGUUCGCGGGGUAUCUCAUCUUUUGGAAACGUGGCGCGCGCUGGAGAGUGGUCCAGGGUACCUCUGCAGUAGCUGUCGGGUAGGCAGCUGAAGACCACUGUCCUUGGGACAAUGUCCUUCACUUUUGGUAAAGGUGACAGGCGGUUGUCCCCCUUUUUAACACGACAUUUUUUAUUCCUAAUUAUGACAAAAUCGAAUAAUAUCUUUUAAGAGAUGGAGACGUUUCUCAUGGUGGAUAUUUUCAGAGGAUUCUCUUGCAUCUGAUCAGCCGGGUUCCUCCAGUUAUGCAGGGUACCUCUAAUUUUACGGGGUACCUCUAUUUGCGCAGGGUACCUUGAAUCAUGCUAGGUACCUUAGAUUAUGCGGGGUACCUCAUAUUGUGUGGGGUACCUCUAAUUGUGCGGGAUACCUCUAUUUGCGCUAGGUACCUUGAAUCAUGCUGGGUACCUCAGAUUGUGCGGGGUACCUCUAUUUGUGCAGGGUACCUUGAAUCAUGCUGGGCACCUCAGAUUGUGCGGGGUACCUUUAGUCAUGCGAGGUACUUUUAAUCAGGCCAGGUACCCUCUAAUUGUGCUGAGUACCUCUAAUCAUGCAGGGUACCUCUAAUCAUGCGGGGUACCUCUAAUCAGGCCGGGUACCUCAGAUUGUGCGGGGUACCUCUAUUUGCGCAGGGUACCUUGAAUCAUGCCGGGUAUCUCAGAUUGUGCGGGGUACCUCAAAUUGUGUGGGGUACCUCUAAUCGUGCGGGGUACCUCUAAUCAUGUCGGGUACCUCGGAUUGCACUGAAAUUAUUCCAUUCGUUGACACGUGGCGUUAUGCUAUCUUUCUUAUUUUUCCCCCAAACAACAUCCCUCUAGUUUCUUUUGGCAAGAAGUUUUGGAGGCAAAAGAAACUUACAUAAAAAGUAGGAGCGACACGUGGCGAUAUGAUGUUUAGCUCGAUGGAUAACUAAAUAGAGGGCGCCUCUAGGGGUACCCUGAGAACCCAAAAAGGGAAGAUGGGCUCCAUUUCCUCGGAAAUGGCUACCACUUUGGACAUGUUGGAAAUGAUAGAGCUAAUUGAUCAAAAAAAUUUCAUCUAUUUCUGGGGAAGAACACCAAAUACGGGUAGAGGGUAUCGUUAGGGUACCCCACCAUUAUCCAUAGUUUGUUUUCUAGUGACUGCCAUGUAUAAAUCGCUCUGGUGAAGGCUUCAAUACAUUCUUUGGGCAUUUAAGAAGCAAUUAUUUGAUUAUCUCGGGAUCCACCUUAUUUAAGGGUAUAUUUCCUUCAUGUGCUUCGAAGAAAAAAAUAAAAUCACAGGGCCUUCUUCCUUGUAACUUCAGAGGUACCAUCGACAGAAGAACAUAGUCGACAAUGCUUUUAAGCGUAUCAUGAUCGAGGAAUGGAGUGCUGAUCUGGGGUUGGUGGUGCCAAGAGUGGAGAAGAUGGUAGAUGAACCGGCUAUCUUGAAGGCGAUUAAUGAUAGCGGGGCUCCCAACACAUCUUGGUCUGAAAGCCCAUUGAGAUCAGCUGAGGUACCUCAGAUGAGGUAUCUAUAAGGUACCCCUGAUACUAACCCUUGUGUUUUUGCUACUUUUAGCACUUUAUUGAUCCCUUCAUCCUAAGGGAUGAAGUUGAAGAUAAAUAUCCUGUUGUAUAACCUUGUUCGACAUUACUGACAAGAUGUAUGGGGUACCUUGUUAGCCUAUAUGGCUAUAAAUAUUGAUUUUGAUGAUAACAAACCACAUGUAUUUAUUGAGUAAAGAUUUAUGAAUUGUGCUUUUAUAAUGAGAAAAUGAUGUUAUGGAAUUAAAUCUUUUUGAACUAAAAUGAAAGUAAUUUUAAAAUCUUUGAUAGUAUUUUAAAUUUCGGAUUUGUACAUAUUUGAAACUAUUUAAAUGUUUUUAGGUCAUUUUGUAAUUUCACAAAGUUUGGGCGAAGUCAUAAUUUCAUAAAGUUGUGGGAUUGAGAAAGCAUUAUCUAAAAUUAUGAAAUUGGACAUAUUUGCAAACGUUUAUAACGUUUUGGGCCAUACCACAGUUUUAUAAAGUUUUAGGGUCAAAUUGAAAAUAUUAGAAAAUUUUCACUGUAGCAGGUUACUGUAGCAAGCAGCUUACCGGAUUCAGAAAAUCAGAAAUCCGGAUUCGAGGCAGUAAGCAUCCAGAACCAAAACGGCUUACCGGAUUCCUGAAUCCGGCAAACCGGUUAGGCAAAAUUUUGAAUUUUGCCUUAACGGUAACAUAAAUCCGGCUUACCGAAUUCUAUAAAAUGGCAAACUGGAUAGCCUAGAAUGUGAGUAACGGCUAGUUUUCGAGCUCAAGCUAUAAGAACUCAAAUCCAACUCAUUUUGAAGCUCUCCAACAAGCAAGAACAAAAAGCACACGUGAUAUCUUGAGCCUUCAACUUGUAAAACACAAUUCAUUGAAUCAUUCAUUGUUCUUCAUCUUUGAAUAUCUACUCAUUGAGUGAGUUUCAUUGUAUCUUUCAUUUCUUCAAUUCAUUUGUAAGAGUUUGAGUGUGUGAGACACUUGAGUGAAGAGAUUGGGAGAUAAUCUCUUUGUUGUAAAGGUUUAUUGACACCUCGAAGUCAAUUGUAAUCGUUGAAGCCUUGGAAAGGCUUGGAUAGUGAAAUCCUCGAGCUUGGAUCGCUUGGAGGCGUGGACGUAGGCGGGGAUUACCGAACCACGUAAAAAUUCGUGUGUUUGUUUCUCUUCUCCCUUACUCUUUAAUUAUUGUACCAUUAUUGAACUUAUUACUUUCAAUUAUUGUUAAGACAUUAGAUUGCUUGUUGUGUGGAUUUGUUAGGAUAAUUUUUAAAAAUCCAAUUCACCCCCCUCUUGGGUUGCACACUUGUAUUUCAUACCUCAUGUACCCUAAUGCUUGGAUAUCCCUUGAGCUAUCUGUUACUUCAUGGCGGAAUAACCCAAUUGCAUCAAACAUAUGGCGAUUCUUCCAGAUAUGCUUGUCGCUUAUCUUAAGCUUUCUUAGGGUUCCUCCUGGUGUAUCUGAGGAAUAGCUUUCUGGCGUGGGGUACCCUUAAUCAGCGUAUGGUGAUUUUCAUAGAAAUGCUUGCCGCAAAUCUUCACAAAACUUGUUGCGGUUGCUUUUGAGAGAUUGUGCGGGGUACCUUGAAUCAUGCCGGGUAUCUCAGAUUGUGCGGGGUACCUCAAAUUGUAUGGGGUACCUCUAAUCGUGCGGGGUACCUCUAAUCAUGUCGGGUACCUCGGAUUGCAGUGAAGUUAUUCCAUUCGUUGACACGUGGCGUUCUGCUAUCUUUCCUAUUUUCCCCCAAACAAUUAGUAAAGAGAGCUAAAGAACUAGCUUUAGUUACGAGCAGAAAAUCAGAAGUCAAGGAGCAGCCAAAGCACUUUUAAUGGUGAUGGUAAAACUAGAGAGGUAAUGCAAAUAAGUUUACGUUGAUUGGAUAUUCAGAAGAAGUAAUACGCCAUUAAAAGCAACAAGUUUUCCAAAAAGCCAACAAAGACAGAGACCACCACACCACCCCGCACUGGAUGAAAAACGAUGAAAGCAUGAUAAGUGGCAUCGAGUAAGCCACGUUCUCUCUCUCUCUCUCUCUCACUCGCACUCGCACUCGCACUCGCACACACUGUUACUAAAAUGACCAAAAAUAAGAUUCCCAUCAAAAUAUUUUCGAGUAUCGUUCUUGAAAGUGGCGGCGGCUGAUGAUGAUGAACACAGCCGCGAUUGCGAUUGGCGAAGGCGGCGUUCUGCCCGUAUCACAGCUAGUUAUCGGUCGCGGCAGAAAAGAUAAUGAAACGACGGCUGAUGAUGAUGAUGAUGAUGUUGAACAGCCGCGAAUAUGGGUAAGUGAUGCGACGAUGAUUUGAUUUGAUGAAGAUGAGCUGAACAUGGAAUAAGAGAGGAAAUGUUUGUGCGGCUGGGAAAGUGUAAUGAACUGCUAGGGCACCAUUUGGGUUUUUUUGCUUUCCUAUUUAUAUUAAAAAUAAUUUUUAAAAAUUAAUAUAUAUCCGGGUUCGGGUUUUGGAUGUACGGGUUUACCUAGACCCGGACACAUGCGGAUUCAGCAGCACCGACCACCCACAGACUUGGAUUUGAUUACAAAGUUGGGACUUAGGAUUUGGGUUUGUGGCUGCCGAAACAGAAAGUGAGAGAGUAGAAAGUAGAGACUGAGAGUGGUGCAAACAUGUGUAAUUUUGUGUGUGUGUCUAUAUAUAUAUAAUGUGAAAUUACAAAAAUGCCAUUAUAUCAGUUCAAUUCGAAUUUUGUAACUUGUGAUCCGAAAACUGAACCAAACCGAACCAUUUGGUUUGGUAUUUAUAUAUUCAGGUUUUUAAUUUAAAAAAACUAAAUUGAAAUUGAAAGAACUAAACCGAACCGAAUUUUUUUUUUUUUUGUUUCGAUUCAAUUAUGCCCAUCCCUACUUAGUAGGCUGGGUAUCAAUUUCUUUGAAUUGUGCUUUCAUUGCAGUAAUCUCCUCCUUGGUAAUAGGUUUAAUUGCUUGCUGAUGCCACCUUUCCUCUAGUAACAACUAGUCUAACAAGCCAUCAUCGUCAAACAUGUACCUAUUAUAAGCAUCAUCCAGAAUUUGCUCUCUUUGCUUUUUGCUUAGUGUCUUCUUUGCACAAGCUAUUAUCUUAGCUUUUGUAUCAAUAUCUUUAUCUUUUGAUUCACCAGAGGAUGAAUCAUCACCGGAAUAGAGUGGUGAAGGCCCCAUAGAUUAGUGUGAUCAAGUUCUAGUGUAGUUUUGGUUUUGAUUUCAGUAUUAGGAAAAUGAAGCCUAUGAAAUUUACCAAGCUAACAUGCUUCACAAAAGUGCUUUAAUACUUGACUAUGAAUACUUGAAGAGGAUAAAUGAGGAUAAAUAAAUUUAAAUAUACAUUAGAUUUUGAGGGUUGGGAUGUCAAAACUUUUGGUGAAAAAGAGUUAGUACAAGCAUUUUUAUUGAGAUUGAAAACAUUUCUUAAGAUGAUCAAUACUAGUUACAAAAUUGGAAUGAAAAAAAAAAGGCAACAUAGACAAAGGUUUGUUUAUUUGAUUGUAAGAUAGAAAAGACUUGUAUUUAGGUUGUGGAAAGGAUUUGAGCAGCAAUUUAUACAACCUUUUCUCAGCAAAACCUUCCUCUUCAAUGAAUCCUUCACAAAACAAAUAGAUCCAAGAAAUUCGACAAAUAAAUUGUUGUCAAUGGUAAGUUUUGAAAUGCUCAAUAGAUUCUUUGUAAUGGAUGGAACAAACAGUACAUCCUUAAGUAAAAUAUGUCUUAUAUUAUCUUUUUUUAAUUCUUUUUAAAAAAAUAAGUGAAUAAUAGUAUGUCAAUCUCAAAUAUCAAUAUGUACAAUUUUUAUUUGUGUAAGAAUUUGCAUCCAAUAAUCAUCAAUACAUAAUUGUCUUUUAAUUGAAUGGUUCUCACCUCCCUUCCAAACUUUGAAAAGGUAAAAUAAGAUCAAUCAUGUCAGUGGCAAUUAAUAUAAAGAUUACUUUUCUUAUUUGUAGUAACGUCCUCUGAUUAUUUAGCUGAUUUUCAAGCUACACAUUUAUUCCAUUUGAUGUUGAUAUUAGUAAAAUUAAUGUAAUAUUUAAAAAGGAAAAAAAUCCGUCGAGCUAAAAGCCGAGUAUAAAAUUGAACCAGACCCAAACCAGAAACGCACGCCAACAACAUGUUUGCGUCAGUCGGCCCAUGCCCAUAAACCCACCAAGCCCGAUCCAAAUAGAAAAAUGAAUUGGACACCCGAGAUAGCAGAAACAGAUAAGUAACGGUCGUGCUAUCCCCAAUCUCAUAUCUUCAACGGUAUCCAGCCAACAUCUCAAAGUGUUCAAUUUUUUUUUAAGCCAAAAAAAAAUUCAAAAUUUUCAAGCGGAAUCUGGGAAGAUAGCGAUGAAAAGCAAGAUUCUGGUUAUCGGCGGAACCGGAUACAUCGGUAAGUACUUAAGGUGCGUUUGAAAUUGAGGUUGAGCAACUAUAACUUUAAAACUGCAGCACUAAAAUAUUUGGUAAACACUAAUUGUUGUAACUUAAAAGCUAUUUAAUAUAAUUUUUCACUUGUAUAAUAAAAAAUUUAUUAUCUUUAAUAAUUUUGUCAAAAUUAUUAUUUAAAAUAUAUACAGUAAGAGAGAUUGUAACAUUUUCAAUCUUUGGUUUGAUAUUCUGGAAGAAAACGAUUUGCCGUUUAUGGAGAAAACUGCUAACCGUUUAAUUUCAGAGAGCAUGUUUUCUAUUCUAGAGAAAACGGCUAACCGUUUGGAGAAAACGGCUAACCGUUUGGAGAAAAUGGCUAACCGUUUGGAGAAAACGGCUAACCGUUUAAUUCCAGAGAGCAUGUUUUCUGUUCUAGAGAAAAUGACUAACCGUUUGGAUAAAACGGCCAACCAUUAAUUACAGAGAGCAACUUAUUUGACAUUCUGGAAUAAAACGGCUCACCGUUAUUGAGAAAACGGCUAACCGUUUAUUUCCAGAGAGCGUGUUUUUGCGUCAACUGGAAAAACGGUUAGCAAGCUUAGAAAUUUCAAUUGUCAAUCGAUGCAAACUCAAACCAAAAGAGUGUUUUUUUGAAGAAGUACUAUUUUUAAUGGUUGUAUUCUUUCAAAUAAACAUCUUCUUUAUUAAAGAUAGACAAACUAUUAUAUCAUAAUUAGAUUUUGCAGGUUUCAUAUAUGUUCUGGAAAUACAAUCUUAUUUUUUAGAGAUUGUAUUCAGGAUUUGAUAUAUCUUAGGGGUAAUUUGCCAUUAAAACUCUAUAGCAAACCAAGAUUGGUGAGGGUAAAUAAAACCUUAAAGAAAAAUGUGCAAACACGUCUCAAAUCCUAAGAAAUUUUCUUUGUUCUUUGCCUCCAUAUUCUUAAAAUUUGAAAAUUCACCCAUCAAUCUUUAAGGUUUUAUUUUGAUGCAAAUAGAGGCUGAGAAGAGUUUGACGUCAUUUCUUAAUCCUAGUGUCCAUCUCGAUCGUUUUGAUGGAACAAAUUUCACUCGUUGGAAGGAAAAAUUGUUCUUUCUUCUUACUGUUCUUAAAGUGGCAUAUGUUCUUAAUCCGAAAUUGGAACCAUUUCCAGAACCAAGGGAAGAUGAUACCGAAGUUGUUAAGGCUGUAAGGAAACGUCGUGAAGAUGAUGAAUUGAUGUGCCGGGGUCACAUACUCAAUACGCGUUCUGACAGGUUAUAUGAUCUCUACAAUUUUAUGACUUCUUCGAUGGAAAUUUGGAAUGCUCUUGAGUACAAAUACAAAACGGAGAAAGAAGGUACUGACAAAUUCCUUGUCUCUAAAUAUUUUGAAUUUAUUAUGGUAGACACACAAUCCAUUCUUGAUCAAAUACAUGAGUUAUAAAUUAUUGUUGCUAAGCUUCGAGAGUUAAAAGUUAAAAUUUCUGAAUCAUUUCAAGUUGGGACUAUUAUUGCUAAAUUGCCUCAAAGUUGGAAUGAUUAUAGAAAGAAACUCCUUCAUAGUAAAGAGAACAUAACUUUAGAAGAAUUGCAAAAACACUUGGUAAUUGAAGAAGAGACUAGGUCUCGCGAAUCCAAGGAUAAACAUGAUUCUACUAAAGUUAAUGUUCUUGAAGCUAGUAAAUUCUCAAAGAAUUUUAAAGUCAAGAAUGACAAGAAAUUUAAGAGGUCCAGCACACAAAAGUUUUCUGGAAAUUGUUUCUUUUGUGGUAAGAAAGGUCAUCGCCAAAGUGAUUGCAGAUUCAAGAAAAAAAAAGAAGAAGUGAAUUCCUAUAAAGCUAAUGUUAUUGAAAACAAAUCUGAAAAGAUUUGUGCUAUGGUUUCUGAAAUACAAAUUGGCAUGAUUAUCGAAACCAAUAUGGCUGAAACUAAGUCCUAUGAUUGGUGGCUCGAUUCGGGUACAACAAUUCAUGUUUGUAAUGAUAAGAAAUUUUUAUUAUCAUACAAAGAAGAAACGGAAGGACAAAUGGUUCUCAUGGGGAACAAUAAUGCAGCCAUAGUAGCAGGGAAAUGAGUAGUUGAGAUCAACUUCACUUCUAGAAAGAAAGUCACAUUGUAUAAUGUCUUUCAUGUACCUUCCGUUAGGAAGAAUCUUAUUUCUGCUAGUUGUAUGUGUAAGCAUGGGCUUAAGAUUGUGCUUGAGGGUAAUACUUGUAUUAUCUCAAAGAAUGAAUUAUUUGUUGGGAAAGGGUAUUCUUGUGAUGGAAUGUACAAACUCAACAUUAAUAAUAAUAAUAUCAACUUAGCUUAUAUUGUUGAGUCUUGUGAUGUUUGGCAUGCUAAAUUAGCACAUUUGAAUUUUAGAUCUUUGAAAUACAUGUCUGAGCAUGGUUUGAUUAAUUGCAAUGAUGUUAAAGGUCAUAAGUGUGAAAUCUGCAUCCAAGCUAAAUUAACUAAGAAACAUUUUCUUAAAGCCGAACGAAAUACUCAAAUAUUGGAUUUAAUAUAUACCGAUAUUUGUGAGUAUAAUGGCGUUUUAACAAGAGGAGGUAAGAAGUACUUUAUCCCUUUUAUUGAUGAUUGUUCUAGAUACACUUAUAUGUAUUUACUUAGAACAAAAAAUGAAGCUUUUGAUAAAUUUAAAAUUUUCAAAGCUGAAGUUGAGAACCAAAAAGAUAAGAAAAUCAAAAUGGUUCGUAGUGAUAGAGGUGGUGAAUAUUUCUCAAUUGAAUUUAAUAAUUAUUGUGAAGAAUUUGGAAUUAUUCACCAAAGAUCAGCUCCAUUUACUCCUCAACAAAGUGGUUUGGCUGAAAGAAAGAAUAGGAUCUUCACGGAUAUGAUAAAUUCCAUGAUCCAUAAUGCAAAACUACCAAAUAAUUUGUGGGGGGAAGCAUUACUCACUGCAUGUCAUAUUCAUAACAGAAUUACAUCUUUGAAAACACAUAUAUCUCUUUAUGAAAUUUGGAAAGGAAGAAAACCAAACUUGAUGUAUUUAAGGGUCUAGGGUUGUUUAGCUUUUUAUAAAAUACAUGAUCCUAAAUCAUCAAAGUUAAGUGCUAGAUGUAUAAAGAGUGUUUUCGUAGGAUAUGCUGAAAAUUCUAAGGCUUAUAGGUUGUUAGAUUUAGAUUAUAAUGUGAUUGUGGAAUCUAGAGAUGUUGAAUUUAUUGAGAAUAAAUUUCAACAUGAUUCUAAUAUUGAAUUAGAAUCAAUUAUUGAUCAACCAUGUGUUAAUACUCCUGUUACCUCCACUAACAAUAAUAAAAGGAAAGAGUCUAUGACAUCUUUCGAACCAAUGAGGAGUCAACGUGAAAAGAAAGAAAAGAGUUUAGCUCCGGAUUUUAUUUCAUCACAAGCACUACUCUUCUUGGUUGAAGGGGAUAGAAAGAAUGUACUUAACAAAGUACCAUUAUUGUUAAAUAUUGAAAAAGAUCCAAAGACAUUUAGCGAAGCUAUGUCUUCUAGAGACGCUUCUUUUUAGAGAGAGGCGGUAAAUGAUGAAAUUGAUUCGAUUAUUUCGAAUCAAACAUGGGUCUUGGUUGAUCUUCCUCCAGGAUCUAAACCAAUUAGCAGCAAAUGGGUAUUUAGAAGAAAGUACAAUAGUGAUGGUUCUUUGCACACUUUUAAGGCUAGAUUAGUAGCCAAAGGGUUUAAGCAAAGAAAUGGUAUUGAUUAUUUCGAUACAUAUGCUUCGGUAGCAAGGUUAACUUCUAUAAGAGUGCUAUUUGCAAUUGCUUCAUUGAACAAUUUGUAUGUGCAUCUAAUGGAUGUUAAAACCGCUUUUCUUAAUGGUGAUCUUGAUGAAGAAAUCUAUAUGGAACAACCUGAGGGAUUUGUUUUACCAGGAAAUGAGAAAAAAGGUAUGCAAAUUAGUCAAAUCACUUUAUGGUUUAAAGCAAGCACCAAAACAAUGGCAUGAGAAGUUUGAUUCGGUAAUUUUAUCUCAUGGUUUUAAGCAUAAUAAUGCUGAUAAAUGUAUAUAUUUUAAAUUUACGAAUGAUUUUGGUGUGAUUAUAUGCUUGUAUGUUGAUGACUUGCUUAUCUUUGGGACAAAUAUGCAAGGAGUAGAUGAUACAAAGAAGUAUUUAACUUCACAAUUUAAGAUAAAAGAUCUUGGUGAAGUAGAUACUAUCUUAGGUGUCAAAGUGAAGAAACAUAGUGAGGGUUACUCGUUGUGUCAAUCUCAUUAUAUAGAGAAAGUGCUUCUUAAAUUCAAUUAUUUGAAAUUUAAAGAAGCUAAUACCCCAUAUGAUUCUAGUAUUAAAUUAUUAGAGAAUUCAGGCCGAGUAGUAGCACAACUAGAAUAUGCUAGUGCUAUUGGUAGCUUGAUGUAUGCUAUGCAUUGUACGAGGCCUGAUAUAGCAUUUGCAGUUUGCAAAAUGUCAAGAUUCACGAGUAACCCUAGUGUUGAACACUGGAAAGCAAUUGGUAGAAUACUUGGUUAUCUUAAAAGGACCAUUCAUUUGGGUUUAUUUUAUAAUGAUUAUCCUGAAGUACUGGAAGGAUAUUCAGAUGCUAGUUGGGUAACCAAUACAAGAGAUAAUAAAUCCACUUCUGGUUGGAUUUUUACAAUUGUUGGAGGAGCAGUUUCCUGGGCUUCAAAGAAACAAACGUACAUAACUCAUUCAACAAUGGAAAGUGAGUUUAUAGCACUCGCAGUUGCAAGCAAGGAAGUAGAAUGACUGAGAAAUUUGUUGUUUGAUAUAAUGUUAUGGCCACAACCGAUGCCAUAUAUUUCUUUGUACUGCGAUAGUGAAGCUACAUUGUCUAGAGCUUAUAAUAAAGUGUAUAAUGGAAAGUCUAGACAUAUUAGCUUGAGACAUGAAUAUGUGAAACAAUUAAUAGCAGAUGGUGUUAUUAAUAUUGUUUAUGUUAGGACUAAUAAGAACCUAGCGGAUCCUUUAAUAAAAGGUCUUACAAGAGACUUAGUUAAGGAUACAUCUUUUGGAAUGGGAUUGAAACCUUUAAAUAAUAAAGUCACCAACGACGAUAACCCAACUAUGUAGUAGUUGUACCGCUACUCCAUAGUUAAAUGGAUAAUAACAAGUUGUUGUUAUGUGACUGGUUUGGCACCGAGUAAUAAAUAAUCACAUUCGAGAUAUUCGGUGCAAAUAGCUACGAGGUUGAGGUUGAGUAUUUAUUCUUAAUGAAGUUCAAGUCUUAUAGUAGCUAAAGACAUGAUUUGAAACUUCACCUAAGUGAACAUAAGAAAUGGUGCCGUUUCUAACAAGAUCAUGGUUUAAUCUAGUAAAUGUUCAUGAAUUCAAGAUAGAGCACAAGGCCGGAAUAGUGCUAAAUAUUGGAACACAACUUUGAAAAUCUGGGAUAGCUUAUAUGUGAUGUAUCUCCGGUAUUUACUUAAGAGACAAAGUUUAAUGCUUAGCACAUUAUUGUCUUGUAAAUGCUUUGAAAUACACUCACUAAUUAAAGGUUAAAAUCGAAAGAUAUCUUUUUGUAUGUAUAAGUUUAUCAUUAAUAAAUAUGAAAAAUAUUACAAUCUAGUGGGGGAUUGUAAGAGAGAUUGUAACAUUUUCAAUCUUUCGUUUGAUAUUCUGGAAGAAAACGGUUUGCCGUUUAUGGAGAAAACGGCUAACUGUUUAAUUCCAAAUAGCAUGUUUUCUGUUCUAGAGAAAACGACUAACUAUUUGGAGAAAAUGGCUAACUGUUUAAUUCUAGAGAGCAUGUUUUCUGUUCUAGAGAAAGCGGCUAACCGUUUGGAUAAAACGACCAACCGUUAAUUACAGAGAGCAACUUAUUUGACAUUCUGGAAUAAAACGGCUCACCGUUAUUGAGAAAACGGCUAACCGUUUAUUUCCAGAAAGCGUGUUUUUGCGUCAAUUGGAAAAACGGUUAGCAAGCUUGGAAAUUUCAAUUGUCAAUCGAUGCAAACUCAAACCAAAAGAGUGUUUUUUUGAAGAAGUACAAUUUCUAAUGGUUGUAUUCUUUCAAAUAAACAUCUUCUUUAUUAAAGAUAGACAAACAAUUAGAUCAUAAUCAGAUUUUGCAGGUUUCAUAUAUGUUCUGGAAAUACAAUAGAUCAUAAUCAGAUUUUGCAGGUUUCAUAUAUGUUCUGGAAAUACAAUCUUAUUUGCUAGAGAUUGUAUUCAUGAUUUGAUAUAUCUUGGGGGUAAUUUACCAUUAAAACUCUAUAGCAAACCAAGAUUGGUGAGGACAAAUAAAACCUUAAAGGAAAGUGUGCAAACACGUCUCAAAUCCUAAGAAUUGUUUUUUGUUCUUUGCCUCCAUAUUCUUAAAAUUCGAAAAUUCACCCAUCAUAUACAUACUACAUAUUAUUAACUUUUGUUUUAUAACUAUAGUGUUUUUUUUUUACCGCAACUGUAGUUUAAAAACUACAGCACCUCAAUCCCAAACAAGACCUUAGUGGAAGCGAGCGCAAAAGCCGAUCACCCAACAUUCGCGCUUGUGAGAGACUCCACUCUCUCCACUCAUUCCAAAUCCAAAAUCCUCGACCGUUUCAAAAAUCUCGGCGUCAAUUUAGUUCUUGUGCGCCACUCUUUUAGCUUUCCAAUUUUCCCGCCAAUUUUCUUUUAUUGUGAUUAAUUAAUUAAUUAAUUAAUUAAAGUAAAGAUUUUAUAUUAUAAUUUUGUUUGCAGGGAGAUCUAUACAGCCAUGAGAGCUUGGUGAGUGCAAUAAAGCAAGUGGAUGUUAAGGUAAUGAUUAACUUAAGUAAAUGCGUUAACUAAUUACUUGGGAUUUUAAAUUCAAAUGCGUGAAUUGUUCUAAAAAAUGAUUUAUGUUUAUUAGUCAGAGAUUCUUUCCUUCAGAAUUUGGAAAUGAUGUUGAUCGCGUGCAUGCCGUUGAGCCAGCAAGAACAUCAUUUGCCACCAAGGCUAAAAUCCGCCGAGCUGUUGAGGCUGAAGGAAUUCCAUACACCUACGUAGCUUCCAAUUUCUUCGCUGGUUUGUAUCUUUCCAGUUUCUCACAGCCUGAAGCCACAGCUCCUCCAAGGGAUAAAGUGGUCAUCGUAGGUGAUCGAAAUGCAAAAGGCAAAGCGCUUCUGGAUACAUUUACUCUGUACACGCAAUGUGUGGUUACUGUUUGGGGAUAAAAAAGGAGAUUAAUUAAUAAAGAAAAUGAAAUUAUUGAGGGAUUUGCUGAAGAGUUGCGUGCACUCCUCAUUUUUCUCCACCACUCAUCUUACUUGCAAAAUGCAAUGACCAAACUAUCCUCGCCAAAGCCUAGACAUUUACUUGUGUUCAAAGGCCAUUUAAGAGAGACAAGUACAAAAAAUUAUAAAGGAUAGUGAGCAAAAGAAGAAAAUGGAAGGAGGGGAGAAUAAAAAAUGGGAGUGGGGCGUUAUCUAGGGAGGAUUUUUAUUUUUAUUUUUUUUCCUCUCUUCUCCAUGGCAUCUCUUUCUCUCUUUCUCCCACUAAGAAAUUCUUUCUUUUACACUCUAUUUUACUUUUAUUCAAAUUACACAAAAAACUUUUGGUUUUAAGGCAAUGUUUAUUAAGCCACGUGAAUUUGAAAAAGCAGGAAUAAGGGGAUGAUUUUAACACAUUAAUUCACCAACAUUAAUUGGAAAAGAUCAGUUGCCACUUCGAAUCAGAGUAAUUUCUUCGGCAAUAGCCAAAUAUUGAUAUUUGAUCUUGACACUGUAGUUAAAUCAAUGUAACUGGUUUUGUCAUUUGAUCCCCAGUAAUUUUUAACAAGGAAGACGAUAUUGGAAUUAAUUCUAUCAAAGCGGUGGAUGAUCCGAGAACACUGAACAAAAUACUUUACAUCAGACCCCGUUGCAAUAUCUACUCAUUUAAUGAUCUUGUGUCUCUGUGGGAGGAAAAGAUUGGCAAAGCCCUUGACAGGGUCUAUGUUACAGAGGAACAACUUCUGAAAAACAUUCAAGGUUAGUUAGAACUAUCACUUUAUCAAGUGCAUAGAUGUAACUGACCGAUAAUGGAAUUUUUUUUCCUUCUCCAAAAUGCGAUAGAAUCUAAUCGGUUUCAACAAUCUCAAGAACACCUAUUCAUGGUUGUGUUGUUUGAAAUCUGUAUGUAUCAGUUUUCUUUCUAGAUCUCAGAUUGCUCGCAAGGAUGUCAAGUUUUGAUGAUGCUUGCCUGUUUUCCUGUGUUUACAGAAGCUUCAUAUCCACUCAAUAUGAUAUUACCUAUUGGGCACUCUGCCUAUGUCCUGGGAGAUCAGACCAACUUCGAAAUUGAACCUUCAUUUGGAGUAGAGGCAACAGAGCUUUAUCCAGAUGUCAACUACACUACUGUGGAUGAGUACCUCAACCAGUUCAUAUAAACCUUCUGAGAUGAGCAGCAGGAUCCUAACAAAAAAUUGGGUGGUUUCCAUCCCUGAUUCUAUGGUAUAAAGAUAGCGGCUUUCCCUGCUUUUGCCAGUUCAAUGAAGUUUGUUAGAUGAUGUUAUUUAUACUAUACUAGCAAAGAUCAAGUUGCCUUUCUUGUCAAGAAGCCAAGCUCUGGCAUUGGUUUAUGCUAGUUUUUCAUGUUUAUUACUUUUUUUGCAUUCAAAAUGAUAAAACUGCAGAGGUUGUUGCAUGCACGUCAUUUGUUAGUAGGGGUAUCAAUUUAUGAACGUAUGAAGUAUCUCUUCUGCAACGGCAUCCUCCUUAACUGUCAGUAGGAUCACAAUAAGUCGACCAACCAUCUACCGUAUGGAUUAUCUAUAAAUUGAAAUUGGUGUGUAUUAUGGAUCUGUCACUCUGCUGUUUCUGUUUUCUUUUCUAUUUUUACCAAGAAAGAAACAUUGUUAAAACUGAAUGGUUGUUAUCUCGUCUUGUUGUAAUGUUGUGUAUGCUUUCUAGAAAAUAAUGAAGUGCCAAAUAUGAAAAUACUAGUGGCUACCUUACCAUCCUUAAUAAGUUGUCUGAUUGUCACCGUCAACAAUCACUCUCAGCAACUCAUAAUCCAUUUAAGCAUAUUAUAAAAUAAUCAAUUUUGUAUUUGCACCAACUUUUAGUUUUAAAUGACAAUUUCGUUGAUCCCCACACUUCUGUACUAAUCAAAUCCACUGAAACUGGACUUUUUUUUCUUUUUUUUUAUAAUUACAUCGAUUGCAUUGGCUAUUGCAGGGAAAAGACUGCCUCUACAGGGAACUAAACUUUCAGAAUUGUUCUUAUGAGGGUUUGAAUAUGCUCUCGUACUAGGUCAAUGGCCUAUUGGUUCGAGACCAUUCACAAAGAAAGAAAUGAGUUUUGCUUGUAUAAAUGAAAGAAAUCCAAAUGAUAACUAAUGUAUAGUGGUACAUGAGAAAAAUAAUUUCAGCCCGUGUAAAGUCAAAAAGAGAAAAUAUUAAAAGAAAGGAUAAUGUCAUUGAGUUCGGUGAAGUGAAAGAAAAUGAAAAACAUGGGAUUUAGUCAAACUUAGUGUCCCAAUCAGCAGAAAAAGGUUUUAGAAACUCACCUCAAGUUAAGCCAACUAUUAGGAGCUUUAUUUAAUCAUGACUUUCUAAUGUAUAGUACUCCAAUACUAAACGAGGGCUACCUCUACGCUUGCAAUUGUAAAUGAAAUUGAGUUCGUGACGCACAAUGAAGUGAGCAAAAUGAGUUGAGAUCUGAGAAUAUAUUAAAGAAAAUAUGAAUCAAUGAAUUUUGGUUAAAAAAAACAAAUGCUGGUUCUUCAAGACCUGCGUGUAUUGUGUAAGUUUUGUUAGGAGAAGGAAAGCAUUUUGGUCUAAAACGCACUAAAUCGGAUUCAUUUGCUUGAUAUCUAAUAAGGGUGAAUUAACCACUCGCCCACAGCAAUUCAAGUCCCAAAAAAAUUAUUGUGGGGGCUAAAUUUCUUCUUUAAUUAUAACAAAUAAUUGAGUGGAGGAUAAAAAUUUAGGCCAUGUAUAACAAUAACUAAUAUAAACUAGUCCUAAUAAUAGUAUAAUUGUAAAUAUCAGUUGUAGUCUCAUACAAUAUAAGUUUAUAGAUUAUAAUAUCGGCAUAAAAAGAAAAAUGAUAUCUGACGGUCAAUCAAUAAAAGGACAAAAACUUGGAGUAACAUACCACAAAGUCAAUGUAGCUGGACAGAUGAAUAUAAUAUGUAAACAAAUUUAAAUGGGAUAAUACCAUACGGUACAUACAUAACAUUUUAAAACUGAAUUAAAAAAAUAAAAUUAAAACUGAAUUGGAAUUCGUAUGUGUAUCCAGCUACCUUGCAACAGUUGUAAGGUACCCUAACUUUGCAACAAUUUCAUCCUUCGUGCAUUCGGUCACAAAGUCCAAAUUAGGCACGUUUAAGAAUCGAACUGAAAAACUAAAAAAAAAGAAUCCGGCGAUAUUUGCGAACCGGAAACGAGCCAGCGUUAUGCUUAUGUCAUUUCAGAGAUAUCAACAGUCGUGCUUUCAGUCCUUAAACCUCAAGGGCAUUUUCGUCCUUUCACUCAAGCGUGAAACUGCAUGUAAGAACUGCUUCGCUUACACGCUCCAUGCACAUUUAAAGGCACCACUGUCGGAUAAAAAAUAUCCAUCCAUUUGAUCAUUUCAAAACAAAACGAAAAAAAAAAUCUCAGUAAUUGAACUGAACGAGUCUCAGAAAUGGCAUCGAAAAGUAAGAUUCUAUUCAUCGGCGGGACAGGGUAUAUCGGUAAAUUCACUGUCGAAGCGAGCGUAAAAGCCGGCCACCCGACGUUCGUGCUCGUGAGAGAAUCCACAAUCUCUGGUCCUUCCAAAUCUCAACUCCUCGAUCACUUCAAAAACCUCGGCGUCAAUCUUGUCAUAGUGCGUUUUCAUUUUUCUCUUUUCUUUAUUUUUUAUUCCGAUCAUUUUUACACGUCGAAGUGUAGCAUCUACUACUUAAUAUACAUAAUGAUAUUAUUAUUUUUUAAUUUUUUUGGGUUGCUGUUAUUAUUAUACAGGGAGAUGUGUUGAAUCACGAGAGUUUGGUGAAGGCGAUAAAACAAGUGGACGCGGUGAUAUCAACAGUUGGUCACACUUUAAUAGCCGAUCAGGUCAAGAUUAUUGCUGCCAUUAAAGAAGCCGGUAACGUUAAGGUAUGACAUAAUUAAUGUAAAUGUCUUAGAUUUCGAUCAGGAUUGUGCACUCGUGCACACGUGGUGAUUUAUUCUUCGUGUGGAGCUCGCUGUAGAGUAGAGCUCCCAGUUCCGCUAAUAAACACCCGUCAGAUGCGCAAUUGCGCCUCAAAAUAAUUUAAUUAAUUAAUUAGGUAUAAACACCGAUGGCAUGAAAGCAAUUAAAAUUAGUUGAUGUUUAUAAAUUAUUUAUUACUCAGAGAUUCUUACCAUCGGAAUUUGGAAAUGAUGUUGAUCGAGUCGAAGGCGCCGUAGAGCCAACAAAAUCGACGUAUGACGUAAAGGCGAAAAUCCGCCGAGCCGUUGAGGCAGAAGGCAUUCCGUACACUUACGUAGAAUCUUAUUGUUUUGAUGGGUAUUUCCUCCCCAAUUUGUUGCAGCCUGAGGCCACUGCCCCCCCUAGGGAUAAGGUUGUCAUCUUAGGCGAUGGAAAUCCAAAAGGUAAUAUAAUUUAAUUAAGCUCUGUUUGUUUGGUAUGUAUUGCGGUGUUAAUGUUAUUGUCUGUUGUACAAUGGAUGGUCUUGCUUGGUACUGUUGUUGGAGAGCUGCAGUGUUUUGAUAAACACCUCUAUAGUCUAUCCUUAUCCUUAGCUUUCAAGUUAAGUUGAUUUUAUACAACACUUGUUUAAUUAAAAACUUGUAAUAUUCUUACUACUUUGAUAAAAAAAAUAUUACGAUUAAAGUAUUAAUGGCACCAUAAUACGAAAUGAAUCUUAAGUGGUCAUUAUAGAUUUUAAGAUAGAGUUUUAAGUGAUUACCAGAUACUUUAGCUGCUGAACCGCCACAUCAUGGUUGCCACACAACAAUUUCAAACAGAACCUAAAUAACUUCAUUGCAAAACAGUUAAAUGAAUCUAACUUAGUUUCGUCGUUUGAUUUUCAGCUGUUUUUAACAAGGAAGAUGAUAUUGGAACCUACACUAUCAAAGCGGUUGAUGAUCCGAGAACCUUGAACAAAAACUUUUACAUUCAGCCUCCCGGUAAUAUUUACUCAUUCAAUGAUCUUGUGUCUCUGUGGGAGAGAAAGAUUGGUAAAACCCUCGAAAAGGAGUAUGUUUCAGAGGAGCAGCUCCUAAAGAAUAUUCAAGGUUGGUUAAAACUCUCUUUUUUAAAUGUAUUAAAGAGAGCCGUAUAUUCUCUGCCGUAAAUGUUAUUGAUCCUGUCUUCUCCAAAAUGUUGCAGAAGCUGCACCUCCACACAAUGUGAUAUUAUCAAUUUAUCACUCUGCUUUCGUGAAGGGAGUUCAAACCAACUUCAAGAUUGAACCAUCUUUUGGAGUUGAAGCCUCGCAGCUUUAUCCUGAUGUCAAGUACACUACAGUUGAUGAGUACCUCAAUCAGUUUGUGUAACCCUUCUCUGUUUCCAGCUGCAGCUUGCAGGAUCUUGGACUCUUGGUAAAUAAAUAAUUGGCUUGUUGCCAUCUUUGGUUUUAUAUGUAAAAAUUAUGGUUGUUGGCCUUACUUUCUUCUGGUUGUCCAUGGAAUUUGUUAGACCAUAUUAUGUUUGCUAUGUCAGUGAUCAAAUGAAGUAGGCCAUGUACUUGAUUUGAGAGUAGUAGUUAUAAAAAGCCAUCAUGAUCAGGUGGGUGCGUGGGUUGGGCUUCUAUUAGGGUGCGUGUGUUGGGCUUCAGGGGCUUGUGAUAUGGGUUCGACAGCCCCUAACGGGCAGUCAUUAUAAAAAUAAUUAUAGAGUUACAAAUCUAUGUAAAAAGCAAAAAUUAAAAGUAAUUUAUCAAUAAAAAUAAUUAAAAUUAAUAAAAAGUAGGUAUGAUAUUUCAGAAAUUAAAUUAAAGAUAGCAUUCUAAAGAGUUGGAUAAUCCUCCAACUAAACUAAAGAUCUAGUACAUUUGAGAGCAAAUUUAAUUAAAGAAAAGGAUAAGGAAAAACAAUAGAAUAAUAAUAUUAAAAAUUGCAAAUCUUGGUCUUUUUUUUUUACGAUGAUGUUGAUUUCUUAUAAAUUUAAUCUUAUCUAUAGAAUUAUUUAGUUACUGUAUGUCAAAAUUUCCUAUAAAGAUGAAGAAAAAUUAUAUUAGGAGAAGAUCCAAAUCCGUUUAACUGAUGCAUCAUCAACAACAUGAGUACAACAUUUUCGAAUAAACAAAAGAAACUCGUUUUAUGUGCGAACCAGUUCCAAAAUAAAGAGCAGACUAUUGGAAGGAGACAAAUACUACAAGAAGAACAAAACAUUCUACAGUUCCUACAUGAGCCCGCAACAAUUAAUUAUUAACUCGACAUUCAUUACACUUUUUCUUUAAUUUGACAAAGAAACCAAAAAUAAGAUAAAAUUGACUAAGAAAUAAAAAAAUGACCAAAAUCUUUUUGAAGUUUUGCCAGUUCAGCCAUGCACGCUUAUCUUUAUUCACUUGUUUCCUUUCUUUCCUGGAGCCUUCACAAAUCCUUUACCUUUCUGAGCCUUGCCAAUUUUCCCCUUCUUCAAACCACCUGGCCUUGCUGGAUCCACGUGUCCUUGCAUCCUUUUUCAUUCGUGGAUCAACAAGAAUCUCCCCCUUUCCAACUCUCUCUUGAACUCCUUUCUUUGCGACCAUGUAUUCUUUUGUAGGCCUUUUGGGUAUAGUUGUCUUGUAUAAUUGUUCAAUUUGAUUCCUCUUCGAACGAUCAGAGAUGUCCGCUUAGUCUAAUAUGACAUUUGCCUUCUUGCGAACCUUCUCAAGAUUUCGCAUGGCAACCCGUAUCUUUCGAGCUUUGGUCUUAGCCACCUUCUUGGCAAUAAGGGUGGGCGAUUCGGUUUUGGGAUAAACUUUUGGUUUCGUAUCGGUUUAGAUUCAAAAAUAGUAUAAAAAAAUAUUUAGAUUUUAUGGGAAAAAAUCUGAACCGAAACUGACCUAUCGAUUUCGUCUCGGUUUCAGUUUAGUUUCGAUUCUCCUAAUAGUUUUGUUUUGCCUUAUUGACUUCCGGUCAAGGACACUUUUGAAAAAUUUACAAACAAAAAAAAAUUGGCCAUAACAAAAUUUCUAUAUGUAAAUAUUUCCUAAACAUUGGGCUAUACUAAAUUUUUUUAAAAGGUAGGGAUCCAAACGAUAUUAUCCCUCUACUUCAUCUUCAACCUUCGUCACUUAGCAGCUACCACAGUAUCGAAAUGGAAAAACUAAAAAAGCACCGUAGGAUACGCAUAUCCACACAUAUCUAAUAAAACUAAAUAUUAUUAAUAAUUUAGUAUAGUAAUAAUAAAACAAGACAAACAUGAAAUUAGAAAAGACUAAAGAGCUUUUUAAGAAAAAAGCCAUUUAAAAAACGAAAAAUAGCAAGUUAUUUGGCUAGUUAACUGGCGACAGAAGUAAUGGAAAGAAGCAACAACGGCAGCGGCAGGUCAACAACGAAGAUUCAGCAGCACCGACCACCCACAGACUUGGAUUCGAUUGCAAAGUUGGGACUUAGGAUUUGGGUUUGUGGCUGCUGAAAUUGAAAGCGAGAGAGUAGAAAGUAGAGACUGAGAGUGGUGCAAACAUGUGUAAUUCUGUGUGUGUGUGUGUCUAUAUAUAUAUAUAUAUAUAUAUAUAUAUAUAUAUAUAUAUAUAUAAUGUGAAAUUAUAAAAAUGCCAUUAUAUCGGUUCGAUUCGAAUUUUGUAACUUGUGAUCCGAAAACUGAACCAAAUCGAAUCAUUUGGUUUGGUAUUUAUAUAUUCGGGUUUUUAAUUUAAAAAAAACUAAAUUAAAACUGAAAAAACCAGAACCGAAUUUUUUUUUUUUUUUUUGUUUCGGUUCAAUUCUGCCCAUCCCAACUUAGUAGGCUGGGCAUCAAUUUCUUUGAAUUGUGCUUUCAUUGCAGUAAUCUCCUCCUUGGUAAUAGGUUUAAUUGCUUACUGAUGCCUCAUUUCCUCUAGUAACAACUAGUCUAACAAGUCAUCAUCGUCAAACAUGUACCUAUUAUAAGCAUCAUCCAGAAUUUGCUCUCUUUGCAUUUUGCUUAGUGUCUUCUUUGCACAAGCUAAUAUCUCAGCUUUUUGUAUCAAUAUCUUUAUCUUUUGAUUCACCAGCGGAUGAAUCAUCACCGGAAUAGAGUGGUGAAGGCCCCAUAGAUCAGUGUGAUCAAGUUCUAGUGUAGUUUUGGUUUUGAUUUCAGUAUUAGGAAAAUGAAGCCUAUGAAAUUUACCAAGCUAACAUGCUUCACAAAAGUGCUUUAAUACUUGACUAUGAAUACUUGAAGACGAUAAAUGAGGAUAAAUAAAUUUAAGGCAAAUGUUAUGUUACAAUUAAUGUAACAUACACACUCAAUAACAACCACACAAAUUUUGUGGGCCCAUUAUUUGUGUGGUUGUUGUUGAGUGUGUAUGUUACAUUAAUUGUAACAUAGGGGCUCCCUAAAUUUAAAUAUGCAUUAGAUUUUGAGGGUUGGGAUGUCAAAACUUUUGGUGAAAAAGAGUUAGUACAAGCAUUUUUAUUGAGAUUUAAAACAUUUCUUAAGAUGAUCAAUGCUAGUUACAGAAUAGGAAUGAAAAAAAAAGGCAACAUAGACAAAGGUUUGUUUAUUUGAUUGUAAGAUAGAAAAGACUUGUAUUUAGGUUGUGGAAAGGAUUUGAGCAGCAAUUUAUACAACCUUUUCUCAGCAAAACCUUCCUCUUCAAUGAAUCCUUCACAAAACAAAUAGAUCCAAGAAAUUUGACAAAUAAAUUGUUGUCAAUGGUAAGUUUUGAAAUGCUUAAUAGAUUCUUUGUAAUGGAUGGAACAAACAAUACAUCCUUAAGUAAAAUAUGUCUUAUAUUAUCUUUUUUUUUAAUUAUUUUUAAAAAAUAAGUGAAUAAUAGUAUGUCAAUCUCAAAUAUCAAUAUGUACAAUUUUUAUUUGUGUAAGAAUUUGCAUCCAAUAAUCAUCAAUACAUAAUUGUCUUUUAAUUUAAUUGUUCUCACCUCCCUUCCAAACUUUGAAAAGGUAAAAUAAGAUCAAUCAUGUCGGUGGCAAUUAAUAUAAGGAUUACUUUUCUUAUUUGUAGUAACGUCCUCUGAUUAUUUAGCUGAUUUUCAAGCUACACAUUUAUUCCAUUUGAUGUUGAUAUUAGUAAAAUUAAUGUAAUAUUUAAAAAGGAAAAAAAUCCGUCGAGCUAAAAGCUGAGUAUAAAAUUGAACCCGACCCAAACCAGAAACGCACGCCAACAGCAUGCUUGCGUCAGUCGGCCCAAGCCCAUAAACCCACCAAGCCCAAUCCAAAUAGAAAAAUGAAUUGGAUGCCCGAGAUAGCACAAACAGAUAAGUAACGCUAGCGCUAUCCCCAGUCUCAUAUCUUCAACGGUAUCCAGCCAACAUCUCAAAGUGUUCAAUUUUUUUUUGAAGCUAAAAAAAAAAUUCAAAAUUUUCAAGUGGAAUCUGGGAAGAUGGCAACAAAAAGCAAGAUUCUGGUUAUCGGCGGAACCGGAUACAUAGGUAAGUACUUAAGGUGCGUUUGAAAUUGAAGUUGGACAGGUAUAACUUUAAAACUGCAGCACUAAAAUGUUUGGUAAACACUAACUAUUGUAACUUAAAAACUAUUUAAUAUAAUUUUUCACUUGUAUAAUAAAAAAUUUAUUAUAUCUUUAAUAAUUUUAUCAAAAUUAUUAUUUAAAAUAUAUACAUACUACAUAUUAUUAAUUUUUGUUUUAUAACUAUAAUUUUUUUCCUACCGCAACUGUAAUUUAAAAACUACAGCACCUCAAUCCCAAACAAGACUUUAGUGGAUGCGAGCGCGAAAGACGAUCACCCAACAUUUGCGCUUGUGAGAGACUCCACUCUCUCCACUCCUUCCAAAUCCAAAAUCCUCGACCGUUUCAAAAAUCUCGGCGUCAAUUUAGUUCCUGUGCGCCACUCUUUUAGCUUUCCAUUUUUCCUGCCAAUUUUCUUUUAUUGUGAUUAAUUAAUUAAUGUAAAGAUUUUAUAUUAUAAUUUUGUUUUCAGGGAGAUCUAUACAGCCAUGAGAGCUUGGUGAGUGCAAUAAAGCAAGUGGAUGUGGUGAUAUCAGCGAUAGGUCGCACUCAAUUAGCUGAUCAACUCAACAUUAUCGCAGCAAAUUGCGAUAACUAAUUACUUGGGAUUUUAAAGAAGCUGGAAAUGUUAAGGUACUGAUUAACUUAAGUAAAUGCGUUAACUAAUUACUUGGGAUUUUAAAUUCAAAUGCGUGAAUUGUUCUAAAAAAUGAUUUAUGUUUAUUAGUCAGAGAUUCUUUCCUUCAGAAUUUGGAAAUGAUGUUGAUCGCGUGCAUGCCGUUGAGCCAGCAAGAACAUCAUUUGCCACCAAGGCUAAAAUCCGCCGAGCUGUUGAGGCUGAAGGAAUUCCAUACACCUACGUAGCUUCCAAUUUCUUCGCUGGUUUGUAUCUUUCCAGUUUCUCACAGCCUGGAGCCGCAGCUCCUCCAAGGGAUAAAGUGGUCAUCGUAGGUGAUGGAAAUGCAAAAGGCAAAGCGCUUCUGGAUACAUUUACUCUGUACACGCAGUGUGUGGUUACUGUUUAGGGAUAAAAAAGGAGAUUAAUUAAUAAAGAAAAUGAAAUUAUUGAGGGAUUUGCUGAAGAGUUGCGUGCACUCCUCAUUUUUCUCCACCACUCAUCUUACUUGCAAAAUGCAAUGACCAAACUAUCCUCGCCAAAGCCUAGACAUUUGCUUGUGUUCAAAGGCCAUUUAAGGGAGACAAGUACAAAAAAUUAUAAAGGAUAGUGAGCAAAAGAAGAAAAUGGAAGGGGGAGAGUAAAAAAGGGGAGUGGGGCGUUAUCCAGGGAGGAUUUUUAUUUUUAUUUUUUUCCUCUCUUCUCCAUGGCAUCUCUUUCUCUCUUUCUCCCACUAAGAAAUUCUUUCUUUUACACUCUAUUUUACUUUUCUACAAAUUACACAAAAAGCUUUUGGUUUUAAGGCAAUGUUUAUUAAGCCACAUGAACUUGAAAAAGCAUGAAUAAGGGGAUGAUUUUAACACAUUAAUUCACCAACAUUAAUUGGAAAAGAUCAGUUGCCACUUCGAAUCAGAGUAAUUUCUUCGGCAAUAGCCAAAUAUUGAUAUUUGAUCUUGACACUGUAGUUAAAUGAAUGUAACUGGUUUUGUCAUUUGAUCCCCAGCAUUUUUUUAACAAGGAAGACGAUAUUGGAAUCAAUUCUAUCAAAGCGGUGGAUGAUCCAAGAACACUGAACAAAAUACUUUACAUCAGACCCCGUUGCAGUAUCUACUCAUUCAAUGAUCUUGUGUCUCUGUGGGAGGAAAAGAUUGGCAAAGCCCUUGACAGGGUCUAUGUUACAGAGGAACAACUUCUGAAAAACAUUCAAGGUUAGUUAGAACUAUCACUUUAUUCGUUACUGAUGACAACACAUGGAGAAAUUUUCCUUGGUCUUAUCAAGUGGAUAGAUGUAACUGACCGAUAAUGGAAAAUUUUUUCCUUCUCCAAAAUGCGAUAGAAUCUAAUCGGUUUCAACAAUCUCAAGAACAUCUAUUCAUGGUUGUGUUGUUUGAAAUCUGUAUGUAUCAGUUUUCUUUCUAGAUCUCAGAUUGCUCGCAAGGAUGUCAAGUUUUGAUGAUGCUUGCCUGUUUUCCUGUGUUUACAGAAGGCUCAUAUCCACUCAAUAUGAUAUUAUCUAUUGGGCACUCUGCCUAUGUCCUGGGAGAUUAGACCAACUUCGAAAUUGAACCUUCAUUUGGAGUAGAGGCAACCGAGCUUUGUCCAGAUGUCAACUACACUACUGUGGAUGAGUACCUCAACCAGUUCAUAUAAACCUUCUGAGAUGAGCAGCAGGAUCCUAACCAAAAAUUGGGUGGUUUCCAUCCCUGAUUCUAUGGUAUAAAGAUAGCGGCUUUCCAUGCUUUUGCCAGUUCAAUGAAGUUUGUUAGAUGAUGUUAUUUAUACUAUACUAGCAAAGAUCAAGUUGCCUUUCUUGUCAAGAAGCCAAGCUCUGGCAUUGGUUUAUGCUAGUUUUUCACACUAAUAUUGGUAUUCACUAAUUUUUUUUUUUUCAUUUCACACCUCCAUCAUCAGUUGAGAUACCCUCUUGUAUGGUACUAACUUUGAUUUUCCUUAUGCUUCACUUGCUGUCUCUGCAGAUUCGUAAAAGAUCAUUCAUGGAUAAGAUCAGAACAUCAAUGUAAUACAGUAUGCAUUGAGAACUCCCACAUGAGUCUUGUUCUAGUUCUCGUUAGACAUGAAACAUGUUACAGUUCCAUAACUUGAGACAUUGUCAUUCAACAAUUAUCAUCGCAUUAAAACAGUGGCCAAUCCCUAACAGCUACCUUUUGACUCUUCACAUUUUUUUUCUGCAUUUUAUGCGCAUUAAUUAUCCAGACCUAGACUUACUCUUCUCAGCUUGGCCCGUUGGACAGUGAGUGAUGAAACAGAAAAUUUUUCAUGUUUAUGAAUGUAUGAAGUAUCUCUUCUGCACUGCACCGGCAUCCUCCUUAACUGUCAGUAGGAUCACAAUAAGUCGACCAACCAUCUACCGUAUGGAUUAUCUAUAAAUUGAAAUUGGUGUGUAUUAUGGAUCUGUCACUCUGCUGCUUCUGUUUUCUUUUCUAUUUUUACCAAGAAAGAAACAUUGUUAAAACUGAAUGGUUGUUAUCUCGUCUUGUUGUAAUGUUGUGUAUGCUUUCUAGAAAAUAAUGAAGUGCCAAAUAUGAAAAUACUAGUGGCUACCUUACCAUCCUUAAUAAGUUGUCUGAUUGUCACCGUCAACAAUCACUCUCAGAAACUCAUAAUCCAUUUAAGCAUAUUAUAAAAUAAUCAAUUUUGUAUUUGCACCAACUUUUAGUUUUAAAUGACAAUUUCGUUGAUCCCCUCACACUUCUGUACUAAUCAAAUCCACUGAAACUGGACUUUUUUUUUUUUUUUUUUAUAAUUACAUCGAUUGCAAUGGCUAUUGCAGGGAAAAGACAGCCUCUACAGGGAACUAAACUUUCAGAAUUGAUCUUAUGAGGGUUUGAAUAUGCUCUCGUACUAGGUCAAUGGCCUAUUGGUUCGAGACCAUUCACAAAGAAAGAAAUGAGUUUUGCUUGUAUAAAUGAAAGAAAUCCAAAUGAUAACUAAUGUAUAGUGGUACAUGAGAAAAAUAAUUUCAGCCCCUGUGUAAAGUCAAAAAGAGAAAAUAUUAAAAGAAAGGAUAAUGUCAUUGAGUUCGGUGAAGUGAAAGAAAAUAAAAAACAUGGGAUUUAGUCAAACUUAGUGUCCCAAUCAGCAGAAAAAGGUUUUAGAAACUCACCUCAAGUUAAGCCAACUAUUAGGAGCUUUAUUUAAUCAUGGCUUUCUAAUGUAUAGUACUCCAAUACUAAACGAGGGCUACCUCUACGCUUGCAAAUGUAAAUGAAAUUGAGUUCGUGACGCACAAUGAAGUGAGCAAAAUGAGUUGAGAUCUGAGAAUAUAUUAAAGAAAAUAUGAAUCAAUGAAUUUUGGUUAAAAAAAACAAAUGCUGGUUCUUCAAGACCUGCGUGUAUUGUGUAAGUUUUGUUAGGAGAAGGAAAGCAUUUUGGUCUAAAACGCACUAAAUCGGAUUCAUUUGCUUGAUAUCUAAUAAGGGUGAAUUAACCACUCGCCCACAGCAAUUCAAGUACCCAAAAAAGUUUUGUGGGGGCUAAAUUUCUUCUUUAAUUAUAACAAAUAAUUGAGCGGAGGAUAAAAAUUUAGGCCAUGUAUAACAAUAACUAAUAUAAACUAGUCCUAAUAAUAGUAUAAUUGUAAAUAUCAGUUGUAGUCUCAUACAAUAUAAGUUUAUAGAUUAUAAUAUCGGCAUAAAAAGAAAAAUGAUAUCUGACGGUCAAUCAAUAAAAGGACAAAAACUUGGAGUAACAUACCACAAAGUCAAUGUAGCUGGACAGUGAAUAUAAUAUGUAAACAAAUUUAAAUGGGAUAAUACCAUACGGUACAUACAUAACAUUUUAAAACUGAAUUAAAAAAAUAAAAUUAAAACUGAAUUGGAAUUCGUAUGUGUAUCCAGCUACCUUGCCACAGUUGUAAGGUACCCUAACUUUGCAACAAUUUCAUCCUUCGUGCAUUCGGUCACAAAGUCCAAAUUAGGCACGUUUAAGAAUCGAACUGAAAAACUAAAAAAAAGAAUCCGGCGAUAUUUGCGAACCGGAAACGAGCCAGCGUUAUGCUUAUGUCAUUUCAGAGAUAUCAACAGUCGUGCUUUCAGUCCUUAAACCUCAAGGGCAUUUUCGUCCUUUCACUCAAGCGUGAAACUGCAUGUAAGAACUGCUUCGCUUACACGCUCCAUGCACAUUUAAAGGCACCACUGUCGGAUAAAAAAUAUCCAUCCAUUUGAUCAUUUCAAAACAAAACGAAAAAAAAAAUCUCAGUAAUUGAACUGAACGAGUCUCAGAAAUGGCAUCGAAAAGUAAGAUUCUAUUCAUCGGCGGGACAGGGUAUAUCGGUAAAUCCACUGUCGAAGCGAGCGUAAAAGCCGGCCACCCGACGUUCGUGCUCGUGAGAGAAUCCACAAUCUCUGGUCCUUCCAAAUCUCAACUCCUCGAUCACUUCAAAAACCUCGGCGUCAAUCUCGUCAUAGUGCGUUUUCAUUUUUCUCUUUUCUUAAUUUUUUAUUCCGAUCAUUUUUACACGUCGAAGUGUAGCAUCUACUACUUAAUAUACAUAAUGAUAUUAUUAUUUUUUAAUUUUUUUGGGUUGCUGUUAUUAUUAUGCAGGGAGAUGUGUUGAAUCACGAGAGUUUGGUGAAGGCGAUUAAACAAGUGGACGUGGUGAUAUCAACGGUCGGUCACACUUUAUUAGCUGAUCAGGUCAAGAUUAUUGCUGCCAUUAAAGAAGCCGGUAACGUUAAGGUAUAACAUAAUUAAUGUAAAUGUCUUAGAUUCCGAUCAGGAUUGUGCACUCGCGAACACGUGGUGAUUUAUUCUUGGUGUGGAGCUCGCUGUAGAGUAGAGCUCCCAGUUCAGCUAAUAAACACCCCGUCACAUGCGCAAUUGCGCCUCAAAAUAAUUUAAUUGAUUAAUUAAGGAUAAAUACCAAUGGCAUGAAAGCAAUUAAAAUUAGUUGAUGUUUAUAAAUUAUUUAUUACUCAGAGAUUCUUACCAUCGGAAUUUGGAAAUGAUGUUGAUCGAGUUGAAGGCGCCGUAGAGCCAACAAAAUCGACGUAUGACGUAAAGGCGAAAAUCCGCCGAGCCGUUGAGGCAGAAGGCAUUCCGUACACUUACGUAGAAUCUUAUUGUUUUGAUGGCUAUUUCCUCCCCAAUUUGUUGCAGCCUGAGGCCACUGCCCCCCUAGGGAUAAGGUUGUCAUCUUAGGCGAUGGAAAUCCAAAAGGUAAUAUAAUUUAAUUAAGCUCUGUUUGUUUGGUAUGUAUUUCGGUGUUAAUGUUAUUGUCUGUUGUACAAUGGAUGGUCUUGCUUGGUACUGUUGUUGGAGAGCUGCAGUGUUUUGAUAAACACCUCUAUCCUUAGCUUUCAAGUUAAGUUGAUUUUAUACAACACUUGUUUAAUUCAAAACUUGUAAUAUUCUUACUACUUUGAUAAAAAAUAUUACGAUUAAAGCAUUAAUGGCACCAUAAUACGAAAUGAACCUUAAGUGGUCAUUAUAGAUUUUAAGAUAGAGUUUUAAGUGAUUACCAGAUACUUUAGCUGCUGAACCGCCACAUCAUGGUUGCCACACAACAAUUUCAAACAGAGCCUAAAUAACUUCAUUGCAAAACAGUUAAAUGAAUCUAACUUAGUUUCGUCGUUUGAUUUUCAGCUGUUUUUAACAAGGAAGAUGAUAUUGGAACCUACACUAUCAAAGCGGUUGAUGAUCCGAGAACCUUGAACAAAAACUUUUACAUUCAGCCUCCCGGUAAUAUUUACUCAUUCAAUGAUCUUGUGUCUCUGUGGGAGAGAAAGAUUGGUAAAACCCUCGAAAAGGAGUAUGUUUCAGAGGAGCAGCUCCUAAAGAAUAUUCAAGGUUGGUUAAAACUCUCUUUUUUUAAAUGUAUUAAAGAGAGCCGUAUAUUCUCUGCCGUAAAUGUUAUUGAUCCUGUCUUCUCCAAAAUGUUGCAGAAGCUGCACCUCCACACAAUGUGAUAUUAUCAAUUUAUCACUCUGCUUUCGUGAAGGGAGUUCAAACCAACUUCAAGAUUGAACCAUCUUUUGGAGUUGAAGCCUCGCAGCUUUAUCCUGAUGUCAAGUACACUACAGUUGAUGAGUACCUCAAUCAGUUUGUGUAACCCUUCUCUGUUUCCAGCUGCAGCUUGCAGGAUCUUGGACUGUUGGUAAAUAAAUAAUUGGCUUGUUGCCAUCUUUGGUUUUAUAUGUAAAAAUUAUGGUUGUUGGCCUUACUUUCUUCUGGUUGUCCAUGGAAUUUGUUAGACCAUAUUUUGUUUGCUAUGUCAGUGAUCAAAUGAAGUAGGCCAUGUACUUGAUUUGAGAGUAGUAGUUAUAAAGCCAUCAUGAUCAGGUGGGUGCGUGGGUUGGGCUUCUAUUAGGGUGCGUGUGUUGGGCUUCAGGGGCUUGUGAUAUGGGUUCGACAGCCCCUAACGGGCAGUCAUUAUAAAAAUAAUUAUAGAGUUACAAAUCUAUGUAAAAAGCAAAAAUUAAAAGUAAUUUAUCAAUAAAAAUAAUUAAAAUUAAUAAAAAGUAGGUAUGAUAUUUCAGAAAUCAAAUUAAAGAUAGCAUUCUAAAGAGUCGGAUAAUCCUCCAACUAAACUAAAGAUCUAGUACAUUUGAGAGCAAAUUUAAUUAAAGAAAAGGAUAAGGAAAAACAAUAGAAUAAUAAUAUUAAAAAUUGCAAAUCUUGGUCUUUUUUUUUUACGAUGAUGUUGAAUUCUUAUAAAUUUAAUCUUAUCUAUAGAAUUAUUUAGUUACUGUAUGUCAAAAUUUCCUAUAAAGAUGAAGAAAAAUUAUAUUAGGAGAAGAUCCAAAUCCGUUUAACUGAUGCAUCAUCGACAACAUGAGUACAACAUUUUUGAAUAAACAAAAGAAACUCGUUUUAUGUGCGAACCAGUUCCAAAAUAAAGAGCAGACUAUUGGAAGGAGACAAAUACUACAAGAAGAACAAAACAUUCUACAGUUCCUACAUGAGCCCGCAACAAUUCAUUAUUAACUCGACAUUCAUUACACUUUUUCUUUAAUUUGACAAAGAAACCAAAAAUAAGAUAAAAUUGACUAAGAAAUAAAAAAAUGACCGAAAUCUUUUUGAAGUUUUGCCAGUUCAGCCAUGCACGCUUAUCUUUAUUCACUUGUUUCCUUUCUUUCCUUUCUUUGCUGAAGCCUUCACAGAUCCUUUACCUUUCUGAGCCUUGCCAAUUUUCCCCUUCUUCAAACCACCUGGCCUUGCUGGAUCCACGUGUCCUUGCAUCCUUUUUCAUUCGUGGAUCAACAAGAAUCUUCCCCUUUCCAGCUCUCUCUUGAACUCCUUUCUUUGGGACCAGUAUUCUUUUGUCGGCCUUUUGGGUAUAGUUGUCUUGUAUAAUUGUUCAAUUUGAUUCCUCUUCGAACGAUCAGAGAUGUCCGCUUAGUCUGAUAUGACAUUUGCCUUCUUGCGAACCUUCUCAAGAUUUCGCAUGGCAACCCGUAUCUUUCGAGCUUUGGUCUUAGCCACCUUCUUGGCAGUAUGGGUGGGCGAUUCGGUUUUGGGAUAAACUUUUGGUUUCGUAUCGGUUUAGAUUAAAAAAUAAUAUAAAAAAAUAUUUAGAUUUUAAGAGAAAAAAUCCGAACCGAGACUCACCUAUCGAUUUCGGCUCGGUUUCAGUUCAGUUUUGAUUCUCCUAAUAGUUUUAUUUUGCCUUAUUGACUUCCGGUCAAUGACACUUUUGAAAAAUUUACCAAAAAAAAAAAAAAUGGCCAUAACAAAAUUUCUAUAUGCAAAUAUUUCCUAAACAUUAGGCUAUACUAAAUUUUUUUAAAAGGUAGGGACCCAAACGAUAUUAUCCCUCUACUUCAUCUUCAACCUUCGUCAUUAGGGAUGGCAAAAUCCGAGUUCGGGUCCGGGUUUAGCCAUUUGGGAUCCGGACCCGGAUGAAUAUUUUUUGUACCAGACCCGAAAAUAAACCCGCAUUUUUCCACUUCGAGUCCGGUACGGGUUCAACCCGAAAAAAUUCGGGUUCCCUGACUGCGGGUUUCCAACUCGGAUUAAUGAAUCCAAUUGAAAAAAAAAAACUAAAUUCAACAAAAAAAAUCAAAUAGAAAUACAUAUCCAGGAUUUCAGCAAAUCAAAGAAAAAUUAUUUCAUCUGGAAACUAAUUAACAAAAACAACAAUUUUGUUUGGCUGCCCAGAAUCAGCAACCCAAUGUGGCGGCUCGUUCAAAACAUUAGUGUUUUCAACAGAUUUUGGGGUAGGAAAAGCCAAACCUAUCUAGAACAAUGAAUUUGUAUUUUUGGGGGAGAUGAGGUACCUCACUGGUUUGUUGUGUGCGGUGCAGUGUAUCUUAAAUUUGGGGGAUGUGAGAAGGGGAGAGGGAGUGGUAAUAAUGGUGAAAGGUCAAAACCAAUAGAGAUGUCCUUCAAAAUGAGCUUCACACCUGUAAAACAGUGAAAUAAAGGUUAGAGGUGAAGCUGGGGUAUCCCGGUGUUCACACUCCGACGCUCAAGUUAGCAAACUCAAGCUUUUAUGACAAAGAGAACUGGCUAGCCCUCUGUAAAUUAGGGUUUAAGGUUCAAGGAAACCUAUUUUUUGGAAUGUGAGUGUUAAUGGUGAGUGAGAGACCUCUUGGAGAAUGAAACCUAUGCGCCUUUAUAUAUGGAGUACCUCAGCUGCCACGUGACGUACCCUUUUUGGCUAACGUCAUUUUUCAUUUUUAUGAUUUUUGGGUCGUUAUGUUCAUGUUCGCGGGGUAUCUCAUCUUUUAGAAACGUGGCGCGCGCUGGAGAGUGGUCCAGGGUACCUCUGCAGUAGCUGUCGGGUAGGCGGCUGAGGACCACUGUCCUUGGGACAGUGUCUUUCACUUUUGGUAAAGGUGACAGGCGGUUGUCCUCCCUUUUAACACGACAUUUUUUAUUCCUAAUUAUGACAAAAUCGAAUAAUAUCUUUUAAGAGAUGGAGACGUUUCUCAUGGUGGAUAUUUUCGGAAGAUUCUCUUGCAUCUGAUCAGCCGGGUUCCUCCAGUUACGCAGGGUACCUCAAUUUAUGUGGGGUACCUCUAAUUUUAUGGGGUACCACUAUUUGCGCAGGGUACCUUGAAUCAUGCCAAGUACCUUAGAUUAUGCGGAGUACCUCUAAUUGUGCGGGAUACCUCUAUUGCGCUAGGUACCUUGAAUCAUGCCGGGUACCUCAGAUUGUGCGGGGUAUCUCUAUUUGCGCAGGGUACCUUGAAUCAUGCUGGGCACCUCAGAUUGUGUGGGGUACCUUGAGUCAUGCGAGGUACCUCUAAUCAGGCCAGGUACCCUCUAAUUGUGCUGAGUACCUAUAAUCAUGCAGGGUACCUCUAAUCAAGCCGGGUACCUUUAAUCAUGCGGGGUACCUCUAAUCAGGCCGGGUACCUUAGAUUGUGCGGGGUACCUCUAUUUGCGCAGGGUACCUUGAAUCAUGCAGGGUAUCUCAGAUUGUGCGGGGUACCUCAAAUUGUGUGGGGUACUUCUAAUCGUGCGGGGUACCUCUAAUCAUGUCGGGUACCUCGGAUUGCACUGAAGUUAUUCCAUUCGUUGACACGUGGCGUUAUGCUAUCUUUCUUAUUUUUCCCCCAAACAACAUCCCUCUAGUUUCUUUUGGCAAGAAGUUUUGGAGGCAAAAGAAACUUACAUAAAAAGUAGAAGCGACACGUGGCGAUAUGAUGUUUAGCUCGAUGGGUAACUAAAUAGAGGGCGCCUUUAGGGGUACCCUGAGAACCCAAAAAGGGAAGAUGGGCUCCAUUUCCUCGGAAAUGGCUACCACUUUGGACAUGUUGGAAAGGAUAGAGCUAAUUGAUCAAAAAAAUUUCAUCUAUUUCUAGGGAAGAACACCAAAUACGGGUAGAGGGUAUCGUUAGGGUACCCCACCAUUACCCAUAGUUUGUUUUCUAGUGACUGCCAUGUAUAAAUCGCUCUGGUGAAGGCUUCAAUACAUUCUUUGGGCAUUUAAGAAGCAAUUAUUUGAUUAUCUCGGGAUCCACCUUAUUUAAGGGUAUAUUUCCUUCAUGUACUUUGAAGACAAAAAUAAAAUCACAGGGCUUUCUUCCUUGUAACUUCAGAGGUACCCUCGACAGAAGAAUAUAGUCAACAAUGCUUUUAAGCGUAUCAUGAUCGAGGAAUGGAGUGCUGAUCUGGGGUUGGUGGUGCCAAGAGUGGAGAAGAUGGUAGAUGAACCGGCUAUCUUGAAGGCGAUUAACGAUAGCGGGGCUCUCAACACAUCUUGGUCUGAAGGGGUAAUGCAAAUAAGUUUACGUUGAUUGGAUAUUCAGAAGAAGUAAUACGCCAUUAAAAGCAACAAGUUUUCCAAAAAGCCAACAAAGACAGACACCACCACACCACCCCGCGCUGGAUGAAAAACGAUGAAAGCAUGAUAAGUGACAUCGAGUAAGCCACGUUCUCUCUCUCUCUCUCACUCGCACUCGCACUCGCACUCGCACUCGCACUCGCACACACUGUUACUAAAAUAACCAAAAAUAAGAUUCCCAUCAAAAUAUUUUCAAGUAUCGUUCUUGAAAGUGGCGGCGGCUGAUGAUGAUGAACACAGCCGCGAUUGCGAUUGGCGAAGGCGGCGUUCAGCCCGUAUCACAGCUAGUUAUCGGUCGUGGCAGAAAAGAUAAUGAAACGACGGCUGAUGAUGAUAAUGAUGAUGUUGAACAGCCGCAAAUAUGGGUAAGUGAUGCGACGAUGAUUUGAUGAAGAUGAAGAUGAGCUGAAGAUGGAAUAAGAGUGGAAAUGUUUGUGCGGCUGGGAAAGUGUAAUGAGCUGCUAGGGCACCAUUUGGGUUUUUUUGCUUUCCUAUUUAUAUUAAAAAUAAUUUUUAAAAAUUAAUAUAUAUCCGGGUUCGGGUUUUGGAUGUACGGGUUUACCUAGACCCGGACACAUGCGGAUUCAGCAGCACCGACCACCCACAGACUUGGAUUCGAUUGCAAAGUUGGGACUUAGGAUUUGGGUUUGUGGCUGCUGAAACAGAAAGUGAGAGAGUAGAAAGUAGAGACUAAGAGUGGUGCAAACAUGUGUAAUUUUGUGUGUGUGUCUAUAUAUAUAUAUAUAAUGUGAAAUUACAAAAAUGCCAUUAUAUCAGUUCAAUUCGAAUUUUGUAACUUGUGAUCCAAAAACUGAACCAAACCGAACCAUUUGGUUUGGUUUUUAUAUAUUCAGGUUUUUAAUUUAAAAAAACUAAAUUGAAAUUGAAAGAACUAAACCGAACCGAAUUUUUUUUUUUUUUUUGUUUCGGUUCAAUUAUGCCCAUCCCUACUUAGUAGGCUGGGCAUUAAUUUCUUUGAAUUGUGCUUUCAUUGCAGUAAUCUCCUCCUUGGUAAUAGGUUUAAUUGCUUGUUGAUGCCUCAUUUCCUCUAGUAACAACUAGUCUAACAAGCCAUCAUCGUCAAACAUGUACCUAUUAUAAGCAUCAUCCAGAAUUUGCUCUCUUUGCUUUUUGCUUAGUGUCUUCUUUGCACAAGCUAUUAUCUCAGCUUUUGUAUGAAUAUCUUUAUCUUUUGAUUCACCAGAGGAUGAAUCAUCACCGGAAUAGAGUGGUGAAGGCCCCAUAGAUUAGUGUGAUCAAGUUCUAGUGUAGUUUUGGUUUUGAUUUCAGUAUUAGGAAAAUGAAGCCUAUGAAAUUUACUAAGCUAACAUGCUUCACAAAAGUGCUUUAAUACUUGAAGAGGAUAAAUGAGGAUAAAUAAAUUUAAAUAUACAUUAGAUUUUGAGGGUUGGGAUGUCAAAACUUUUGGUGAAAAAGAGUUAGUACAAGCAUUUUUAUUGAGAUUGAAAAUAUUUCUUAAGAUGAUCAAUACUAGUUACAAAAUUGGAAUGAAAAAAAAAGGCAACAUAGACAAAGGUUUGUUUAUUUGAUUGUAAGAUAGAAAAGACUUGUAUUUAAGUUGUGGAAAGGAUUUGAGCAGCAAUUUAUACAACCUUUUCUCAGCAAAACCUUCCUCUUCAAUGAAUCCUUCACAAAACAAAUAGAUCCAAGAAAUUCGACAAAUAAAUUGUUGUCAAUGGUAAGUUUUGAAAUGCUCAAUAGAUUCUUUGUAAUGGAUGGAACAAACAGUACAUCCUUAAGUAAAAUAUGUCUUAUAUUAUCUUUUUUUAAUUCUUUUUUAAAAAAUAAGUGAAUAAUAGUAUGUCAAUCUCAAAUAUCAAUAUGUACAAUUUUUAUUUGUGUAAGAAUUUGCAUCCAAUAAUCAUCAAUACAUAAUUGUCUUUUAAUUGAAUGGUUCUCACCUCCCUUCCAAACUUUGAAAAGGUAAAAUAAGAUCAAUCAUGUCAGUGGCAAUUAAUAUAAAGAUUACUUUUCUUAUUUGUAGUAACGUCCUCUGAUUAUUUAGCUGAUUUUCAAGCUACACAUUUAUUCCAUUUGAUGUUGAUAUUAGUAAAAUUAAUGUAAUAUUUAAAAAGGAAAAAAAUCCGUCGAGCUAAAAGCCGAGUAUAAAAUUGAACCGGACCCAAACCAGAAACGCACGCCAACAACAUGCUUGCGUUAGUCGGCCCAUGCCCAUAAACCCACCAAGCCCGAUCCAAAUAGAAAAAUGAAUUGGACACCCGAGAUAGCAGAAACAGAUAAGUAACGGUCGUGUUAUCCCCAAUCUCAUAUCUUCAACGGUAUCCAGCCAACAUCUCAAAGUGUUCAAUUUUUUUUUAAGCCAAAAAAAAAUUCAAAAUUUUCAAGCGGAAUCUGGGAAGAUGGCGAUGAAAAGCAAGAUUCUGGUUAUCGGCGGAACCGGAUACAUCGGUAAGUACUUAAGGUGCGUUUGAAAUUGAGGUUGAACAACUAUAACUUUAAAACUACAGCACUAAAAUAUUUGGUAAACACUAACUGUUGUAACUUAAAAGCUAUUUAAUAUAAUUUUUCACUUGUAUAAUAAAAAAUUUAUUAUCUUUAAUAAUUUUGUCAAAAUUAUUAUUUAAAAUAUAUACAGUAAGAGAGAUUGUAACAUUUUCAAUCUUUGGUUUGAUAUUCUGGAAGAAAACGGUUUGCCGUUUACGGAGAAAAUGGCUAACCGUUUAAUUUCAGAGAGCAUGUUUUCUAUUCUAGAGAAAACGACUAACCGUUUGGAGAAAAUGGCUAACCGUUUGGAGAAAACGGCUAACCGUUUUGAGAAAACGGCUAACCGUUUAAUUCCAGAGAGCAUGUUUUCUGUUCUAAAGAAAAUAACUAACCGUUUGGAUAAAACAACCAACCAUUAAUUACAGAGAGUAACUUAUUUGACAUUCUGGAAUAAAACGGCUCACCGUUAUUGAGAAAAUGGCUAACCGUUUAUUUCCAGAGAGCGUGUUUUUGCGUCAACUGGAAAAACGGUUAGCAAGCUUGGAAAUUUCAAUUGUCAAUCGAUGCAAACUCAAACCAAAAGAGUGUUUUUUAAAGAAGUACCAUUUUUAAUGGUUGUAUUCUUUCAAAUAAACAUCUUCUUUAUUAAAGAUAAACAAACUAUUAUAUCAUAAUCAGAUUUUGCAGGUUUCAUAUAUGUUCUGGAAAUACAAUCUUAUUUUCUAGAGAUUGUAUUCAGGAUUUGAUAUAUCUUAGGGGUAAUUUGCCAUUAAAACUCUAUAGCAAACCAAGAUUGGUGAGGGCAAAUAAAACCUUAAAGAAAAGUGUGCAAACACGUCUCAAAUCCUAAGAAAUUUUCUUUGUUCUUUGCCUCCAUAUUCUUAAAAUUUGAAAAUUCACCCAUCAAUCUUUAAGGUUUUAUUUUGAUGCAAAUAGAGGCUGAGAAGAGUUUGACGCCAUUUCUUAAUCCUAGUGUCCAUCUCGAUCGUUUUGAUGGAACAAAUUUCACUCGUUGGAAGGGAAAAUUGUUCUUUCUUCUUACUGUUCUUAAAGUGACAUAUGUUCUUGAUCCGAAAUUGGAACCAUUUCCAGAACCAAGAGAAGAUGAUACCGAAGUUGUUAAGGCUGCAAGGAAACGUCGUGAAGAUGAUGAAUUGAUGUGCCGGGGUCACAUACUCAAUACGCGUUCUGACAGGUUAUAUGAUCUCUACAAUUUUAUGACUUCUCCGGUGGAAAUUUGGAAUGCUCUUAAGUACAAAUACAAAACGGAGAAAGAAGGUACUGACAAAUUCCUUGUCUCUAAAUAUUUUGAAUUUAUUAUGAUAGACACACAAUCCAUUCUUGAUCAAAUACAUGAGUUAUAAAUUAUUGUUGCUAAGCUUCGAGAGUUAAAAGUUGAAAUUUUUGAAUCAUUUCAAGUUGGGACUAUUAUUGCUAAAUUGCCUCAAAGUUGGAAUGAUUAUAGAAAGAAACUCCUUCAUAGUAAAGAGAACAUAACUUUAGAAGAAUUGCAAAAACACUUGAUAAUUGAAGAAGAGACUAGGUCUCGCGAAUCCAAGGAUAAGCAUGAUUCUACUAAAGUUAAUGUUCUUGAAGCUAGUAAAUUCUCAAAGAAUUUUAAAGUCAAGAAUGACAAGAAAUUUAAGAAGUCCAGCACACAAAAGUUUUCUGGAAAUUGUUUCUUUUGUGGUAAGAAAGGUCAUCGCCAAAGUGAUUGCAGAUUCAAGAAAAAAAAAAGGAAGAAGUGGAUUCCUAUAAAGCUAAUGUUAUUGAAAACAAAUCUGAAAAGAUUUGUGCUAUGGUUUCUGAAAUGCAAAUUGGCAUGAUUAUCGAAACCAAUAUGGCUGAAACUAAGUCCUAUGAUUGGUGGCUCGAUUCGGGUACAACAAUUCAUGUUUGUAAUGAUAAGAAAUUUUUAUUAUCAUACAAAGAAGAAACGGAAGGACAAAUGGUUCUCAUGGGGAACAAUAAUGCAGCCAUAGUAGCAGGGAAAUGAGUAGUUGAGAUCAACUUCACUUCUAGAAAGAAAGUCACAUUGUAUAAUGUCUUUCAUGUACCUUUCGUUAGGAAGAAUCUUAUUUCUGCUAGUUGUAUGUGUAAGCAUGGGCUUAAGAUUGUGCUUGAGGGUAAUACUUGUAUUAUCUCAAAGAAUGAAUUAUUUGUUGGGAAAUGGUAUUCUUGUGAUGGAAUGUACAAACUCAACAUUAAUAAUAAUAAUAUCAACUUAGCUUAUAUUGUUGAGUCUUGUGAUGUUUGGCAUGCUAAAUUAGCACAUUUGAAUUUUAGAUCUUUGAAAUACAUGUCUGAGCAUGGUUUGAUUAAUUGCAAUGAUGUUAAAGGUCAUAAGUGUGAAAUCUGCAUCCAAGCUAAAUUAACUAAGAAACAUUUUCUUAAAGCCGAACGAAAUACUCAAAUAUUGGACUUAAUAUAUACCGAUAUUUGUGAGUAUAAUGGCGUUUUAACAAGAGGAGGUAAGAAGUACUUUAUCACUUUUAUUGAUGAUUGUUCUAGAUACACUUAUGUGUAUUUACUUAGAACAAAAAAUGAAGCUUUUGAUAAAUUUAAAAUUUUCAAAGCUGAAGUUGAGAACUAAAAAGAUAAGAAAAUCAAAAUGGUUCGUAGUGAUAGAGGUGGUGAAUAUUUCUCAAUUGAAUUUAAUAAUUAUUGUGAAGAAUUUGGAAUUAUUCACCAAAGAUCAGCUCCAUUUACUCCUCAACAAAGUGGUUUGGCUAAAAGAAAGAAUAAGAUCUUCACAGAUAUGAUAAAUUCCAUGAUCCUUAAUGCAAAACUACCAAAUAAUUUGUGGGGGGAAGCAUUACUCACUGCAUGUCAUAUUCAUAACAGAAUUACAUAUUUGAAAACACAUAUAUCUCUUUAUGAAAUUUGGAAAGGAAGAAAACCAAACUUGAUGUAUUUAAGGGUCUAGGGUUGUUUAGCUUUUUAUAAAAUACAUGAUCCUAAAUCAUCAAAGUUAUGUGCUAGAUGUAUAAAGAGUGUUUUCGUAGGAUAUGCUGAAAAUUCCAAGGCUUAUAGGUUGUUAGAUUUAGAUUAUAAUGUGAUUGUGGAAUCUAGAGAUGUUGAAUUUAUUGAGAAUAAAUUUCAACAUGAUUCUAAUAUUGAAUUAGAAUCAAUUAUUGAUCAACCAUGUGUUAAUACUCCUGUUACCUCCACUAACAAUAAUAAAAGGAAAGACUCUAUGACAUCUUUCGAACCAAUGAGGAGUCAAGGUGAAAAGAAAGAAAAGAGUUUAGCUCCGAAUUUUAUUUCAUCACAAGCACUACUCUUCUUGGUUGAAGGGGAUAGAAAGAAUGUACUUAACAAAGUACCAUUGUUGUUAAAUAUUGAAAAAGAUCCAAAGACAUUUAGCGAAGCUAUGUCUUCUAGAGACGCUUCUUUUUGGAGAGAGGCGGUAAAUGAUGAAAUUGAUUCGAUUAUUUCGAAUCAAACAUGGGUCUUGGUUGAUCUUCCUCCAGGAUCUAAACCAAUUAGCAGCAAAUGGGUAUUUAGAAGAAAGUACAAUAGUGAUGGUUCUUUGCAAACUUUUUAGGCUAGAUUAGUAGCCAAAGGGUUUAAGCAAAGAAAUGGUAUUGGUUAUUUCGAUACAUAUGCUUCGGUAGCAAGGUUAACUUCUAUAAGAGUGCUAUUUGCAAUUGCUUCAUUGAAUAAUUUGUAUGUGCAACUAAUGGAUGUUAAAACCGCUUUUCUUAAUGGUGAUCUUGAUGAAGAAAUCUAUAUGGAACAACCUGAGGGAUUUGUUUUACCAGGAAAUGAGAAAAAAGGUAUGCAAGUUAGUCAAAUCACUUUAUGGUUUAAAGCAAGCACCAAAACAAUGGCAUGAGAAGUUUGAUUCGGUAAUUUUAUCUCAUGGUUUUAAGCAUAAUAAUGCUGAUAAAUGUAUAUAUUUUAAAGUUACGAAUGAUUUUGGUGUGAUUAUAUGCUUGUAUGUUGAUGACUUGCUUAUCUUUGGAACAAAUAUGCAAGGAGUAGAUGAUACAAAGAAGUAUUUAACUUCACAAUUUAAGAUAAAAGAUCUUGGUGAAGUAGAUACUAUCUUAGGUGUCAAAGUGAAGAAACAUAGUGGGGGUUACUCGUUGUGUCAAUCUCAUUAUAUAGAGAAAGUGCUUCUUAAAUUCAAUUAUUUGAAAUUUAAAGAAGCUAAUACCCCAUAUGAUUCUAGUAUUAAAUUAUUAGAGAAUUCAGGCCGAGUAGUAGCACAACUAGAAUAUGCUAGUGCUAUUGGUAGCUUGAUGUAUGCUAUGCAUUGUACGAGGCCUGAUAUAGCAUUUGCAGUUUGCAAAAUGUCAAGAUUCACGAGUAACCCUAGUGUUGAACACUGGAAAUCAAUUGGUAGAAUACUUGGUUAUCUUAAAAGGACCAUUAAUUUGGGUUUGUUUUAUAAUGAUUAUCUUGAAGUACUGGAAGGAUAUUCAGAUGCUAGUUGGGUAACCAAUACAAGAGAUAAUAAAUCCACUUCUGGUUGGAUUUUUACAAUUGCUGGAGGAGCAGUUUCUUGGGCUUCAAAGAAACAAAUGUACAUAACUCAUUCAACAAUGGAAAGUGAGUUUAUAGCACUCGCAGUUGCAAGCAAGGAAGUAGAAUGGCUGAGAAAUUUGUUGUUUGAUAUAAUGUUAUGGCCACAACCGAUGCCAUCUAUUUCUUUGUACUGCGAUAGUGAAGCUACAUUGUCUAGAGCUUAUAAUAAAGUGUAUAAUGGAAAGUCUAGACAUAUUAGCUUGAGACAUGAAUAUGUGAAACAAUUAAUAGCAGAUGGUGUUAUUAAUAUUGUUUAUGUUAGGACUAAUAAGAACCUAGCGGAUCCUUUAACAAAAGGUCUUACAAGAGACUUAGUUAAGGAUACAUCUUUUGGAAUGGGAUUGAAACCUUUAAAUAAUAAAGUCACCAACGACGAUAACCCAACUAUGUAGUAGUUGCACCGCUACUCCAUAGUUAAAUGGAUAAUAACAAGUUGUUGUUAUGUGACUGGUUUGGCACCGAGUAAUAAAUAAUCACAUUCGAGAUAUUCGGUGCAAAUAGCUACGAGGUUGAGGUUGAGUAUUUACUCUUAAUGAAGUUCAAGUCUUAUACUAGCUAAAGACAUGAUUUGAAACUUCACCUAAGUGAACAUAAGAAAUGGUGCCGUUUCUAACAAGAUCAUGGUUUAAUCUAGUAAAUGUUUAUGAAUCCAAGAUAGAGCACAAGGCCGGAAUAGUGCUAAAUAUUGGAACACAACUUUGAAAAUCUGGGAUAGCUUAUAUGUGAUGUAUCUCCGGUAUUUACUUAAGAGACAAAGUUUAAUGCUUAGCACACUAUUGUUUUGUAAAUGCUUUGAAAUACACUCACUAAUUAAAGGUUAAAAUCGAAAGAUAUCGUUUUGUAUGUAUAAGUUUAUCAUUAAUAAAUAUGAAAAAUAUUACAAUCUAGUGGGGGAUUGUAAGAGAGAUUGUAACAUUUUCAAUCUUUGGUUUGAUAUUCUGGAAGAAAACGGUUUGCCGUUUAUGGAGAAAACGGCUAACUGUUUAAUUCCAAAUAGCAUGUUUUCUGUUCUAGAGAAAACGACUAACUAUUUGGAGAAAAUGGCUAACUGUUUAAUUUUAGAGAGCAUGUUUUCUGUUCUAGAGAAAACGGCUAACCGUUUGGAUAAAACGGCCAACCGUUAAUUACAGAGAGUAACUUAUUUGACAUUCUGGAAUAAAACGGCUCACCGUUAUUGAGAAAACGGCUAACCAUUUAUUUCCAGAGAGCGUGUUUUUGCGUCAACUGGAAAAACGGUUAGCAAGCUUGGAAAUUUCAAUUGUCAAUCGAUGCAAACUCAAACCAAAAGAGUGUUUUUUUAAAGAAGUACCAUUUCUAAUAGUUGUAUUCUUUCAAAUAAACAUCUUCUUUAUUAAAGAUAGACAAACAAUUAGAUCAUAAUCAGAUUUUGCAGGUUUCAUAUAUGUUUUGGAAAUACAAUCUUAUUUGCUAGAGAUUGUAUUCAGGAUUUGAUAUAUCUUGGGGGUAAUUUGCCAUUAAAACUCUAUAGCAAACCAAGAUUGGUGAGGGCAAAUAAAACCUUAAAGGAAAGUGUGCAAACACGUCUCAAAUCCUAAGAAUUGUUUUUUGUUCUUUGUCUCAAUAUUCUUAAAAUUCGAAAAUUCACCCAUCAUAUACAUACUACAUAUUAUUAAUUUUUGUUUUAUAACUAUAGUUUUUUUUUUACCGCAACUGUAGUUUAAAAACUACAGCACCUCAAUCCCAAAUAAGACCUUAGUAGAAGUGAGCGCGAAAGCCGAUCACCCAACAUUCGCGCUUGUGAGAGACUCCACUCUCUCCACUCCUUCCAAAUCCAAAAUCCUCGACCGUUUCAAAAAUCUCAGCUCGACCGUUUCAAAAAUCUCAGCGUCAAUUUAGUUCAUGUGCGCCACUCUUUUAGCUUUCCAAUUUUCCCGCCAAUUUUCUUUUAUUGUGAUUAAUUAAUUAAUUAAUGUAAAGAUUUUAUAUUAUAAUUUUGUUUGCAGGGAGAUCUAUACAGCCAUGAGAGCUUGGUGAGUACAAUAAAGCAAGUGGAUGUGGUGAUAUCAGCGAUAGGUCGCACUCAAUUAGCUGAUCAACUCAACAUUAUCGCAGCAAAUUGCGAUAACUAAGUACUUGGGAUUUUAAAGAAGCUGGAAAUGUUAAGGUUCUGAUUAACUUAAGUAAAUGCGUUAACUAAUUACUUGGGAUUUUAAAUUCAAAUGUGUGAAUUGUUCUAAAAAAUUAUUUAUGUUUAUUAGUCAGAGAUUCUUUCCUUCAGAAUUUGGAAAUGAUGUUGAUCGCGUGCAUGUCGUUGAGCCAGCAAGAACAUCAUUUGCCACCAAGGCUAAAAUCCGCCGAGCUGUUGAGGAUGAAGGAAUUCCAUACACCUACGUAGCUACGUAGCUUCCAAUUUCUUCGCUGGUUUGUAUCUUUCCAGUUUCUCACAGCCUGAAGCCACAGCUCCUCCAAGGGAUAAAGUGGUCAUCGUAGGUGAUGGAAAUGCAAAAGGCAAAGCGCUUCUGGAUACAUUUACUCUGUACACGCAAUGUGUGGUUACUGUUUGGAGAUAAAAAAGGAGAUUAAUUAAUAAAGAAAAUGAAAUUAUUGAGGGAUUUGCUGAAGAGUUGCGUGCACUCCUCAUUUUUCUCCACCACUCAUCUUACUUGCAAAAUGCAAUGACCAAACUAUCCUCGCCAAAGCCUAGACAUUUACUUGUGUUCAAAGGCCAUUUAAGGGAGACAAGUACAAAAAGUUAUAAAGGAUAGUAAGCAGAAGAAGAAAAUGGAAAGGGGAGGGGGGGGGGGGGAGAAUAAAAAAGGGGAGUGGGGCGUUAUCUAGGGAGGAUUUUUAUUUUUAUUUUUUUUCCUCUCUUCUCCAUGGCAUCUCUUUCUCUCUUUCUCCCACUAAGAAAUUCUUUCUUUUACACUCUAUUUUACUUUUAUGCAAAUUACGCAAAAAACUUUUGGUUUUAAGGCAAUGUUUAUUAAGCCACGUGAAUUUGAAAAAGCAUGAAUAAGGGGAUGAUUUUAACACAUUAAUUCACCAACAUUAAUUGGAAAAGAUCAGUUGCCACUUCGAAUCAGAGUAAUUUCUUCGGCAAUAGCCAAAUAUUGAUAUUUGAUCUUGACACUGUAGUUAAAUCAAUGUAACUGAUUUUGUCAUUUGAUCCCCAGUAAUUUUUAACAAGGAAGACGAUAUUGGGAUUAAUUCUAUCAAAGCGGUGGAUGAUCCAAGAACACUGAACAAAAUACUUUACAUCAGACCCCGUUGCAAUAUCUACUCAUUUAAUGAUCUUGUGUCUCUGUGGGAGGAAAAGAUUGGCAAAGCCCUUGACAGGGUCUAUGUUACAGAGGAACAACUUCUGAAAAACAUUCAAGGUUAGUUAGAACUAUCACUUUAUCAAGUGGAUAGAUGUAACUGACCGAUAAUGGAAAUUUUUUUCCUUCUCCAAAAUGCGAUAGAAUCUAAUCGGUUUCAACAAUCUCAAGAACACCUAUUCAUGGUUGUGUUGUUUGAAAUCUGUAUGUAUCAGUUUUCUUUCUAGAUCUCAGAUUGCUCGCAAGGAUGUCAAGUUUUGAUGAUGCUUGCCUGUUUUCCUGUGUUUACAGAAGCUUCAUAUCCACUCAAUAUGAUAUUACCUAUUGGGCACUCUGCCUAUGUCCUGGGAGAUCAGACCAACUUCGAAAUUGAACCUUCAUUUGGAGUAGAGGCAACAGAGCUUUAUCCAGAUGUCAACUACACUACUGUGGAUGAGUACCUCAACCAGUUCAUAUAAACCUUCUGAGAUGAGCAGCAGGAUCCUAACAAAAAAUUGGGUGGUUUCCAUCCCUGAUUCUAUGGUAUAAAGAUAGCGGCUUUCCCUGCUUUUGCCAGUUCAGUGAAGUUUGUUAGAUGAUGUUAUUUAUACUAUACUAGCAAAGAUCAAGUUGCCUUUCUUGUCAAGAAGCCAAGCUCUGGCAUUGGUUUAUGCUAGUUUUUCACACUAAUAUUGGUAUUCACUAAUUUUUUUUUUUCAUUUCACACCGCCAUCAUCAGUGGAGAUGCCCUCUUGUAUGGUACUAACUUUGAUUUUCCUUAUGCUUCACUUGCUGUCUCUGCAGAUUCGUAAAAGAUCAUUCAUGGAUAAGAUCAGAACAUCAAUUUGAUACAGUAUGCAUUGAGAACUCCCACAUGAUUCUUGUUCUAGUUCUGGUUAGACAUGAAACAUGUUACAGUUCCAUAACUUGAGACAUUGUCAUUCAACAAUUAUCAUCACAUUAAAACAGUGGCCAAUCCCUAACAGCUACCUUUUGACUCUUCACAUUUUUUUUCUGCAUUUUAUGCGCAUUAAUUAUCUAGACCUAGACUUAUUACACUUCUCAGCCUGGCCCGUUGGACAGUGAGUGAUGAAACAAAUUUUUUUUCAUGUUUAUUACUUUUUUUGCAUUCAAAAUGAUAAAACUGCAGAGGUUGUUGCAUGCACGUCAUUUGUUAGUAGGGGUAUCAAUUUAUGAACGUAUGAAGUAUCUCUUCUGCACCGGCAUCCUCCUUAACUGUCAGUAGGAUCACAAUAAGUCGACCAACCAUCUACCGUAUGGAUUAUCUAUAAAUUGAAAUUGGUGUGUAUUAUGGAUCUGUCACUCUGCUGCUUCUGUUUUCUUUUCUAUUUUUACCAAGAAAGAAACAUUGUUAAAACUGAAUGGUUGUUAUCUCGUCUUGUUGUAAUGUUGUGUAUGCUUUCUAGAAAAUAAUGAAGUGCCAAAUAUGAAAAUACUAGUGGCUACCUUACCAUCCUUAAUAAGUUGUCUGAUUGUCACCGUCAACAAUCACUCUCAGCAACUCAUAAUCCAUUUAAGCAUAUUAUAAAAUAAUCAAUUUUGUAUUUGCACCAACUUUUAGUUUUAAAUGACAAUUUCGUUGAUCCCCACACUUCUGUACUAAUCAAAUCCACUGAAACUGGACUUUUUUUUCUUUUUUUUUAUAAUUACAUCGAUUGCAUUGGCUAUUGCAGGGAAAAGACUGCCUCUACAGGGAACUAAACUUUCAGAAUUGAUCUUAUGAGGGUUUGAAUAUGCUCUCGUACUAGGUCAAUGGCCUAUUGGUUCGAGACCAUUCACAAAGAAAGAAAUGAGUUUUGCUUGUAUAAAUGAAAGAAAUCCAAAUGAUAACUAAUGUAUAGUGGUACAUGAGAAAAAUAAUUUCAGCCCCUGUGUAAAGUCAAAAAGAGAAAAUAUUAAAAGAAAGGAUAAUGUCAUUGAGUUCGGUGAAGUGAAAGAAAAUAAAAAACAUGGGAUUUAGUCAAACUUAGUGUCCCAAUCAGCAGAAAAAGGUUUUAGAAACUCACCUCAAGUUAAGCCAACUAUUAGGAGCUUUAUUUAAUCAUGGCUUUCUAAUGUAUAGUACUCCAAUACUAAACGAGGGCUACCUCUACGCUUGCAAAUGUAAAUGAAAUUGAGUUCGUGACGCACAAUGAAGUGAGCAAAAUGAGUUGAGAUCUGAGAAUAUAUUAAAGAAAAUAUGAAUCAAUGAAUUUUGGUUAAAAAAAACAAAUGCUGGUUCUUCAAGACCUGCGUGUAUUGUGUAAGUUUUGUUAGGAGAAGGAAAGCAUUUUGGUCUAAAACGCACUAAAUCGGAUUCAUUUGCUUGAUAUCUAAUAAGGGUGAAUUAACCACUCGCCCACAGCAAUUCAAGUACCCAAAAAAGUUUUGUGGGGGCUAAAUUUCUUCUUUAAUUAUAAAAAAUAAUUGAACGGAGGAUAAAAAUUUAGGCCAUGUAUAACAAUAACUAAUAUAAACUAGUCCUAAUAAUAGUAUAAUUGUAAAUAUCAGUUGUAGUCUCAUACAAUAUAAGUUUAUAGAUUAUAAUAUCGGCAUAAAAAGAAAAAUGAUAUCUGACGGUCAAUCAAUAAAAGGAUAAAAACUUUGGAGUAACAUACCACAAAGUCAAUGUAGCUGGACAGUGAAUAUAAUAUGUAAACAAAUUUAAAUGGGAUAAUACCAUACGGUACAUACAUAACAUUUUAAAACUGAAUUAAAAAAAUAAAAUUAAAACUGAAUUAGAAUUCGUAUGUGUAUCCAGCUACCUUGCCACAGUUGUAAGGUACCCUAACUUUGCAACAAUUUCAUCCUUCGUGCAUUCGGUCACAAAGUCCAAAUUAGGCACGUUUAAGAAUCGAACUGAAAAACUAAAAAAAAGAAUCCGGCGAUAUUUGCGAACCGGAAACGAGCCAGCGUUAUGCUUAUGUCAUUUCAGAGAUAUCAACAGUCGUGCUUUCAGUCCUUAAACCUCAAGGGCAUUUUCGUCCUUUCACUCAAGCGUGAAACUGCAUGUAAGAACUGCUUCGCUUACACGCUCCAUGCACAUUUAAAGGCACCACUGUCGGAUAAAAAAUAUCCAUCCAUUUGAUCAUUUCAAAACAAAACGAAAAAAAAAAUCUCAGUAAUUGAACUGAACGAGUCUCAGAAAUGGCAUCGAAAAGUAAGAUUCUAUUCAUCGGCGGGACAGGGUAUAUCGGUAAAUUCACUGUCGAAGCGAGCGUAAAAGCCGGCCACCCGACGUUCGUGCUCGUGAGAGAAUCCACAAUCUCUGGUCCUUCCAAAUCUCAACUCCUCGAUCACUUCAAAAACCUCGGCGUCAAUCUCGUCAUAGUGCGUUUUCAUUUUUCUCUUUUCUUAAUUUUUUAUUCCGAUCAUUUUUACACGUCGAAGUGUAGCAUCUACUACUUAAUAUACAUAAUGAUAUUAUUAUUUUUUAAUUUUUUUGGGUUGCUGUUAUUAUUAUGCAGGGAGAUGUGUUGAAUCACGAGAGUUUGGUGAAGGCGAUUAAACAAGUGGACGUGGUGAUAUCAACGGUCGGUCACACUUUAUUAGCUGAUCAGGUCAAGAUUAUUGCUGCCAUUAAAGAAGCCGGUAACGUUAAGGUAUAACAUAAUUAAUAUAAAUAUCUUGAAUUCCGAUCAGGAUUGUGCACUCGCGAACACGUGGUGAUUUAUUCUUGGUGUGGAGCUCGCUGUAGAGUAGAGCUCCCAGUUCAGCUAAUAAACACCCCGUCACAUGCGCAAUUGCGCCUCAAAAUAAUUUAAUUGAUUAAUUAAGGAUAAAUACCAAUGGCAUGAAAGCAAUUAAAAUUAGUUGAUGUUUAUAAAUUAUUUAUUACUCAGAGAUUCUUACCAUCGGAAUUUGGAAAUGAUGUUGAUCGAGUUGAAGGCGCCGUAGAGCCAACAAAAUCGACGUAUGACGUAAAGGCGAAAAUCCGCCGAGCCGUUGAGGCAGAAGGCAUUCCGUACACUUACGUAGAAUCUUAUUGUUUUGAUGGCUAUUUCCUCCCCAAUUUGUUGCAGCCUGAGGCCACUGCCCCCCCUAGGGAUAAGGUUGUCAUCUUAGGCGAUGGAAAUCCAAAAGGUAAUAUAAUUUAAUUAAGCUCUGUUUGUUUGGUAUGUAUUUCGGUGUUAAUGUUAUUGUCUGUUGUACAAUGGAUGGUCUUGCUUGGUACUGUUGUUGGAGAGCUGCAGUGUUUUGAUAAACACCUCUAUCCUUAGCUUUCAAGUUAAGUUGAUUUUAUACAACACUUGUUUAAUUCAAAACUUGUAAUAUUCUUACUACUUUGAUAAAAAAUAUUACGAUUAAAGCAUUAAUGGCACCAUAAUACGAAAUGAACCUUAAGUGGUCAUUAUAGAUUUUAAGAUAGAGUUUUAAGUGAUUACCAGAUACUUUAGCUGCUGAACCGCCACAUCAUGGUUGCCACACAACAAUUUCAAACAGAACCUAAAUAACUUCAUUGCAAAACAGUUAAAUGAAUCUAACUUAGUUUCGUCGUUUGAUUUUCAGCUGUUUUUAACAAGGAAGAUGAUAUUGGAACCUACACUAUCAAAGCGGUUGAUGAUCCGAGAACCUUGAACAAAAACUUUUACAUUCAGCCUCCCGGUAAUAUUUACUCAUUCAAUGAUCUUGUGUCUCUGUGGGAGAGAAAGAUUGGUAAAACCCUCGAAAAGGAGUAUGUUUCAGAGGAGCAGCUCCUAAAGAAUAUUCAAGGUUGGUUAAAACUCUCUUUUUUAAAUGUAUUAAAGAGAGCCGUAUAUUCUCUGCCGUAAAUGUCAUUGAUCCUGUCUUCUCCAAAAUGUUGCAGAAGCUGCACCUCCACACAAAGUGAUAUUAUCAAUUUAUCACUCUGCUUUCGUGAAGGGAGUUCAAACCAACUUCAAGAUUGAACCAUCUUUUGGAGUUGAAGCCUCGCAGCUUUAUCCUGAUGUCAAGUACACUACAGUUGAUGAGUACCUCAAUCAGUUUGUGUAACCCUUCGCUGUUUCCAGCUGCAGCUUGCAGGAUCUUGGACUGUUGGUAAAUAAAUAAUUGGCUUGUUGCCAUCUUUGGUUUUAUAUGUAAAAAUUAUGGUUGUUGGCCUUACUUUCUUCUGGUUGUCCAUGGAAUUUGUUAGACCAUAUUAUGUUUGCUAUGUCAGUGAUCAAAUGAAGUAGACCAUGUACUUGAUUUGAGAGUAGUAGUUAUAAAGCCAUCAUGAUCAGGUGGGUGCGUGGGUUGGGCUUCUAUUAGGGUGCGUGUGUUGGGGGGCUUCAGGGGCUUGUGAUAUGGGUUCGACAGCCCCUAACGGGCAGUCAUUAUAAAAAUGAUUAUAGAGUUACAAAUCUAUGUAAAAAGCAAAAAUUAAAAGUAAUUUAUCAAUAAAAAUAAUUAAAAUUAAUAAAAAGUAGGUAUGAUAUUUCAGAAAUUAAAUUAAAGAUAGCAUUCUAAAGAGUUGGAUAAUCCUUCAACUAAACUAAAGAUCUAGUACAUUUGAGAGCAAAUUUAAUUAAAGAAAAGGAUAAGGAAAAACAAUAGAAUAAUAAUAUUAAAAAAUUGCAAAUCUUGGUCUUUUUUUGUUACGAUGAUGUUGAAUUCUUAUAAAUUUAAUCUUAUCUAUAGAGUUAUUUAGUUACUGUAUGUCAAAAUUUCCUAUAAAGAUGAAGAAAAAUUAUAUUAGGAGAAUAUCCAAAUCCGUUUAACUAAUGCAUCAUCAACAACAUGAGUACAACAUUUUCGAAUAAACAAAAGAAACUCGUUAUAUGUGCGAACCAGUUCCAAAAUAAAGAGCAGACUAUUGGAAGGAGACAAAUACGACAAGAAGAACAAAACAUUCUACAGUUCCUACAUGAGCCCGCAACAAUUAAUUAUUAACUCGACAUUCAUUACACUUUUUCUUUAAUUUGAAAGAAACCAAAAAUAAGAUAAAAUUGACUAAGAAAUAAAAAAGUGACCAAAAUCUUUUUGAAGUUUUGCCAGUUCAGCCAUGCACGCUUAUCUUUAUUCACUUUUUCCUUUCUUUCCUUUCUUUGCUGAAGCCUUCACAGAUCCUUUACCUUUCUGAGCCUUGCCAAUUUUCCCCUUCUUCAAACCACCUGGCCUUGCUGGAUCCACGUGUCCUUGCAUCCUUUUUCAUUCGUGGAUCAACAAGAAUCUCCCCCUUUCCAGCUCUCUCUUGAACUCCUUGCUUUGCGACCAUGUAUUCUUUUGUAGGCCUUUUGGGUAUAAUUGUUCAAUUUGAUUCCGCUUCGAACGAUCAGAGAUGUCCGCUUAGUCUGAUAUGACAUUUGCCUUCUUGCGAACCUUCUCAAGAUUUCGCAUGGCACCGUAUCUUUCGAGCUUUGGUCUUAGCCACGCUCUUGGCAGUAAGGGUGGGCCAUUCGGUUUUGGGAUAAACUUUUGGUUUCGUAUCGGUUUAGAUUCAAAAAUAAUAUAUAAAAAUAAGUAGAUUUUAAUGGAAAAAAUCCAAACUGAAACUGACCUAUCGAUUUCGGCUCGGUUUCAGUUCAGUUUCGAUUCUCCUAAUAGUUUUAUUUUGCCUUAUUGACUUCCGGUCAAUGACACUUUUGAAAAAUUUACAAAAAAAAAAAAAACUGGCCAUAACAAAAUUUCUAUAUGCAAAUAUUUCCUAAACAUUGGGCUAUACUAAAUUUUUUUCAAAGGUAGGGAUCCAAACGAUAUUAUCCCUCUACUUCAUCUUCAACCUUCGUCACUAGGGAUGGCAAAAUCCGAGUCCGGGUCCGGGUAUAGCCAUUCCGGAUCCGGACCCGAACGAAUAUUUUCUAUACCGGACCCAGAAAUAAACCCGUAUUUUUCCACUCCGAGUCCGAUACGGGUUCAACCCGGAAAAAUUCGGGUUCCCAGACUGCGGGUUUCUAACCCGGAUUGAUGAAUCCAAUUGAAAAAAAAAAACUAAAUUUGACUAAAAAAAUCAAAUAGAAAUACAUAUCUAGGAUUUCAACAAAUCAAAAAAAAAUUAUUUCAUCUGGAAACUAAUUAACAAAAACAACAAUUUUGUUUGGCUGCCCAGAAUCAGCAACCCAAUGUGGCGGCUCGUUCAAAACAUUAGUGUUUUCAACAGAUUUUGGGGUAGGAAAAGCCAAACCUAUCUAGAACAAUGAAUUUGUAUUUUUGGGGGAGAUGGGGUACCUCACUGGUUUGUUGUAUGCGGUGCAGUGUAUCUGAAAUUUGGGGGAGGUGAGAAGGGGAGAGGGAGUGGUAACAAUGGUGAAAGGUCAAAACCAAGAGAGAUGUCCUUCAAAAUGAGCUCACACAUGUAAAACAGUGAAAUAGAGGUUAGAGGUGAAGCCGGGGUACCCCGGCAUUCACACUCCGACGCUCAAGUUAGCAAACUCAAGCUUUUAUGACAAAGAGAACUGGCUAGCCCUCUGUAAAUUAGGGUUUAAGGUUCAAGGAAACCUAUUUUUUAGAGUGUGAGUGUUAAUGGUGAGUGAGAGACCUCUUGGAGAAUGAAACCCAGGUGCCUUUAUAUAUGGAGUACCUCAGCUGCCACGUGGCAUACCCUUUUUAGCUAACGUCUUUUUUCCUUUUUAUGAUUUUUUGGCCGUUAUGUGCAUGUUCGCGGCGUAUCUCAUCUUUUGGAAAUGUGGCGUGCGCUGGAGAGUGGUCCAGGGUACCUCUGCAGUAAUUGUCGGGUAGGCGGCUGAGGACCACUGUCCUUGGGACAAUGUCCUUCACUUUUGGUAGAGGUGACAGGCGGCUGUCCCCCCUUUUAGCACGACAUUUUUGAUUCCUAAUUCUGACAAAAUCGAAUAAUAUCUUUUAAGAGAUGGAGACGUUUCUCAUGGUAGAUAUUUUCGGAGGAUUCUCUGGCAUCCGAUCAGCCGGGUUCCUCCAGUUACGCGGGGUACCUCAAUUUAUGUGGGGUACCUCUAAUUGUGCGGGGUACCUUUAUUUGCGCAAGGUACCUUGAAUCAUGCCAGGUACCUCAGAUUAUGUGAGGUAUCUCUAAUUGUGCGAGAUACCUCUAUUUGCGCAAGGUACCUUGAAUCAUGCUGGGUACCUCAGAUUGUGUGGGAUACUUCUAUUUUCGCAGGGUACCUUGAAUCAUGUUGGGCACCUCAGAUUGUGCGGGGUACUUCUAUUUGCGCAGGGUACCUUGAGUCAUGCGAGGUACCUCUAAUCAGGCCAGGUACCUCUAAUCGUGCUGGGUACGUCUAAUCAUGCGGGGUACCUCUAAUCAGGCCGGGUACCUCUAAUCACGCCGGGUACCUCUAAUCAUGUGGGGUAUCUCUAAUCAGGCCGGAUACUUCAGAUUGUGCGGGAUACCUCAGAUUAUGCGGGGUACCUCUAUUUGCGCAAGGUACCUUGAAUCAUGUCAGGUAUUUCAGAUUGUGCGGGGUACCUCAAAUUGUGUGGGGUACCUCUAAUCGUGCGGGGUACCUCUAAUCAUGUCGGGUACCUCGGAUUGCACUGAAGUUAUUUCAUUCGUUGACACGUGGCGAUAUACUAUCUUUCCUAUUUUUCCCUCAAACAACAUCCCCCUAGUUUCUUUUGGCGAGAAGUUUUAGAGGCAAAAGAAAUUUACAUAAAAAGUAGGAGCGACACGUGGCGAUAUGAUGUUUAGCUCGAUGGGUAACUAAAUAGAGGGCGCCUCUAGGGGUACCCUGAGAACCCAAAAAGGGAAGAUGAGUUCCCUUUCCUCGGAAAUGACUACCACUUUGGACAUGUUGGAAAUGACAGAGCUAAUUGAUCAAAAAAUUUUCAUCUAUUUCUGGGGAAGAACACCAAAUACUGGUAGAAGGUAUCGUUAGGGUACCCCACCAUUAUCCAUAGUUUGUUUUCUAGUGACUGCCAUGGAUAAAUCGCUCUGGUGAAGGCUUCAAUGCAUUCUUUGGGCAUUUAAGAAGCAAUUAUUUAAUUAUCUCGGGAUCCACCUUAUUUAAGGGUACAUUUCCUUCAUGUUCUUCGAAGACAAAAAUAAAAUCAUAGGGCUUCCUUCCUUGCAACUUCAGAGGUACCCUCGACAGAAGAACAUAGUCGACAAUGCUUUUAAGCGUAUCAUGAUCGAGGAAUGGAGUGCUGAUCUGGGGUUGGUGGUGCCAAGAGUGGAGAAGAUGGUAGAUGAACCGGCUAUCUUGAAGGCGAUUGACGAUAGCGGGGCUCCUAACACAUCUUGGUCUGAAAGCCCAUUGAGAUUAGCUGAGGUACCUCAGAUGAAGUAUCUAUAAGGUACCCCUGAUACUAACCCUUGUGUUUUUGCUACUUUUAGCACUUUUGUUGAUCCCCUCAUCUUAAGGGAUGAAGUUGAAGAUAACCAUCCUGCUGUGUAACCUUGUUCGGCAUUACUGACAAGGUGUAUGGGGUACCUCGGGUACCCUAAUGCUUGGAUAUCCCUUGAGCUAUCUAUUACUUCAUGGCGGAAUAACCCAAUUUCAUCAACCAUAUGACGAUUCCUCCAGAUAUGCUUGUCGCUUAUCUUAAGCUUUCUUAGGGUUUCUCCCGGUGUAUCUGAGGAAUAACUUUCUGGCGUGGGGUACCCUUAAUCAGCGUAUGACGAUUUUCAUAGAAAUGCUUACCGCAAAUCUUCACAAAACUUGUGGCGGUUUCUGUUGAGAGAUGAUGGAAAACCUCAUGAUCCACCAUUCACUCUAAAUCAAAUAUGCAAGACAAAUAGUAAUAAAGGUGACUGCUCGCCUACCCUUAUGCAAAAUAGUGGAAAAUCUCAUGAUCCGCCAUUCGCGUGGAAUCAAAUAGACAACAUAGAUUGAGAUAAAUGUAGCUGCUCACCUACCCUUAUGCGAGAUGGUCGAAAACCUCAUGAUUCAUCAUUCGCAUGGAAUCAAAUAAACAAUAUAGAUUAAGAUAAAGGUGGCUGCUCGCCUACCCUUAUGCGAGAUGGUCGAAACCUCAUGAUCCACCAUUCGCAUGGAAUCAAACAUGACGAAAAAAUAAUGAUAAAGGCGGCUACUAGCGUGCCCUUUUGCUGGGUCUACUGUUGAGUAGAUUAUCAUGAUCGGAGAUUGGUCAUGUACACCUCGGGUACCCUGGAAUAAGGUACCUCGGGUACCCCGGAAUAAGGUGAUCUCUGGAUUCCAUCUUGCUUCAUAAUAAACAAUGCUCAACGACAUAUAUAAAAUUAGUUUAAUGGUGAACAUAUUAUUAUAGCAUUUCAAGCUACUCAUCCAUAUCAAAAAAUCGAGAGGCAAAUAAAAGAGCACACAUUAUCAAACUUUGUAAAGAAAAUACAUUCACAAAGAGUGGCGAUAUGGAUCAUUAUAUGACACUAUUUUAUUAUCCUAAGGAGAAUAUAGGGGAUCCCGAGAUCACUUGUUAUUGUCAUUAAAGGCUUAGGAAACUGACCAGUUUGGGGUACACUCUGGAUACCCCAUAUAGCCAAGCAUAUAUUUCAAACAUACAAGCAUUAAAGAAAACAAACAAACUAAGUAGAAGGGGGUAAAGUGUUAUCACUUUACUAGUAGUAUGACUUUUCUUUGUUGUUCUUCUGAAAGGUUGGAGCCUAUUUUGACGGUCUUUGUUGGAUCGGUGGCGCAAAUUGAGACUGAAAUUGGGUCUUCAACCAGGGUACCUCGUUUUUCAUCUUUGGGUAUUCAAGGAUCCAAAUGUGCCUCCAAUUCACAUUUGGGCUUAAUCUGGUCCCCUUAGGGUAUCCCCGCAUAACUUCAGAGUAACUAGUUAUGGGGUACCCCACCACCGAGGCCUCGAUGGUGACUCUUGCUGCUUUGAUGGUGGCGAUCUUAGAGGUUGGGGUACUCGUGAGAUACCCUGAGUUUAAACCCUCGUCCCCGCGGGGCAGCCCGUGGAGGGCUCCGAGUUUGGGGUACCCUUAGUAUUGGGGAUUCGGUUUUCUUGGGCUUCUUCUUGUUCUUUGUGACUUCGGCCUUAUUUUCUUGGCACUUCAAAUGGCAUUUCUCAUCCAUCUCCACUUACUGCAACGCCCGAGAACGGGCUUCCACAUAUGAAAGAGGGCGCUUCUUUUGAAAAGAACGUCAUACAUUGCCCAACCGUAAAUUUUUCUCAAAAUGGGUCAAUGUGUAUUGGUUUCCAAAUGCUCCGGUUCGCAGCACCUCUUAGUGGAAACGACUCACAUACUCUGUCAAAGGCUCGGCUUCCCCUUGCUUAAUAAAGGCAAGUUUGGAGACUACUCUAUCUUGAGUAGAAGCGUAGGAAAAUUCUUUAGUAAAUUCGGAUAACAAUUGGUGUUUUCAACAGAUUUUAGGGUAGGAAAAGCCAAACCUAUCUAGAACAAUGAAUUUGUAUUUUUGGGGGAGAUGAGGUACCUCACUGGUUUGUUGUGUGCGGUGCAGUGUAUCUGAAAUUUGGGGGAGGUGAGAAGGGGAGAGGGAGUGGUAACAAUGGUGAAAGGUCAAAACCAAGAGAGAUGUCCUUCAAAAUGAGCUUCACACCUGCAAAACAGUGAAAUAGAGGUUAGAGGUGAAGCCGGGGUACCCCGGCGUUCACACUCUGACGCUCAAAUUAGCAAACUCAAGCUUUUAUGCCAAAGAGAGCUGGCUAGCCCUCUGUAAAUUAGGGUUUAAGGUUAAAGGAAACCUAUUUUUUGGAGUGUGAGUGUUAAUGGUGAGUGAGAGACCUCUUGGAGAAUGAAACCCAGGCGCCUUUAUAUAUGGAGUACCUCAGCUGCCACGUGGCGUACCCUUUUUAGCUAACGUCAUUUUUCCUUUUUAUGAUUUUUAGGCCGUUAUGUGCAUGUUUGCGGCGUAUCUCAUCUUUUGGAAACGUGGCACGCGCUGGAGAGUAGUCCAGGGUACCUCUGCAGUAGCUGUCGGGUAGGCGGCUGAGGACCACUGUCCUUGGGACAAUGUCCUUCACUUUUGGUAGAGGUGACAGGCGGAUGUCCCCCCUUUUAGCACCACAUUUUUUAUUCCUAAUUCUGACAAAAUCGAAUAAUAUCUUUUAAGAGAUUGAGACGUUUCUCAUUGUGGAUAUUUUCAGAGGAUUCUCUUGCAUCCGAUCAGCCGGGUUCCUCCAGUUACGCGGGGUACCUCUAUUUGCGUAAGGUACCUUGAAUCAUGCCGGGUACCUCAGAUUGUGCGGGGUACCUCUAUUUGCGCAGGGUACCUUGAAUCAUGCUGGGCACCUCAGAUUGUGCAGGGUACCUCUAUUUGCGCAGGGUACCUUAAGUCAUGCGAGGUACCUCUAAUCAUGCGGGGUACCUCUAAUCAGGCCGGGUACCUCUAAUCACGCCGGAUACCUCUAAUCAUGCGGGGUACCUCUAAUCAGGCCGGGUACCUCAGGUUGUGCAUGGUACCUCAGAUUAUGCGGGGUACUUCUAUUUGCGCAGGGUACCUUGAAUUAUGCCAGGUAUCUCAGAUUGUUCGGGGUACCUCAAAUUGUGUGGGGUACCUCUAAUCGUGCGGGAUACCUCUAAUCAUGUCGGGUACCUCGGAUUGCACUGAAGUUAUUGCAUUCGUUGACACGUGGCGUUCUGCUAUCUUUCAUAUUUUUCCCCCAAACAAUUAGUAAAGAGAGCUAAAGAACUAGCUUUAGUUGCGAGUAGGAAGUCAAGAGUCAAGGAGCAGCCAAAGCACUUUUAAUGGUGAUGGGAAAGCUGGAGGGGUAAUGCAAAUAAGUUUACGUUGAUUGGAUAUUCAGAAGAAGUAAUACGCUAUUAAAAGCAACAAGUUUUCCAAAAAGCCAACAAAGACAGACACCAUCACACCACCCCGCACUGGAUGAAAAAAGAUGAAAUCAUGAUAAGUGGCAUCGAGUAAGCCACGUUCUCUCUCUCUCUCUCUCACUCGCACUCGCACACACUGUUACUAAAAUGACCAAAAAAUAAGAUUCCCAUCAAAAUAUUUUCGAGUAUCAUUCUUAAAAGUGACGGCGGCUGAUGAUGAUGAACACAGCCGCGAUUGCGAUUGGCGAAGGCGGCGUUCAACCCGUAUCACAGCUGGUUAUCGGUCGCGGCGGAAAAGAUAAGGAAACGACAGUUGAUAAUGAUGAUGAUGAUGUUGAACAGCCGCGAAGAUGGGUAAGUGAUGCGACGAUGAUUUGAUUUGAUGAAGAUGAGCUGAAGAGGGAAUAAGAGAGGAAAUGUUUGUGCGGCUGGGAAAGUGUAAUGAGCUGCUAGGGCACCAUUUGGGUUUUUUUGCUUUCCUAUUUAUAUUAAAAAUCAUUUUUAAAAAUUAAUAUAUAUCCGGGUCUGAGUUUUGGAUGUACGGGUUUACCUAGACCCGAACACACGCGGGUUUUUAAAAUGACAUCCGGAUCCAGAUUUUAUUUAAUCCGGUACGGGUUGAACCCGGACUGGAAAAUCCGGGUUUCAUCUAGGUCCGGGCCAGGUGCGGGUUGAAUUGCCAUCCUUAUUCGUCACUUAGCAGCUACCACAAUAUCGAAAUGGAAAAACUAAAAAAGCACCAUAGGAUACGCAUAUCCACACAUAUAUAAUAAAACUAAAUAUUAUUAAUAAUUUAGUAUCUAUAUAUAUAUAUAAAGCUGGGACUUGAGGAGGUGAUGUGGCAUCACCAUUUCUCAUCUUUGUAUAUUCUCUAUUAUCUAAUAAAUAGAGAAAUUUUCUUUUAGAUUUGGUUUUUCAUCUUCUCAUAAUUAAUUUGAUUGUUUUUACACAAUAACAAUUAUGUAAAGAUUUUAAUGAAGCAUAUUCUUUGUAAUGAACAUCCAAGGGGGAGUGUUAUGAAUUUAUUAAAAUAAAUGUAGAUGUUCAUAACAUAUAUCUCUUAGUCUCCCCACUAUCUCCCAUUAGCAACCUUUAACUUCCUUAUAACUCCCAUUAUCUCACAAGGAAUUAUGAUCCAUAAUUUUUCAUUAAUUUCAUGGAGUGAUUAUGUAACUAUAAAAGGAGAGCUUAUCUUUUUGUUUUGUACACACACAAUUGGAAUAAAUAAAAUCACUCUAUAAUAUAUUCUCUCAUUUUAUUCUUUAUCUUGUGUUGCUUCUUUAUUUGUAUUGUUGGCUAAUAGCUUUUUUUGUUUUUUAUAAGGCUGCCUCAUCUUAAAAAAAAAUUAAUUCAUAUUUUUUAUCAGUUUCAUCAAGUGUAAAGUAAGAAUAAAAAAAAGGCAAACAUGAAAUUAGAAAAGACUAAAGAGCUAUUUAAAAAAAAAAGCCAUUUAAAAAAAGGAAAAUAGCAAGUUAUUUGGCUAGUUAACUGGCGACAGAAGUAAUGGAAAGAAGCAACAACGGCAGCGGCAGGUCGACAGCGAAGAUUCAGCAGCACCGACCACCCACAGACUGGGAUUUGAUUGCAAAGUUGGGACUUAGGAUUUAGGUUUCUGGCUGCUGAAACUGAAAGCGAGAGAGUAGAAAGUAGAGACUGAGAGUGGUGCAAACAUGUGUAAUUGUGUGUGUGUGUCUAUAUAUAUAUAUAUAUAAUGUGAAAUUACAAAAAUGCCAUUAUAUCAGUUCAAUUCGAAUUUUGUAACUUGUGAUCCGAAAACUGAACCAAACCGAACCAUUUGGUUUGGUAUUUAUAUAUUCGGGUUUUUAAUUUAAAAAACUAAAUUGAAACUGAAAAAACUAAACCGAACCGAAUGUUUUUUUUUGUUUCGGUUCAAUUCUGCCCAUCCCUACUUAGUAGGCUGGGCAUCAAUUUCUUUGAAUUGUGCUUUCAUUGCAGUAAUCUCCUUCUUGGUAAUAGGUUUAAUUGCUUGCUGAUGCCUCAUUUCCUCUGGUAAUAACUAGUCUAACAAGCCAUCAUCGUCAAACAUGUACCUAUUAUAAGCAUCAUCCAGAAUUUGCUCUCUUUGCUUUUUGCUUAGUGUCUUCUUUGCACAAGCUAUUAUCUCAGCUUUUGUAUCAAUAUCUUUAUCUUUUGAUUCACUAGAGGAUGAAUCAUCACCGGAAUAGAGUGGUGAAGGCCCCAUAGAUUAGUGUGGUUAAGUUCUAGUGUAGUUUUGGUUUUGAUUUCAGUAUUAGGAAAAUGAAGCGUAUGAAAUUUACUAAGCUAACAUGCUUCACAAAAGUGCUUUAAUACUUGACUAUGAAUACUUGAAGAGGAUAAAUGAGGAUAAAUAAAUUUAAAUAUACAUUAGAUUUUGAGGGUUGGGAUGUCAAAACUUUUGGUGAAAAAGAGUUAGUACAAGCAUUUUAUUGAGAUUGAAAACAUUUCUUAAGAUGAUCAAUGCUAGCUACAAAAUUGGAAUGAAAAAAAAGGCAACAUAGACAAAGGUUUGUUUAUUUGAUUGUAAGAUAGAAAAGACUUGUAUUUAGGUUGUGGAAAGGAUUUGAGCAGCAAUUUAUACAACCUUUUCUCAGCAAAACCUUCAUCUUCAAUGAAUCCUUCACAAAACAAAUAGAUCCAAGAAAUUCGACAAAUAAAUUGUUGUCAACGGUAAGUUUUGAAAUGCUCAAUAGAUUCUUUGUAAUGGAUGGAACAAACAGUACAUCCUUAAGUAAAAUAUGUCUUAUAUUAUCUUUUUUUAAUUCUUUUUAAAAAAAUAAGUGAAUAAUAGUAUGUCAAUCUCAAAUAUCAAUAUGUACAAUUUUUAUUUGUGUAAGAAUUUGCAUCCAAUAAUCAUCAAUACAUAAUUGUCUUUUAAUUGAAUGGUUCUCACCUCCCUUCCAAACUUUGAAAAGGUAAAAUAAGAUCAAUCAUGUCAGUGGCAAUUAAUAUAAAGAUUACUUUUCUUAUUUGUAGUAAUGUCCUCUGAUUAUUUAGCUGAUUUUCAAGCUACACAUUUAUUCCAUUUGAUGUUGAUAUUAGUAAAAUUAAUGUAAUAUUUAAAAAGGAAAAAAAUCCGUUGAGCUAAAAGCCGAGUAUAAAAUUGAACCGGACCCAAACCAGAAACGCACGCCAACAACAUGCUUGCGUCAGUCGGCCCAUGCCCAUAAACCCACCAAGCCCGAUCCAAAUAGAAAAAUGAAUUGGACAUCCGAGAUAGCAGAAACAGAUAAGUAACGCUCGCGCUAUCCCCAAUCUCAUAUCUUUAACGGUAUCCAGCCAACAUCUCAAAGUGUUCAAUUUGUUUUUAAACCAAAAAAAAAAAUUCAAAAUUUUCAAGCGGAAUUUGGGAAGAUGGCGACGAAAAGCAAGAUUCUGGUUAUCGGCGGAACCUGAUACAUCAGUAAAUACUUAAGGUGCGUUUGAAAUUGAGGUUGAACAACUAUAACUUUAAAACUGCAGCACUAAAAUGUUUGGUAAACACUAACUGUUGUAACUUAAAAGCUAUUUAAUAUAAUUUUUCACUUGUAUAAUAAAAAAUUUAUUAUCUUUAAUAUUUUUGUCAAAAUUAUUAUUUAAAAUAUAUACUGUAAGAGAGAUUGUAACAUUUUCAAUCUUUGGUUUGAUAUUCUGGAAGAAAAUGAUUUGCCGUUUAUGGAGAAAAAGGCUAACCGUUUAAUUCCAAAGAGCAUGUUUUCUGUUCUAGAGAAAACGGCUAACCGUUUUGAGAAAAUGGCUAACCGUUUUGAGAAAACGGCUAACCGUUUAAUUCCAGAGAGCAUGUUUUCUGUUCUAGAGAAAACGACUAACCGUUUGGAUAAAACGGCCAACCAUUAAUUACAGAGAGUAACUUAUUUGACAUUCUAGAAUAAAACGGCUCACCGUUAUUGAGAAAACAGCUAACCGUUUAUUUUCAGAGAGCGUGUUUUUGCGUCAAUUGGAAAAACGGUUAGCAAGCUUGGAAAUUUCAAUUGUCAAUCGAUGCAAACUCAAACCAAAAGAGUAUUUUUUUGAAGAAGUACCAUUUUUAAUGGUUGUAUUCUUUCAAAUAAACAUCUUCUUUAUUAAAAAUAGACAAACAAUUAGAUCAUAAUCAGAUUUUGCAGGUUUCAUAUAUGUUAUGGAAAUACAAUCUUAUUUGCUAGAGAUUGUAUUCAGGAUUUGAUAUAUCUUAGGGGUAAUUUGCCAUUAAAACUCUAUAGCAAACCAAGAUUGGUGAGGGCAAAUAAAACCUUAAAGAAAAGUGUGCAAACACGUCUUAAAUCCUAAGAAAUUUUCUUUGUUCUUUGCCUCCAUAUUCUUAAACUUUGAAAAUUCACCCAUCAAUCUUUAAGGUUUUAUUUUGAUGCAAAUGGAGGCUGAGAAGAGUUUGACGUCAUUUCUUAAUCCUAGUGUCCAUCUCGAUCGUUUUGAUGAAACUAAUUUCACUCGUUGGAAGGGAAAAUUAUUCUUUCUUUUUACUGUUCUUAAAGUGGCAUAUGUUCUUGAUCCGAAAUUGAAACCAUUUCCAGAACCAAGAGAAGAUGAUACCGAAGUUGUUAAGGCUGCAAGGAAACGUCGUAAAGAUGAUGAAUUGAUGUGCCGGGGUCACAUACUCAAUACGCUUUCUGACAUGUUAUAUGAUCUCUACAAUUCUAUGACUUCUCCGGUGGAAAUUUGAAAUGCUCUUGAAUACAAAUACAAAACGGAGAAAGAAAGUACUGACAAAUUCCUUGUCUCUAAAUAUUUUGAAUUUAUUAUGGUAGACACACAAUCCAUUCUUGAUCAAAUACAUGAGUUACAAAUUAUUGUUGCUAAGCUUCGAGAGUUAAAAGUUGAAAUUUCUGAAUCAUUUCAAGUUGGGGCUAUUAUUGCUAAAUUGCCUCAAAGUUGGAAUGAUUAUAGAAAGAAACUCCUUCAUAGUAAAGAGAACAUAACUUUAGAAGAAUUGCAAAAACACUUGGUAAUUGAAGAAGAGACUAGGUCUCGCGAAUCCAAGGAUAAGCAUGAUUCUACUAAAGUUAAUGUUGUUGAAGCUAGUAAAUUCUCAAAGAAUUUUAAAGUCAAGAAUGACAAGAAAUUCAAGAAGUCCAGCACAUAAAAGUUUUCUGGAAAUUAUUUCUUUUGUGGUAAGAAAGGCCAUCGCCAAAGUGAUUGCAGAUUCAAGAAGAAAAAGGAAGAAGUGAAUUCCUAUAAAGCUAAUGUUAUUGAAAACAAAUCUGAAGAGAUUUGUGCUAUGGUUUCUGAAAUGCAAAUUGGCAUGAUUACCGAAACCAAUAUGGCUGAAACUAAGUCCUAUGAUUGGUGGCUCGAUUCGGGUACAACAAUUCAUGUUUGUAAUAAUAAGAAAAUUUUCUUAUCAUACAAAGAAGAAACGGAAGGACAAAUGGUUCUCAUGGGGAACAAUAAUGCAGCCAUAAUAGCAGGGAAAAGAGUAGUUGAGAUCAACUUCACUUCUGGAAAUAAAGUCACAUUGUAUAAUGUCUUUUAUGUACCUUCCGUUAGGACUUAUCUUAUUUCUGCUAGUUGUAUAUGUAAGCAUGGGCUUAAGAUUGUGCUUGAGGGUAAUACUUGUAUUCUCUCAAAGGGUAUUCUUGUGAUGGAAUGUACAAACUCAACAUUAAUAAUAAUAAUAUCAAGUUAGCUUAUAUUGUUGAGUCUUGAGAUGUUUGGCUUGCUAAAUUAGCACAUUUGAAUUUUAGAUCUUUGAAAUACAUGUCUGAGCAUGGUUUGAUUAAUUGCAAUGAUGUUAAAGGUCAUAAGUGUGAAAUUUGCAUCCAAGCUAAAUUAACUAAGAAACAUUUUCUUAAAGCCGAACGAAAUACUCAAAUAUUGAAUUUAAUACAUAUCGAUAUUUGUGAGUAUAAUGGCGUUUUAACAAGAGGAGGUAAAAAGUACUUUUAUCACUUUUAUUGAUGAUUGUUCUAGAUACACUUAUGUGUAUUUACUUAGAACAAAAAAUGAAGCUUUUGAUAAAUUUAAAAUUUUCAAAGCUGAAGUUGAGAACCAAAAAGAUAAGAAAAUCAAAGUGGUUCGUAGUGAUAAAGGUGGUGAAUAUUUCUCAAUUGAAUUUAAUAAUUAUUGUGAAGAAUUUGGAAUUAUUCACCAAAGAUCAGCUCCAUUUACUCCUCAACAAAAUAGUUUGGCUGAAAGAAAGAAUAAGAUCUUCACGGAUAUGAUAAAUUCCAUGAUCCUUAAUGCAAAACUACCAAAUAAUUUGUGGGGGGAAGCAUUACUCACUGCAUGUCAUAUUCAUAACAGAAUUACAUCUUUGAAAACACAUGUAUCUCCUUAUGAAAUUUGGAAAGGAAGAAAACCAAACUUGAUGUAUUUAAGGGUUUGGGGUUGUUUAGCUUUUUAUAAAAUACAUGAUCCUAAAUCAUCAAAGUUAAGUGCUAGAUGUAUAAAGAGUGUUUUCGUAGGAUAUGCUGAAAAUUCCAAGGCUUAUAGGUUGUUAGAUUUAGAUUCUAAUGUGAUUGUGAAAUCUAGAGAUGUUGAAUUUAUUGAGAAUAAAUUUCAACAUGAUUCUAAUAUUGAAUUAGAAUCAAUUAUUGAUCAACCAUAUGUUAAUACUCCUAUUACCUCCACUAACAAUAAUAAAAGGAAAGACUCUAUGACAUCUUUCGAACCAAUGAGGAGUCAACGUGAAAAAAAAGAAAAGAGUUUAGCUCCGGAUUUUAUUUCAUCACAAGCACUACUCUUCUUGGUUGAAGGGGAUAGAAAGAAUGUACUUAACAAAGUACCAUUGUUGUUAAAUAUUGAAAAAGAUCCAAAGACAUUUAGCGAGGCUAUGUCUUCUAGAGAUGCUUCUUUUUGGAGAGAGGCGGUAAAUGAUGAAAUGGAUUCGAUUAUUUCGAAUCAAACAUGGGUCUUGGUUGAUCUUCCUCCAGGAUCUAAACCAAUUAGCAGCAAAUGGGUAUUUAGCAGAAAGUACAAUAGUGAUGGUUUUUUGCAAACUUUUAAGGCUAGAUUAGUAGCCAAAGGGUUUAAGCAAAGAAAUGGUAUUGAUUAUUUCGAUACAUAUGCUUCGGUAGCAAGGUUAACUUCUAUAAGAGUGCUAUUUGCAAUUGCUUCAUUGAACAAUUUGUAUGUGCAUCAAAUGGAUGUUAAAACCGCUUUUUUUAAUGGUGAUCUUGAUGAAGAAAUCUAUAUGGAACAACAUGAGGGAUUUGUUUUGCCAGGAAAUGAGAAAAAGGUAUGUAAGUUAGUCAAAUCACUUUAUGGUUUAAAGCAAGCACCAAAACAAUGGCAUGAGAAGUUUGAUUCGGUAAUUUUAUCUCAUAGUUUUAAGCAUAAUAAUGCUGAUAAAUGUAUAUAGUUUAAAUUUACGAAUGAUUUUGGUGUGAUUAUAUGCUUGUAUGUUGAUGACUUGCUUAUCUUUGGAACAAAUAUGCAAGGAGUAGAUGAUACAAAGAAGUAUUUAACUUCACAAUUUAAGAUGAAAGAUCUUGGUGAAGUAGAUAUUAUCUUAGGUGUCAAAGUGAAGAAAUAUAGUAGGGGUUACUCGUUGUGUCAAUCUCAUUAUAUAGAGAAAGUGCUUCUUAAAUUCAAUUAUUUGAAAUUUAAAGAAGCUAAUACCCCAUAUGAUUCUAGUAUUAAAUUAUUAGAGAAUUCAGGCCGAGUAGUAGCACAACUAGAAUAUGCUAGUGCUAUUGGUAGCUUGAUGUAUGCUAUACAUUGUACGAGGCCUGAUAUAGCAUUUACAGUUUGCAAAAUGUCAAGAUUCACGAGUAACCCUAGUGUUGAACACUGGAAAGCAAUUGGUAGAAUACUUGAUUAUCUUAAAAGGACCAUUAAUUUGGGUUUGUUUUAUAGUGAUUAUCCUGAAGUACUGGAAUGAUAUUCAGAUGCUAGUUGGGUAACCAAUACAAGAGAUAAUAAAUCCACUUCUGGUUGGAUUUUUACAAUUGCUGGAGGAGCGGUUUCUUGGGCUUCAAAGAAACAAACGUGCAUAACUCAUUCAAAAAUGGAAAGUGAGUUUAUAGCACUUGCAGUUGCAGGCAAGGAAGCAGAAUGACUAAGAAAUUUGUUGUUUGAUAUAAUGUUGUGGCCACAACCGAUGCCAUCUAUUUCUUUGUACUGCGAUAGUGAAGCUACAUUGUCUAGAGCUUAUAAUAAAGUGUAUAAUGGAAAGUCUAGACAUAUUAGCUUGAGACAUGAAUAUGUGAAACAAUUAAUAGCAGAUGGUGUUAUUACUAUUGUUUAUGUUAGGACUAAUAAGAACCUAGUGGAUCCUUUAACAAAAGGUCUUACAAGAGACUUAGUUAAGGAUACAUCUUUUGGAAUGGGAUUGAAACCUUUAAAUAAUAAAGUCACCAACGACGGUAACCCAACUAUGUAGUAGUUGUACCGCUACUCCAUAGUUAAAUGGGUAAUAACAAGUUGUUGUUAUGUGACUAGUUUGGCACCAAGUAAUAAAUAAUCACAUUCGAGAUAUUCGGUGCAAAUAACUACGAGGUUGAGGUUGAGUAUUUACUUUUAAUGAAGUUCAAGUCUUAUAGUAGCUAAAGACAUGAUUUGAAACUUCACUUAAGUGAACAUAAGAAAUGGUGCCGUUUCUAACAAGAUCAUGGUUUAAUCUAGUAAAUGUUCAUGAAUCCAAGAUAGAGCACAAGGCCGAAAUAGUGCUAAAUAUUGGAACACAACUUUGAAAAUCUGGGAUAGCUUGUGAUGUAUCUCCGGUAUUUACUUAAGAGACAAAGUUUAAUGCUUAGCACACUAUUGUCUUGUAAAUGCUUUGAAAUACACUCACUAAUUAAAGGUUAAAAUCGAAAGAUAUCUUUUUGUAUGUAUAAGUUUAUCAUUAAUAAAUCUGAAAAAUAUUACAAUCUAGUGGGGGAUUGUAAGAGAGAUUGUAACAUUUUCAAUCUUUGGUUUGAUAUUCUGAAAGAAAACGGUUUGUCGUUUAUGGAGAAAAUGGCUAACCGUUUAAUUCCAGAGAGCAUGUUUUCUGUUCUAGAGAAAACGGCUAACCGUUUGGAGAAAAUGGCUAACUGUUUAAUUCCAGAGAGCAUGUUUUUUGUUCUAGAGAAAACGACUAACCGUUUAGAUAAAACGGCCAACCGUUAAUUACAGAGAGCAACUUAUUUGACAUUCUGGAAUAAAAAGGCUCACCGUUAUUGAGAAAACGGCUAACCGUUUAUUUCCAGAGAGCGUGUUUUUUGCGUCAACUGGAAAAACGGUUAGCAAGCUUGGAAAUUUCAAUUGUCAAUCGAUGCAAACUCAAAACAAAAGAGUGUUUUUUUGAAGAAGUACAAUUUCUAAUGGUUGUAUUCUUUCAAAUAAACAUCUUCUUUAUUAAAGAUAGACAAACAAUUAGAUCAUAAUCAGAUUUUGCAGGUUUCAUAUAUGUUAUGGAAAUACAAUCUUAUUUGCUAGAGAUUGUAUUCAGGAUUUGAUAUAUCUUGGGGGUAAUUUGCCAUUAAAACUCUAUAGCAAACCAAGAUUGGUGAGGGCAAAUAAAAUUUUAAAGGAAAGUGUGCAAACACGUCUCAAAUCCUAAUAAAUUUUUUUUGUUCUUUGCCUCCAUAUUCUUAAAAUUCGAAAAUUCACCCAUCAUAUACAUACUACAUAUUAUUAAUUUUUGUUUUAUAACUAUAGUUUUUUUUUUACCGCAGCUGUAGUUUAAAAACUACAGCACCUCAAUCCCAAAAAAGACCUUAGUGGAAUCGAGCGCAAAAGCCGAUCACCCAACAUUCGCGCUUGUGAGAGACUCCACUCUCUCCACUCCUUCCAAAUCCAAAAUCCUCGACCGUUUCAAAAAUCUCGGCGUCAAUUUAGUUCCUGUGCGCCACUCUUUUAGCUUUCCAAUUUUCCCGCCAAUUUGCUUUUAUUGUGAUUAAUUAAUUAAUUAAAGUAAAGAUUUUAUAUUAUAAUUUUGUUUGCAGGGAGAUCUAUACAGCCAUGAGAGCUUGGUGAGUGCAAUAAAGCAAGUGGAUGUGGUGAUAUCAGCGAUAGGUCGCACUCAAUUAGUUGAUCAACUCAACAUUAUCGCAGCAAAUUGCGAUAACUAAUUACUUGGGAUUUUAAAGAAGCUGGAAAUGUUAAGGUACUGAUUAACCUAAGUAAAUGCGUUAACUAAUUACUUGGGAUUUCAAAUUCAAAUGCGUGAAUUGUUCUCAAAAUUGAUAUAUGUUUAUUAGUCAGAGAUUCUUUCCUUCAGAAUUUGGAAAUGAUGUUGAUCGCGUGCAUGCCGUUGAGCUAGCAAGAACAUCAUUUGCCACCAAGGCUAAAAUCCGCCGAGCUGUUGAGGCUGAAAGAAUUCCAUACACCUACGUAGCUUCCAAUUUCUUCGCUGGUUUGUAUCUUUCCAGUUUCUCACAGCCUGAAGCCACAGCUCCUCCAAGGGAUAAAGUGGUCAUCGUAGGUGAUGGAAAUGCAAAAGGCAAAGCGCUUCUGGAUACAUUUACUCUGUACACGCAAUGUGUGGUUACUGUUUGGAGAUAAAAAAGGAGAUUAAUUAAUAAAGAAAAUGAAAUUAUUGAGGGAUUUGCUGAAGAGUUGCGUGCACUCCUCAUUUUUCUCCACCACUCAUCUUACUUGCAAAAUGCAAUGACCAAACUAUCCUCGCCAAAGCCUAGACAUUUACUUGUGUUCAAAGGCCAUUUAAGGGAGACAAGUACAAAAAAUUAUAAAGGAUAGUGAGCAAAAGAAGAAAAUGGAAGGAGGGGAGAAUAAAAAAGGGGAGUGGGGCGUUAUCUAGGCAGGAUUUUUAUUUUUAUUUUUUUCCUCUCUUCUCCAUGGCAUCUCUUUCUCUCUUUCUCCCACUAAGAAAUUCUUUCUUUUACACUCUAUUUUAUUUUUCUGCAAAUUAUGCAAAAAACUUUUGGUUUUAAGGCAAUAUUUAUUAAGCCACAUGAACUUAAAAAAGCAUGAAUAAGGGGAUGAUUUUAACACAUUAAUUCACCAACAUUAAUUGGAAAAGAUCAGUUGCCACUACGAAUCAGAGUAAUUUCUUCGGCAAUAGCCAAAUAUUGAUAUUUGAUCUUGACACUAGAGUUAAAUGAAUGUAACUGGUUUUGUCAUUUGAUCCCCAGCAUUUUUUAACAAGGAAGAUGAUAUUGGAAUCAAUUCUAUCAAAGCGGUGGAUGAUCCAAGAACACUGAACAAAAUACUUUACAUCAGACCCCGUUGCAGUAUCUACUCAUUCAAUGAUCUUGUGUCUCUGUGGGAGGAAAAGAUUGGCAAAGCCCUUGACAGGGUCUAUGUUACAGAGGAACAACUUCUGAAAAACAUUCAAGGUUAGUUAGAACUAUCACUUUAUCAAGUGGAUAGAUGUAACUGACCGAUAAUGGAAAAUUUUUUCCUUCUCCAAAAUGCGAUAGAAUCUAAUCGGUUUCAACAAUCUCAAGAACAUCUAUUCCUGGUUGUGUUGUUUGAAAUCUGUAUGUAUCAGUUUUCUUUCUAGAUCUCAGAUUGCUCGCAAGGAUGUCAAGUUUUGAUGAUGCUUGCCUCUUUUCCUGUGUUUACAGAAGCUUCAUAUCCACUCAAUAUGCUAUUACCUAUUGGGCACUCUGCCUAUGUCCUGGGAGAUCAGACCAACUUCGAAAUUGAACCUUCAUUUGGAGUAGAGGCAACAGAGCUUUAUCCAGAUGCCAACUACACUACUGUGGAUGAGUACCUCAACCAGUUCAUAUAAACCUUCUGAGAUGAGCAGCAGGAUCCUAACCAAAAAUUGGGUGGUUUCCAUCCCUGAUUCUAUAGUAUAAAGAUAGCGGCUUUCCCUGCUUUUGCCAGUUCAAUGAAGUUUGUUAGAUGAUGUUAUUUAUACUAUACUAGCAAAGAUCAAGUUGCCUUUCUUGUCAAGAAGCCAAGCUCUGGCAUUGGUUUAUGCUAGUUUUUCACACUAAUAUUGGUAUUCACUAAUUUUUUUUUUUUUCAUUUCACACCUCCAUCAUCAGUUGAGAUACCCUCUUGUAUGGUACUAACUUUGAUUUUCCUUAUGCUUCACUUGCUGUCUCUGCAGAUUCGUAAAAGAUCAUUUAUGGAUAAGAUCAUAACAUCAAUAUGAUACAGUAUGCAUUGAGAACUCCCACAUGAGUCUUGUUCUAGUUCUGGUUAGACAUGAAACAUGUUACAGUUCCAUAACUUGAGACAUUGUCAUUCAACAAUUAGCAUCGCAUUAAAACAGUGGCCAAUCCCUAACAGCUACCUUUUGACUCUUCACAUUUUUUUUCUGCAUUUUAUGCGUAUUAAUUAUCCAGACCUAUACUUACUCUUCUCAGCUUGGCCCGUUGGACAGUGAGUGAUGAAACAGAAAAUUUUUCAUGUUUAUUACUUUUCUUGCAUUCAAAAUGAUAAAACCGAAGAGGUUGUUGCAUGCACGUCAUUUGUUAGUAGGGGUAUCAAUUUAUGAACGUAUGAAGUAUCUCUUCUGCACUGGCAUCCUCCUUAACUGUCAGUAGGAUCACAAUAAGUCGACCAACCAUCUACCGUAUGGAUUAUCUAUAAAUUGAAAUUGGUGUGUAUUAUGGAUCUGUCACUCUGCUGCUUCUGUUUUCUUUUCUAUUUUUACCAAGAAAGAAACAUUGUUAAAACUGAAUGGUUGUUAUCUCGUCUUGUUGUAAUGUUGUGUAUGCUUUCUAGAAAAUAAUGAAGUGCCAAAUAUGAAAAUACUAGUGGCUACCUUACCAUCCUUAAUAAGUUGUCUGAUUGUCACCGUCAACAAUCACUCUCAGCAACUCAUAAUCCAUUUAAGCAUAUUAUAAAAUAAUCAAUUUUGUAUUUGCACCAACUUUUAGUUUUAAAUGACAAUUUCGUUGAUCCCCACACUUCUGUACUAAUCAAAUCCACUGAAACUGGACUUUUUUUUCUUUUUUUUUAUAAUUACAUCGAUUGCAUUGGCUAUUGCAGGGAAAAGACUGCCUCUACAGGGAACUAAACUUUCAGAAUUGUUCUUAUGAGGGUUUGAAUAUGCUCUCCUACUAGGUCAAUGGCCUAUUGGUUCGAGACCAUUCACAAAGAAAGAAAUGAGUUUUGCUUGUAUAAAUGAAAGAAAUCCAAAUGAUAACUAAUGUAUAGUGGUACAUGAGAAAAAUAAUUUCAGCCCUUGUGUAAAGUCAAAAAGAGAAAAUAUUAAAAGAAAGGAUAAUGUCAUUGAGUUGGUGAAGUGAAAGAAAAUGAAAAACAUGGGAUUUAGUCAAACUUAGUGUCCCAAUCAGCAGAAAAAGGUUUUAGAAACUCACCUCAAGUUAAGCCAACUAUUAGGAGCUUUAUUUAACCAUAGUUGCCUCAACAAUGACUGAUUCUCUUCCCCCCACCCACAUUGUAGCUUUCUAAUGUAUAGUACUCCAAUACUAAACGGGGGCUACCUCUACGCUUGCAAAUGUAAAUGAAAUUGAGUUCAUGACGCACAAUGAAGUGAGCAAAAUGAGUUGAGAUCUGAGAAUAUAUUAAAGAAAAUAUGAACCGAUGAAUUUUGGUUAAAAAAAAAAAUGCCGGUUCUUCAAGACCUGCGUGUAUUGCGUAAAUUUUGUUAGGAAAAGGAAAGCAUUUUGUCUAAAACGCACUAAAUCAGAUUCAUUUGCUUGAUAUCUAAUAAGGGUGAAUUAACCACUCGGCCAUAGCAAUUAGGGGUGGGCAAAAUACCCGACCCGACCCGAUUCGAUUCGAAAAAAAUCGGGUUCGGAUCGGAUCGGGUUGUAAAGAAAACCCGAUCGGGUGCAUUUGUGUCAACCCAAUCGGAGCAUGAUCGGAUCGGAUCGGGUUGACCCGAUCGGGUUGACACAAAAUAAAAAAAAAAUUAAACCUCAAAUACACACCCCACACACACAGGAACAUAUAUACGCCACACACACUAGAACACACACGCUGGAACACAUACACACCACACACACUGGAACACAUUACACAUACACACCACCCACGCACUGGAACACACACAUUGGAAUACACACACUGGAACACACACACACCACCCACGCCCUGGAACACACACACCACGCCCCCCACGCACUGGAACACACACACUGGAACACGAAGUGAACACCACACACACUGACACACCCACAGCCCCCUGCCGACCAGCAACAUAAUCGCCCACACCCACCCACAAGCCACAGCCUCCCUCUCUCGCAUCCCACUAUCGACGGAAACAAGCGACAGUUAUACAGCCCACUCCAACCGAGGCUACUCCGUGAGAAUGGUGACCCGAUCUACUGAUCUACUGCUACCAAGUACCGGAUCUGCUGCGCCACCUCCACGCCUCCAAUCCUCCGCCAUCACCCGAUCCGAUUCAAGCUCCAUUUGUCUGUUGAGUUUUGAAAGCUUUGGGUUGUUGCUGUAAAUGUGUAGAUCGUGUGUGUGUAAAUGGGUAGAUUGUGUGUAUUUUUUAUAUCCGACCCGAUCCGAUCCGAAUUAUAUUCGGAUCGGGUCGGAUCGGGUUAUAGAUUCGGGUUGAAUUCGGAUGAGUUCUCAUCUAACCCGACCAACCCGAAACCCGAUCGGGUUGAUCCGAACCCGAUUUUACCCACCCCUAAUAACAAUUCAAAUCCCCACAAAAGUAUUAUGGGGGCUAAUUUUCUUCUUUAAUUAUAACAAAUAAUUGAGCGGAGGAUAAGAAUCGAACUGAAAAACUAAAAAAAAUGAAUCCGGCGAUAUUUGCGAACCGGAAACGAGCCAGCGUUAUGCUUAUGUCAUUUCAGAGAUAUCAACAGUCGUGCUUUCAGUCCUUAAACCUAGAAACAUUAUGGCUUUUCUCCUUAAACCUCAAGGGCAUUUUCAUCCUUUCACUCAAGCGUGAAACUGCAUGUAAGCACUGCUUCGCUUACACGCUCCAUGCACAUUUAAAGGCACCACUGUCGGAUAAAAAAUAUCUAUCCAUUUGAUCAUUUCAAAACAAAACGAAAAAAAAAAAAAAAUCUCAGGAAUUGAACUGAACGAGUCUCAGAAAUGGCAUCGAAAAGUAAGAUUCUAUUCAUCGGCGGGACAGGGUAUAUCGGUAAAUUCACUGUCGAAGCGAGCGUAAAAGCCGGCCACCCGACGUUCGUGCUCGUGAGAGAAUCCACAAUCUCUGGUCCUUCCAAAUCUCAACUCCUCGAUCACUUCAAAAACCUCGGCGUCAAUCUCGUCAUAGUGCGUUUUCAUUUUUCUCUUUUCUUAAUUUUUUAUUCCGAUCAUUUUUACACGUCGAAGUGUAGCAUCUACUACUUAAUAUACAUAAUGAUAUUAUUAUUUUUUAAUUUUUUUGGGUUGCUGUUAUUAUUAUGCAGGGAGAUGUGUUGAAUCACGAGAGUUUGGUGAAGGCGAUUAAACAAGUGGACGUGGUGAUAUCAACGGUCGGUCACACUUUAUUAGCUGAUCAGGUCAAGAUUAUUGCUGCCAUUAAAGAAGCCGGUAACGUUAAGGUAUAGCAUAAUUAAUAUUGUCAAUAAAAUUAAAAUAAUUAAUUAUAAACCAAUGGCAUGGACGCAAUUAAUUAAUUGAUGUUGAAUGUGAUUAUUAUUAUCCAGAGAUUCUUCCCUUCAGAAUUUGGAAAUGACAUUGAUCGAGUCCACGCCGUUGAGCCAGCAAAGUCUUUAUUUGCCAUAAAGGCGAAAAUCCGCCGAGCCGUUGAGGCUGAAGGCAUUCCGUAUACUUACGUAGCAUCGAAUCUCUUUGCUGGUUACUUCCUUCCCAAUUUGUCGCAGCCUGGGGCCACUGCCCCACCUAGGGAUAAAGUUGUCAUCUUAGGCGAUGGAAAUCCAAAAGGUAUGAAUUUAGGUCAUUGCUUAUAGCAAAACUGUUGAAAUAACCAUGAUUAAGGCUCCGUUUGUUACUACGGUGUUAAUUUUAUGGCCUAAAAUUGCUGUAGAAUGGAAGGUGUUGCAACCUAACUUACGCUCUGUUCGGUGUGGUUGUUGCAUAGCUGUAACUUAAAGUUAACUGAAAAGUGUUUGAUGAAUAUUUGCAGACUUAACUUUAAACCGAGGUGAUUUUAUCCAACAUUUGUCUGAUUAAAACUUAUGAUCCCUAAGAAGUUUGUCAAAAAAAAUAUAUAUAUAUGUAUAUAUAUUCAAUGGAGCACCUCAAUACUAAAUGAAUCCAUGUAUUCAACUUUGGAUAGACUUUUAAAUAAUGACCAAACACUUUAGCUGUUAAAUUGCCACAUCACAGCUGCAACACAAUAAUUCCAAACGUCUUCAUUGCAAAAUAGUUGAAUGAAUCUAAGUCCACUGGCUUCGUCAUUUGAUUUUCAGCGAUCUAUAACGAGGAAAAUGAUAUUGGAACCUACACCAUCAAAGCGGUUGAUGAUCCGAGAACCUUGAACAAAAUCCUUUACAUUAAACCCCCUGGUAAUAUUUACUCAUUCAAUGAUCUUGUGUCCUUGUGGGAGAGAAAGAUUGGCAAAACCCUCGAAAGGGUGUACCUUCCGGAGGAGCAAGUCCUAAAGAAUAUUCAGGGUUAGCUAUAAUUCUUACUUUUUAAAUUUUAUCAAAGAGAGCAAUAAAUUUUGUGCCUUAUUGAUACUGUCUUCCCGAAAAUGUUGCAGAAGCUGCACCAGCUGCACCUCCAGUCGACGUGAUAUUAUCAGUUCAGCACUCUGUUUUCGUGAAGGGAGAUCAAACCAACUUCGAGAUUGAACCAUCGUUUGGAGUUGAGGCGUCGCGGCUUUAUCCUGGUGUCAAAUACACUACAGUUGAUGAGUACCUCAAUCAGUUUGUGUAACCCUACUCUGCUGAGCUGCAGCUUGCGGGACCUUAGGAAAUAAAUAAUUGGCUUGUUGCCAUCUUAAUUUUAUAUAUAUAUAAACAUUAUGGUUGUUGGUUGUUGGCCUUUCUUUUGGUUUUCGAUGGAAUUUGUAACACCAUAUUAUGCCCGCUACGUGAGUACACCAGUGAUCAAGUAAAGUAGCCCUAUGUGCUUGAUAUAAAAUAAUUAUAAAGUCAGAAACACCUAGAAAUUAAAAGGUAAUUCAUCAACAUUUGUCACGUAAAAUUUACUUUAUGGAAGAGAGAUUCCAGGAACCAACUUUAUGAGUGAGAAAAGUGUAAAAAUCCAAGAUAUAUGAGAAUCAAUAAUGAUAUAACCAUAAAUUAUUGUACAAAUCUUUUUAUACAACCUGAGUUGGCAGCUGAUGGGUACUAACCACGUCACUUAGUUAAAUCACCCCAAGUUAACGGCGUAAAAGCUUUUUUUUUUCCUAUUUUCCUAUUUCUCCCAUUCACGUCUUCGCGAGCUCCUUGGGCGACGGCUCCAACAUCUCUCUCUUUUGCCGGCGACAAUCUUUGCUGGUUUCGCUCUAUUUUACGACAACAAUCUUCCUAUGCCAUCGAAUUUUUUUUGGGUAUGUCCUAUAAGAUUUUAUUUUUAGAUCUAAAACUAAUAAUAUUCAUUAGAUUAAACCAGUCGAAGUUAUCAAAACUUCAACAAAAUCCACAAAGGAGAGAGAGAAAGUAAAGAAAUUGAAAUAAUAAUAAUUAUUAUUUCCUAUUCUAUUUAGAUAUUUGUCUCAUCUUUCGGCACUUUCUCUUCAAUCUCCUCGUGCGCUUCUUCUUGCACUUGGCUCUCAUGGUGAUUGGGCUGUAAAGAUUAACAAAUUCUCUCUCAGUGGCCUUCGGAAUCAUGGGUGAAAAUCGGUAUGUCCUAUAAGAUUGCUUGAUUGAGAGUGUUUUCAAUUUUCUUCAAAUUGCGGUUGGUUUUUUGUUUAACAUAGCAAAAGCGGAUUCAAUCCCCCCCCCCCCCCCCCAAACAAAAGACUCAAAUUCAAUUAGAAAAAAAUCGAAAUAAUAAUGGCACAUCAUGGAAGAUUGUAAAGAAAAUACCCUUAAACUAUCUGGCAAUUUUAUAGACAAACCGAAAAAAAAAUAUGGUGGCAAAGGAAGAUUGUAAACGAAGAGCCGAAGUCAUAAAAGGAGCCCGCGAAGUCGUGAAGUCAGAGAAACAGAAAAACAAAAAUUAAAAAAGAAUGCUUUUUAUUUGAAUUUAUAAACCGUAUAGGUUUAACUCCGUUAGCUUAGGUUUACUUACCUUGAUGAUGUGGCCAAAGCCAUGUCAGUUGCCAAUUUAAGUUGUAUAAAAAAAAUUUAUACAAUAGUUUGUGGCUGUAUCAUUAUUGUAUAAAAAUAUAAGGGCCAGACCAUGUUGCAUUAAAUUCAUGAGUUGUGUCUCAUGAUAAUUAUUUCACAUGUUGCCAUUCUUUAAUUUUGAAUAACAACAAUACUACAUGUUACAUAUAAUUUAACAUAGUAUGACCUAUUUUCUAAUAUUAUUUUAAUUGAUUUGAAAUUCUGGAAUUAAAAAAUUGAAAAAAAUGGACCGAGCAUUGUUAUGAACCAAAAACAAGCCAGUAUUAUGCUUAAAUCAUUUCCUUGCACAGGAAAACUUAUUCAUAAUCAUAAUGGUAGGAUCAAUUAAUUUUAUUAUUAUGUAAAGGUUAUAACUUAAUAAAAGUAUAGUUACAAAAAUUAUUAUUUUAACUUAAUCAUCUUUAGUGCGAUUGAUGUAGAGAUAAAAAUAUGCACUAUAUUGAUAAUUAAUUAAUGUAGCAUGUCAUAUUCAAUUUACAGAUGACGACAAAAGAGAUAGACAUACUCUUAGAAAAAUAGUGCAUAUAUCUACGUAGUGUUGGAAUUAUACAAAGUUAUCUUGAAAGUCUAAAAAAUAAAUCAUUAUCCCAAAUAAUUUUAGAAAAAUAUUUUACUCUUUCUUAAACCUUUAAUAUAACACAACAUAUAUAUUUUUACAAUUUAUUGAUAAUUAUUACUAUAUAGAGGUAAGUUUUUUAAAACUGGAUUUAGAAAAAUUAUAAGUUAUUAUAAUGUAGAAUUUCUUACUAUUUAGCUUGACAAUGAAUGUUGUGCUUGAGCCAUACCAAGCUCAAGCCCUACCCAACCCUAUGACUAAAAUGAAAGGUCUUAACCCUUAAAAUACCCGACCCUUCAAACCAUGGAAUAGGCUUGGGCUUUAUCCAAGACCGGCCACAAUUUUUUUUUUUUUUAGAAUAGAACUCUUAUUUUCCAUUCUUUAGUAAUAAUAUUAUAUUAUUAUUGUUUCUUUUUUGUUGAAUCUUUUGUAAGGAAUUUAAUACAUUAUUUUGUUAUUUUACUUUAACAAUAAUACAACAUCUAACAAUCUAACCAAAUUAACAUAUUAACCAAACUAACAAGUAAAUAAACUUAGGGUAUAGUUGUAAUUGCGUUUGUGGCAUGUGUGUUUUAAUAACUUUUAAGUAAUACAUUUUUUAUUUCAAAAAUUAAUUUAAGAUUCAUGAGUCAGAUAAGAAUUUUUUUUUUGAUAAAACCUAAAUCUUUAUCUAAAUAUAAUUGUGCUUUGAUUCCUUAAUCUUAGAGUUUUAUUAAAAAAAUAAACCCCCUCUUCUUAUUUUAUUAUAUAUAUAUAUUUGUUUUUGUACGCAUAUCUAUAAAACUAUAAAAUGUUGAGAUAAUGUUUAGAUUAGGUUGGGAGGUGGGGAUAGUUGACAUGUGUUUUUAAAUAUGUGUGUUUUUUUUCUCUUUUCUUUUUCUUUUUAAAUAAUAAUAAUAAUAAUAAUAAUAAUUUUUUGUCUAUGAUGGUUGUGUAAAGACUCACGACUUUUGAGACGCAUUCUAAUAGUAUGUUGUAUUAUAUUUUGAUUUUAAAAUUCAUAGUAAGUUGUUUUUGUUCCCUUUUUCUUUGAAUUACUCAAAUUUAUAAACUCUCCAAUUUGUUAUUAAGUCAUUUAAUUGUUUACUCAUUUAACAGGUAUUAUUGAAUCAUUCUUCACACACGCACUAUGACACAUACUAGUGGGUUGUAAGUUAAAAGUGAUGCAGCAUUUAGUUCUUUUGAUUUAUUAGGGAUAAUAUCUAAGAUAGUAAAAAGUGUAUAUUGUAUAUUUGAAUGUGUUUAAUUUUGCUAUAUGUAGAACUCGAGUAAUUAAGUCUGUAGGGGUGUUUCAACACCUAAGGUCAAUUGGUCUGGGAGUCGUUGGCAUAAAGCUCGCUCAUGAGUUAUAGAUAUAUUGUUUGCUUAUUAGAAAUCCGAGUAAUUAAGUCCUUAAGGGUGUUUCAACACCUAGUGCCCUAGGCCGACUGAUCUGUGAGUCACUGGCUUAAAGCUCGCUACAUGGGUUAUAAAUGUAAUGUUUUAAAAUUCAUGUGAAUAAUCUACUACCUAAAGAUAGAAUUUCUAAUGAAUUUUGGAGCGAAAAUGUUGUUUUUUUCUUUUAAUUACUUGAGUACAAAAGAAGUUUGAUGAUAUUCUAGAUAAUGAGUAAAUGACAAAGAGGUAAAGAAAUUUGGGAGAGUUUAUUUGUUUGAUAGUUUAGAGGAUAGACAAACAAUUAUUAACUUACAUUUGAAUUUUAUAAAUCUUAAUUUAAUAUAGUGCUUUUAUUGCUAGCGGCUAGAAAUAAGUUGGUUGGAAGGUGUGAUUAGUAUUAAAAAUUGUUUGCUUAUCAAGUGAUAAAACUAUUAUUUUGUGCCUAUAUUAUAAUUUAUAUUUGUGUUUAUGCAAUAUAUUAGGAAUUAUUAAUUAUGUCUUAAUUAUAUUUAAUUUUAUGUAUUUUUGUAUGUUUAUUAGGUAAAAUAUUAAAUUCGUGUAAUUCAAGACGCCAAACAGAUAAACAGAUGACAAAUUUGGAUUCCGAAGGUCCGAAAAAUUUAAGAUGAGUCAAAACCAGCUUAAAAUUGAGGUUGUGCAAAAAAGUUGACUUUUCUUAUUGACCGAACACUAAUUGGAUGAUAAAAUGAGCUUACAAUAGAUAUGAGUACACUAGAUAGCCGGCAAUUUUGACUAAAUCUCAACCGUUCAUAAUUCAAUGGCCACAAUUGUGCCACGUGGUAAUGGUUGGUGAAGCAAGUUGUAGGAUCCGAAUCUUUGUAUUUGGGUCGACCCGAUCCACCCAUUAACCUGCCAAAUCUCAACCGUUCUUUGGCCAAAUCGGAUGCGUCACAUGAUGCCACGUGUAAUGUUGACUUUUGAAGUUUGACCAGUGUUGGUUAAUUUUAAACUCAAUUGCUAUUGAUGCCAAUGUGCAAGUAUACACAACAAGUAAUAAAGUUAUGAGUAUUUAAGAUCGUCUCCACAGGGAUUGAUGUUACUAAAAAUGUUACAGCAAUCACAAUAGCGCUAUCUAUCUUAAUUUCAAGAUGAAUAAAUUUAAAGUUGUUUACUCCGAAAUUAACAAUUGUAAAGAAAUCAAACAAAUAACUGCAAUAGUAAAAUAAACUAAGUAAAUCGCGUAAAAGAAUCAAUUGAGAAUGAGGUAGUUGAAUGAUCAAACUCUCUUCAUGGGCUGAUUGCUUUUCAUCAGAUUAACACCAGUUGCUAUAACAAUUCCUACAGCACUGGGCAGAAUUAUUUUGCAUCCUCAGCUGUCGCGUGUUGGACUUCUCAUACCUUUAAGUAUCCUAACAAUGACCAGUUGUUAUUCUACAUGAGGCAUGGCAUUGUGAACAUCCAUUCUAUCAACCCUACAAGGUGAAUGACUAUAUCUAGUUCUUCACAAAUCUUAACUUCAAGUAUAGUCCUUAUGGGAUUCAAGCUAAACUUAAUCCAGGAAACUCAAAUUAAGAUAAAGUAUUACUCUAAUAAUAUCCACUAAGACAGUCCUUUUUGCGGCUCUAUCUUAACUUGAACCAUUAAAUAAGUGGUCAGCCGAAAUAACAGUUAUAAUAAUAGCUACUAGAAUAAAAUGCUAUAGCAAUCAUACAACAACUCAUAAGAACAGUCAAAAACUCAUUCCGAUUGUUUGUCACCCAACUACAAGCAAGUUAAGUUCAUACUUUGAAAAAGAUAAACAAACACCAAACUAAUGGUCACGAAAUACAUUGGUCCAAUCAAAGAGUAGAGAAAAGAACAAGUAAAGGAUGAUGAAGACUAAAUCCAAAUAACUCUAUUAGAUUCUUCACUGAUGCAGACUUGGUUCCCUUGAUUUCUGAUUGUUUUCCUCUUUCCCUCUUGAUUUCUCAAUGUUAAUUCCUUGCCGUCAUUUUAUGUGAUGCGCGCCUCCUUUUAUAACUGAAAAUUAGGGUAAGCAAAAGCCUAGGACGCGCGAGAGUCAAAUUAGGAAACUAUAGAUCGCAAUCUUGCAGAUUUCCCGUGCUAAGUUUUCUCUAUCGUUGUUCCAGAAUUGCCACAGCAAUGGCUACUCCAACAACGACUCUAGCACUGUACUGCUUCAGAUUUGGUUUCACUUCUUUUGUGGCCAUAUUCUUCAUCUUUUGUGCCAGCCUAUUGCUUCCACAUUCUUUCCCUGAAUCAUAAGCUUCUGGAAACCUACGAUUUUGCACACAAUUUGAUCACAAAUUAAUCUAAAUCAAGUAAAAUUUAUUAAGACUAAAAUAAAAUGAAUGUUUAUGCAAAAUGUAACAAAAAUGCAAUAAAAACACAGCAUUUGCUCUCUAAGUAAUCUUGUUUUCAGUCUAGAAUUGCCGUAAUAACUCUCAUUUCAUAGAGUUAUCAACCAGCCAUUAGAUCGUGAUCUAAUGGCUGUGAGGAGCGCAUGUAUAAAACUUAUGAUGGGCCGCAAAACACUGGAUUAUGAAUUUAUUUUUCUAUAAAUAAAGCCUUAUUUUUAUGUUUUUUAUCAUCUCUCUUCUUCUCAAUUUCUCUCAAUCUCCCUAUGAUCUUGUUUUUCAGGUGUGUUUUUAAUAUUUUUCUUAAUUAUUUUUAUAAAUAAAUUUAGUUUUAUUUUCAAUUUUAGUUGUUUUUAUUCAUUUUAAUUAUGAGUAAUUUAAUUUUAAUAAUUCUUUUUAUUUCAAUUAUGCUUAACUAAAUAAUAAUAGUUAAAGUUUUACCUUCAUAUUCCUUCUUGUCUUGUCUCUGGGACAAGUUUCGUUUGUCUUGUCAUUAGGGCAAGUUUUAUCAGUGGUCAUUCUAUCCAUUUUUUUCUUCUUUUACUUUGCAAUGGCCAAUAAUGAGGGACAAUCAGAACUUGAUAUCAGUAAUGGAUAUGCUAGCAUGACCAUUGAUGAUGAGGAGGAUGGUGGGUUGAGUAUUGAAGGAGAAGAUGUAGAUGAAGGGAACAAGGUCAAGAUUGAUUACCGAUGUUGCUUGGUGGCAGAUUUCUGACGAAUAAGGUGAUUAAUUUUGCUGUUAUGAAGAACACAAUGGCUUCUAUUUGGCGGCCAGGAAAGGGUGUUUGCAUUAAGGAUUUAUCACCUACGCUUUUUUUAUUUAAAAUUUUCCAUGAGAUUGAUGUAAAUCGGGUAUUGGAGUCAGGACCAUGGAUUUUUGACCAGCACAUUCUGCUGGUUAAAAGGUUAGAGGAGAAUGAACAACCUCAGAUUGUUCCCUUAUUUUUUGCAUCUUUUUUUAUUUAAAUAUACAACCUACCCAUUGGCUUUAUGUCUAAAAUUUUUUUGAAGAAUAUUGGAAACUAUGUUGAUACUUUUUUGGAUUCUGAUGAGCAUAAUUUCAUGGGAGUGUGGAGUACCUAUAUGUGCAUUCGGGUAUCCAUUGAUGUUAGAAAGCUUCUUAAGCGUCGAAUGAAACUUUAAAAGGAGGGUGGAGAGUGGAUUUGGAUUGAAUUUAAAUAUGAACGAUUGAAUAUUUUAUGUUUCAUUUGUGGACUACUUGGGCAUACUGAAAAACAAUGCCUGAAGUUGUAUGAUUGCCCGUCGGGUGAGGUUGUGAAGGCUUAUGGUCAUUGGAUGAAAGCGCCGAACAAGAGGAGUCAGAUGAAUUCUGAUGAAAGGUGGCUGAGAUCGGAGAUGCCGAACGAGUUCAACAAUGGAAAAGGUAACAACGUGAAUUUUGCUGGUAUGGCGAUUGAUUCGGUUAUUAGCACAAAUCCUAGAGAUCAUGUGCUAAAAAUAAGGGAUUAUAGUGUCAACACAGGGAUUGCGGGGAUCAAUAAGGAAAGCAGUAUAUUGCUACCAAAUAGGAGCCAUUUGCGUAUCAAUGACAAGUCAACAAUGGGAAUCACUAAUGAUUUGUGCGGGAGUAAGGAUUUUGAAGAGGAACAAGAAGCUGGCAUUAUUGUUAAUGAUUCAAAGAGAAGACGAUCUCAAGUUGGGCCUCGUAGCACUGUGGGCCUUAAUGAUGAGUCAUCUACUCAAGUGAUGGAUAUAUCAGUUGAGCUAAAAAAUGGGCAAACGGUGGGACUUGUGACCUAGGCCCACCGAGAUAAAUAAGCAUGCUAAGCUGGAAUUGUCGUGGGCUGGGCCACCCAUGGACAAUUCAAGUUCUAAUAAACCUGGUCAGAUGUAAAAAACCUUCUAUAAUUUUUCUUAUGGAAAUUUUGUGUAGUAAAAAUAGAUUAGAGAGUAUCAAGUUAAAGCUGGGAUUUGAUGGGCUUUUUGUGGUGGAUUGUGUAGAACGUAGUGGUGAGCUUGCUCUUCUUUGGGAUGCCAGUACUAAUGUUUCUUUAUUGAGCUAUGCUAGAAAUUUUGUUGAUGUCCAUGUUGAGGUCUCUAGUUUGGGUGACUGGAGAUUGACUGGUUUCUACGGUUUUCCAAAAUCGUGUCGUCGUCGCCAGUCUUAGGACUUGUUUCGACUUCCUUCUUCUUCCUCUGCUGCCCCAUGGGUUUGUCUUGGGGAUUUUAACGACUUAUUAACGGCCAGUGAGAAAAGAAGUAGACUUGAUCAUUCUAAUUGGAAGCUUCAGGGGUUUAAGAGUGUUAUUUCUGAUAGUAGUUUGCUUGAUGUUGGGAUGGAAGGUUAGCAAUUUACUUGGGAGAGAUCCCGAGGGUCAGCUGAUUGGGUGGAGUUACGGCUUGAUAGAGUUUUCACCUCGGCUGAGUGGCUUAAUCAUUUUGCUCGGGUUAAUUUUAUGAGUUUGGAGGCUUCUUGUUCUAACCACUUGCCUAUUUUUAUGGAUCCAAAUCCUAUUGUUCAUAAUAAUAGGCAUUGGAGAUUUCGUUUUGAGAAUUUGUGGCUGCGGGAGGGGGAAUGUGUUGAGGUGAUUAAAAAUAGCUGGGCCGCUUCUUCAGGUUGUUCAAUUCAGCAAAAGAUUUUGAGGUGUAGUGCUGACUUGUUUCAAUGGGGAGGUUAUUUAGCUCGAGAUCUUCGCAAGCAUAUUUCCGAUUGUAAAUGUCUCAUGGCUCGAUUAAGGGGGCGGCGUGACCAGGUUGGUGUGGAUGAAUUUGUUGAGGCCAUGAAUCGUUAUAAUGCGCUCCUCCAUAGUCAUGAAGUCUUCUGGAAGCAAAGAGCAAAAUCCCUUUAGCUUAAGGAGGGAGAUAUGAACUCGCGUUUCUUUCGUGCCACAACUUCAGUAAGGAAGCAUAGGAAUUCUCUUAAAAGGUUGUGUAAUAGUCAGGGGCAUUGGUGCUCUAAUCAUGAUGAGAUUGAUGUAAUGAUUGUGGAGUAUUUCAGUACGUUAUUUAAGACUAAAGGUUGUAGCAGUGCUGAUGUCUUAGCUUGUGUAAAGACGAGUAUUACCGAGGAUCAAAAUAUGACACUCUUGGCUCCAUUCUCUGCUAUUGAAAUUAAAGAUGCCCUUUUUUAUAUGCAUCCAGAUAAAUCUCCAGGGCCUGAUGGUAUGAAUCCUGCAUUUUAUCAAAAGUUCUGGCAUAUUGUAGGUGAGGAUGUGGUACUAGCUUGCUUGACUUUCAUUAACAAUUGUUCCUUUUUUGUAGGAUUGAAUGACACCUCCAUUGUUUUGAUUCCGAAAAAGCAACAGCUUGAGACUUUAGCAGAUAUGAGGCUCAUUGCGCUAUUUGAUAAAGAGUAUUCUAGCUUCUUAUAGUCGUGCUUCUGGGCAAAAAGUUAAUUUCAGCAAAUCUUCUAUUUCAUUUAGCUCUAAUGUGCUUGCUGAUGUUGUUAGCCAGGUGUGUGGGGUGCUGGAUGUUAAUGUUACCUCUGAUUAUGGUGCUUAUUUGGGUCUUCCCUUUUGUAUUGGAAGAAAGAAAAAAGUUGUGUUUCAAAGCAUCCAUGACAAAGUUUGGCAGAGGCUUCAAGGAUGGAAUACGAAGCUGCUAUCUAGAGGCGGAAAAGAAGUUUUACUAAAAACAGUGGCGCAAGCAAUGCUUAAUUAUAUAAUGAAUGUCUACCUUCUUCCGCUUGAUCUUUGUAAGGAACUUGAAAUUAUGAUGAACUCGUUUUGGUGGGGUAGUAAGCGCAAUGGUGGUGGUGGAAUUAAAUGGAUGAAGUGGGAGCGUCUAUGCAAGCCGAAGGAUUUUGGGGGGUUAGGUUUCAAGUAACUCCAUAUCUUCAAUAUUGCAAUGUUGGGUAAACAUGUGUGAAAUCUGUUGACAAACCCAACUUCUCUUGUUGCAAAGGUUCUUAAAGUCCGUUAUUUUCCUAGAUCCUCUGUUUUUUAUGUUAGCUUGGGGUUUAAUCCGAUUUUUAUUUGGCGCUCCAUAAUGGCUUCAAAGGAUGUUGUUAUUAAAGGAAGCAGACUUCAUAUUGAGAGUGGGCAUCAGGCCCUCAUUGGGAAAGCUCCUUGGCUUCCUAACUCUGAUUGUGGUUUCAUUACUAUUGAUCUGCAUGAGGAACUUGCAAUGGCUCCAGUAUGUAGUUUGAUGAUGGUUAAUCAGCGUCGAUGGGACUAUGAUGUUGUGACCGACUUAUUUAAUGCCAAAAAUAGAGAUCUUAUUCUGAAAAUACCGCUUAUCACUCGUAGGGAUCGUGAUGUGUGGUAUUGGUUGGCCAAUCCUCGUGGUGUGUUUUCUGUUCGUAGCUGUUACAAGAUGAUGACUUAUGAUGCUAAUAACUCUUCCUCGAGUUUUUGGAGACGCUUAUGGAAAUUGAAUGUGCCGGGUAAAGUGAAGAAUUUUCUUUGGCGUGCUGUUAAGAAUGUUCUGCCUACAACUGAUAACCUCCUUAGUCGAGAGUUCAGGUGUUGCCUACUUGCUCUGUUUGUAAUGCCUAUAAUAAGUCUGUAAUUCAUGCUUUGGUGGAAUGUGGUUUUUCCAAAUCUUGCUGGAUUGCUUCUCCUGUUGGCUAUGUUGGUCAAAUGUCUUCUUUUAUGGAGUGGCUUGGUAUUAUUUUUUCUCGUUGUAACAAAGAAGAGUGUGAGCUUGCUACUAUGAUUUGUUGGAGGAUUUGGGCUCAUCGUAAUGAUAAAGUUUGGAAUAAAAGAUGUGGUCGGUUUUACCAAAUUCUCAACUCUGCUAGCCACCUUUUAAACUAGUGGCAAUCUUUGAGAAAACAAGUUAUGUUUACUGAUGUAGAUGAGAGCUGCUUGGUUCAGGGGUUGUGUGCUGGGAAAGACCUCAUGUUGGUUGGGUUAAAUGCAAUGUUGAUGCUGCUGUGUUUUCUUUUCAAUCGAAAAGUAGUUUUGGCUGUGUGGUUCACAAUUCUGAUGGUACUUUCUUGGCUGCAAAGUGUGAUAGUUUUGCUGGCAGUUUUGGGGCUAGAGAAGCAGAAGCGUUUGGUGUUCGGGAGGCACUUAGCUGGUUGAAGAAUUUGCAACUUCCUCGUGUGGUAAUUGAAUUGGACUAUCUUCAAGUUUUUAAGGCUUUAACUAAGAACCAGUCAAGUCCUAAUGGCUUUGGACUCAUAAUUGAGGAAUGUCGUUUUUUAGCUCAGAAUUUGAGAGAAAUGAAAUUCUCGUUUGCCCGUCGAUCUGCGAACACUGCUGCCCAUAGUGUUGCUAGGGUGGGGGGUUCUAUGUCAGGUUCUAAAGAGUGGAGUGUUGCUCCAUCUCGUUGGUUACUGAAAAAUUUGCAAUCGUUUUUGUUUAAUGAAUUUCUCUUAAAAAAAUAAUAAUAAUAGUUAGGGUAAGGUGAAGCUCUUAGGAAAUAAAUAUGAUUUAAUCAAAUUCUAUUUUUAAUUUUAUAAAUUAAAUUAUUUUCUAUUUAAUUUUAUACAUAUUUUCUAUUUUAAAAUUUUGAUUUAUUGUAGACAAAUAAGGGAGUUUGGCACAAUAAAUUCUUAAUAUAUUAAUAUAAGAUAUGGUAAAAUUGUAUUUUGACUUAUUGCAGACAAACUAAAUUUGGCACAAUAAAUAUUUAAUCCAUAAUGAAAUUAAUGGGAAAAUAAUAUAAUUUAUAAAAUUAAUCUUUUGGGCAAUAAAUCUAAAAAAAUGUAAAAAGAAUUUAUUAAAUUUUAUUUACUACUAAGAGUGGAUCUAUAACCCUAACUAAUUUAAUAUCAUAAUUACUUUAUUGAAAUCAAGUUGUAUAAGUUUUGUUUUCAUUUUUAGAUAAAGUAAAAUAAACAAAGUAAAUAUUUUCUCUGUAGAUUGAUCUCGGACUCAUCGAGCUAUAAUAUAACAAGACACUCUUAUACUUUGAAGUUAGAAAUCACUUUUAAUUUAUGUCAAGUUUUUGACGCCGUUGCUAAGGAAAUGUUUUUUUUUGUUUCAUUUUUUUGUUUUUCAUUUUUUCUCUUUUUGUAAAUUUUCAUUCACGCCCUUUUCCUCUUAUUAACUUUUGUUUUGCCCACAAAAUCUUUCAGAAUCUUUACAUUCAUAUCACAUGGCUCUGUUCUAAACUUCUAAAAAUUACUAUCUGGCCAUAAAAUUAUAAAGAAUUUGCAAAAGAUCCCUAGACGAAAUUUCUCAUAAUAAUGAGACUUGGACUUACAUCUUGCACUUAUUUGGACUCAAUUUGGACCAAUUUGGCCUCAAUUUAGACUAAGCAAACUGAAUAUUGACUCUUAAUUUUUUUUAUUUAAUUUUUCGUAUUUAUUUUAUUUUAUUAUACGGCUGGUUUGACCGCCAAAAUUGUUAUUUAAUUUUCUAUUUUUUUUAUUAUUUUGCAUUUAUUUUAUGCUUUAUUUUAUAUUGUUAAUUUGUAUGGUGGGUUCAACCACCAAAAUUAUUAUUUAUUUUUAAUUAAUUUUUUUUAAAUUUUUUGUACACUUAUAUUAUUUGCAUAUUUAAUUUUCCUUUUUUUUUUGCAAUUUUCAUUUAGUUCUUUUGUUACUAAUUUCUUUGAAUAUUACCUUUGUGAUAUAAUUAUUGCAUGAUAUGUUGGUCUCGAACUUCAAGUGGCAGGUUAAUUCGUAGAUCUCAAUCACCACCACCAAUCAUGGACGAGAUACAAGAUGAGAAAAAAAAACAAGGAAAUUAAUAAUGUUAGCAUACCACGGCAUUGAAGUAACAUAAAAUAAAAAUUCAUCAGGGAAAGAAUCAUUGAUAGGUGUUAUAUCAGUGCAGUAUUUAGAUGUGAGUCUUCAUAAAUGAUCAACAAUGACAUUUUUGACACUCUUUUCAUUUUUUAUGGUAAGGUCAAAUUCUUGAAGUAACGAAAUCCAACGAAUUAAUCUUGGUUUGGCAUCCUGUUUUUUUGGACUAAUUUGUUGGAUUUGGUUACAUCAAAAAUUUGACCUUACCAUCAAAGAUAAAAAGGGUGUCGAAAAUGUCGUUGCUGAUAAUUUAUCAAGACUCACAUCCGAAUACUACACUUAUAUAGCACCCAUCAAUGAUUCUUUCCUUGAUGAAUUUUUAUUUUCUGCUACUUCAAUGUCAUGGUAUGCUAACAUUGUUAAUUUUCUUAUUUUUUUCAUCUUGUAUCUCGUCCAUGAUUGGUGGUGGUGAUUGACAUCUACGAAUUAACCUGCCAUUUGACGUUCGAGACAAACGUCUCAUGCAAUAAUUAUAUCACAAAGGUAAUAUUAAAACAAAUUAGUAACAAAAGAACUAAAUGAAAAUUGCACCCAAAAAAAUGAAAAUAAAAUAUGCAAAUAAUGUAAGUGUACAAAAAAUUAAAAAUUAAAAUUAAAAUUAAAAUAAAAUAACAAUUUGGUGGUUGAACCCACCAUAUAAAUUAACAAUAUAAAAUAAAGCAUAAAAAAAAUGCAAAAUAAUAAAAAAUUGAAAAAUUAAAUAACAAUUUUGGCGGUCAAACCAGCCGUAUAAUAAAAUAAAUAUGAAAAUUAAAUAAAAAAAUUAAGAGUCAAUAUUCAGUUUGCUUAGUCUAAAUUGAGUUCAAAUAAGUCCAAGUCUGGUUAUUAUGAGAAAUUUCGUACAGGGAUCUUUGUACAAAUGUUUUAUAAUUUUAUGGUCAGACGGUAAUUUUUAGAAGUUUAGAACAGAGUCAUGUGGGAUGAAAGUGACGACUCUAAAAGAUUUUGUAGACUAAACAUAAUUUAAUAAGAGGAAAAGGGCACGAAUGAAAAUUUACAGAAAGGGAAAAAUGAAAAACAUAAAAAUGAAACAAAAUAAAAAUCUUUCCCCGGCAACGGUGCCAAAAAUGCGACACAAUUUAAAAGUAAUUUCUAACUUCCAAGUAUAAGAGUGUCUUGUUAUAUUAUAUUUCGGUGAGUCCGAGGUCGAUCCAUAGAGAAAAGAUUUACUUUGUUUAUUUUACUUUAUCUAAAAAUGAAAAUAAAACUUAUACAACUUGAUUUAUAUGGAAUUAUGAAAUUGAAUUAGUUAAGGUUAUGGAUCCACUCUUAGUAGUAUAUAAAAUUUAAUAAAUUCUUUUUGCCAUUUUUUUUAGAUUUAUUGUCCAAAGAUUAAUCAAAUAAAUUAUUAUUAUUUUCCCAUUAAUUUUAUUGUGGAUUAAGUAUUUAUUGUGCCAAAAUUUAAUUUGUCUACAAUAAGUCAAAAUAUCAUUUUACCAUACCUUAUAUUAAGAUAUUAAAAAUUUAUUGUGCCAAACUCCCUUAUUUUUCUACAAUAAAUGAAAUUUUCAAAAUAUAAAAUAUGUAUAAAAUUAAAUAGAAAAUAAUUUAAUUUAUAAAAUUAAAAAUAAAAUUUGAUUAAAUCAUAUUUAUUUCCUAAGAGUUUCACCUUACCCUAACUAUUAUUAUUUAGUUAAGCAUAAUUGAAAUAAAAAGAAUUAUUAAAAUUAAAUUACUCAUAAUUAAAAUGAAUAAAAACAACUAAAAUUGAAAAUAAAACUAAAUUUAUUUAUAAAAUAAUUAAGCAAAAUAUUUAAAACACACCUGAAAAACAAGAUUACAGGGAGAUUGAGAGAAAUUGAGAAGAAGAGAGAUGUAGAGAGAUGUAGAGAGAUGAUCAAAAACAUAAAAAUGAGGCUCUAUUUAUGGAAAAAUAAAUUCAUAAUCCAGUGUUUUGCGGCCCAUCAUAAGCUUUAUGCAUGCACUCCUCACAGCCAUUAGAUCAUGAUCCAACGACUGGUCAAACUUCAAAAGUCAACAUUACACGUGGCAUCAUUUGACGCGUUCGAUUCGGCCAAAAAAUGGUUGAGAUUUGGCGGGUUAAUGGGUGGAUCGGGUUGACCCAAAUACAAAGAUUCGGAUCCUACAACUUGCUUUACUAACCAUUGCCACGUGGCAAAAUCGUGGGCAUUGAAUUAUGAACGAUUGAGAUUUAGUCAAAAUUACUAGCUAUCCAAUGCACGCAUAUCUAUUGUAAGCUCAUUUUAUCAUCCAAUCAAUACUCGGUCAACAAAAAAAGUCAACUCUUUCGUACAACCUCAAUUUUAAGCGGAUUUUGACUCAUCUUAAGGUUUUCGGACCUCCAAAAUCUAAAUUUGUCAUCUGUUUAUCUGUUUGGAGCCUUAAAUUACACGAAUUUAAUAUUUUACCUAAUAAACGCACAAAAAUAUACAAAAUUAAAUAUAAUUAAGACACAAUUAAUAACUCCUAAUAUAUUGCAUAAACACAAAUAUAAAUUAUAAUAUAGGCACAAAAUAAUUUUUUAUCGCUUGAUAAUCAAACAAUUUUUAAUACUAAUCACCAAGUCCCAACUUGACCCUAUGACUAAAAUGAAGGGCUCUAAUCCUUAAAAAACCCGACCCUUCAAAUUAAGCAACAACUUGACUUUAAUAAUUUUUUAAUAUUUUAGUUUUUUUUUAAGACUAGGACUCCUAUUCUUCAUCUUUAGUAAUAAUAAUAUUAUUAUUAUUGUUCCUUUUUUUGGUUGGAUUUGUUUGUAAGGAAUUUAAUAAAUUAUUUUUUAUUCAACUUUAACAAUAAUAGAACAUGUAACAAUCUAACAAAAUUAACCAAGCAACAUGUUAAUAAAUCAAAUACAAAAUAACAAAUUUAAUGUGAAACAAAGACAAAUAUACCUAAGGUGUAGAUGUAACCAUCUAUGUGGUGUAUGUGUGUCUUAAUAAUAUUUUUUAUUUUAAAAAUUAAUUUAAAUAUCAAGACCUGGGACAGAGCUUUUUGGUAAAACCUUAACUCUAACCUGAAUGUAAUUAGGUCCUGAUUCCUUAAGCCCUAACCCAACGUUUAACCCUUUAAAUUUGAGCUAAAGUAGGUCGGAUCAAUCAGGCCAAGGGUCAGAUCAAUCACACCGAGGGUCGGAUCGACCCUUUUUAUCAUCCUAAUAAUUACCUUAAAUUAAAAUCACAUUUUUUAAAAAAUUAUAUAAAAAUUAUUCUUAUACAAAGUAACAAUAUAUGACCCAUUAAGAAACGAACCUUUUAUCCACAAACAAAAUUUCAAAACCCACUUAUAGACCUCAAAAGCAUUUUAGUCCAUUUAAUCAAACAUAAAAAUACAGGUACCAACUGGUUAGCUUACACACUUCCCAUACAAAGGCACGGGUCUUAUUUCAUUAAAUAAUAAGAGUAUCACCAAAAAGCACUUCAAAUAAAAUUUUAUUACUUAUUUGAAGAGUCACAUCAAUAUUUAAGGCUCCAAAAGACACUUCAAUUAAAAUUUUUCAAAUAAAAAAUGAUUCUCUCUCUUUAAAUUUAGAGAGUUGUUUUCUCCCUCUUCAAUUUAUAUUUUAUUACUUUUCAUUGGCGAAAGAGAUAGAAGUAUUUUAAUUGCUAUUGACUUUUCCUUUUAAAAAAUAAUUAUUUGAUUAAAAUAAUAUUAAUUUAUUUCUAUUUGAAAAGUCUUUUAGAGAAUAUCAUAUUUUUUCACCCUUCUAUUUGCCACAUAGGUAAGCAAAUAGAUAUUUGAAGAAUAAAAUUUAUAGAGGCUUUUGGAGAUGCUCUAAUAAUAAGGGUCCCUCUAUGAUGCCGUAAUUUUUUUUACGGCAUCAAUAGCGUAAAAAAUAUGUACCGUUGGAUGUAAUCAAAGGUACAUAUUUUUUAAUAAUAAAAAUAUUUAAUUAUUUCAAAAAUAUUAUAACUGGUUAACAAACCGAUUGAAAAGAUUAUUUUAAAUUUUAAAAGAAAGACAAUAGAGAUACGAUAAAACACGAUCUCUUUCUUUAUCUCAUAAAAUUCACUAUCUAUUUAUCUCUCACGUUGUUGUAUUGAAAUUUGAUUCUUGAAUGCUGUCUCAUUUCCUAAAUGAUUAACCAUUGACAAGAAUUGUAAUCUCAUUCUUUUAGUUCAACUUUUUCUCAGUUUAUUGCCUUGAGUAUUUGAUAGGUAGGCUUUUACAUGUGUUGCUAGAUGGUGACAUUAGACAAGGAAUCAUGGAUUUGAUGUUCUUUGUUGUACUAAAUUCAUAUCAAAUCUUGCUUUGAUGCUAUAAUAUAUUUAGUUACUACCUUACAUUUUCUUUUUUCACAUUUGAAAACAAAUUCUUUUUAUUCAUAGGAUUACGUGACGUGUGCAGUCUUGAAGUGUGAACUUCAAAGCAUAAAGUUGCAUCGCAGCAUGUUAGCAGCAAAGUUCCUUCCCUGCAUUAGAUAGAAAACAAAACAACCGAAAUCAGGGAAUCAAGUGAAACCAAGACUUGGCUCAGUCAGCAGUUAGCCACUCAUGAUUUGUCUUUUUCAGUGCGUGUUAGGAUCCUAGUCUUAGUUCUACAUUAUUUCCUUUUCUGUUAAGGAUUAGUUACUAAGUUAUUAUGUUAUUAGGAAUUAUUAUUUUAGUAGGAUUUCUUUCGCUCUAUAUAAGGAACUGUUGUUAGAUUAAUAAAGAAUAAGAAUUGCUUCAAAAACUCUCAUUUUCCCUCUGGCCACCUCUCCUCAUUAUUCUUCUCAUUAUUUUUCUCUUCAAUUCAUUGCUCUAAAUUGCUAUCUAAGAGCAACAGCCUAACAGUGCGCUUUCUCUUUUCGACUCGAAUUCAUCCCUUCGACAAACGACAAGAUGGCAGGCAGCAAAAACAGGGGUUGAGGACCCGGUUAAUCGGUGGAAGCAGCAACCCACCAAUCGUUUAAGAAAAAGGGGCAAAGCAAGCAGAAGCCCACUUAUUAAUCUCAGUCUCUUAUUCCAUUCUCCUUUUCUCCACCCCCAUUUAAUCAUCUCCAGCAGCGACGCGGGAAAGGUUAAACCGGCAUGAUCUUGCCCACUUAUUAAUGUAGUUAUCUCUUUUUUUUCUUUUUGAAUAUCAUUAAUGUUGCCUUUCUCUUUUCGUUCCUCGCAAAAACAACAAGAGGGAUCAAAAUAGAAAGCACACCCGCAAGCCGAAGAAAACCCACACCAAAUAAGAUCUAUAGAAGAUAGGAUAACAUGUUCAAGCUUCUGGAACAGAGGCUACUGCACGCUUCAUGGAAGCAAAUUUGAUAAGGUGGUUGUAGCUGUCUUUUUCCUUGAACAAUUUGGAGAAACGAUGUUUGCAAUACCAGAUGCCUUCCAGGGCUGCGUAAUUUGAUGGGCUAAUGGAAUAACCACCAUGUGAGCACUUGAAACAUGAGAUGGGCCUGGCUUUCCAUUGCUACCUUCUCCGAUGGACACACUAUUUUACUGCAAGAAGCACAUGUUUUUGGGUCCCAGAUAACAUGCUGGCAGCUUUGCUAGGUGAUCUUGUCGAGUUAACUUCUCAAUUAACUUUGCAGGUGAUUGGAAAUUCUUGUUAAAGUUACCCGACUCCUUGAAAAGUUGUUCAAAGUGAGGCUUAAAGUAAAGAACACCUUCCAUGGAUGAGUAAUUGCUCAGCUUGAGUGUGCCUUUGCAGUGAGAGCACUUAAAGCAAGACUUAUGAUAAACAAUCCCAUCAGCAGAUAAUUGCUCAACUGGAUAAACUGUCUUCUCACAGACCUUGCAUUUCUGUUGGGUACCAAUAAAAGACAUUGCUUUUUGAAUUUUGGUUGAUAACUGCAAAAACAAUAUUGAACGUUUUGUUAUUAGCAAACUUGCAUGAUUAAACUGUACUGACCUAAAAUAUGUAAUAUUACACAGUAUAUACGAUUGGAUACACAAAUGUGUAUAGUUAUAUAGAAAUUUUACAAAUUUUAAUUUCAACUUCUUUUCUUAAAUAUAUUCUGGAUUUAGUAAACAAAAGUCACGGUUGUCCUUAAAACUACACAAGAUAAGAUGUUUUCACUUAAAUGGUAUCAAAUAAUGAAGAAUAAUAUUACAAGUUAUGUAUCUCUAGAAAGCUGUAUUUGUCAGGAGUUCAACUAAUUUUACGGUUUUCUAUUUGAAGUUUUCUACAUGACGAUAUGGCUUAAAGAAUGGUGACUGCUCAGAAUCAUUAAAGCAACCAAGUCUAUGAUUAUCAGCCAAAUUUCAUGAUUUAACUAUAUUGAUCUAGAACAUAUACUUAAAUUCUAGAGAAUUGCUUUAGUGAUGCAAGCAGAGUGAACAAGACAAUGUAUUCCUUUUGAUUACUUGAAUAAUUCGAAAAUACAGAGCUAUUGCAGUAUAUAUAGAGACAAAGAGAAUAAUGACAGCUAGCAAAAAUAUAUUACAUAGGAAAAAUGAAAACUAAUUUGUCAGAAUUAAAAUCAUGAGCCAAUCAUUUUAGACUUCUAGAAGGUUCAGCUGCUCCAUGCUUAUGUGCUGAUAUUCUUCACCAUAGCUGUUCUGCCAGCUCAAUAAAUCUGACUCAUCUUCCAUAGCAGCAGGCUGCAGAUUACAGAAGCUUAGGUGGCAUGCCAGCUUGGCUUCAAGGUCAAUUGUUGACUCCUCACAGCUGCUGUUUUCAACACCCUCUCUCAAACUCAAGGUCUUGUCAAUGACUUUGAGUUUGCUUCGAAAACAGCUAAACUUGGAGUGUGGUAGUGGCUUGGUCAACACAUCUGCAAUUUGAUCAUUGCUGCCAACAUAGUUUAUUUCCAAUUCACCCUUUGUAACUUUGUCUCUGAGGAAAUGAAGGUCUAUCUCAAAAUGUUUUGUUCUAGAAUGAUACACUGGGUUUGCUGCUAUGGCUGCUGCACUGGUGCUGUCACUUAGGAUAAUUGGUACAUUUUCAACCUCCAUCUUCAGUUCACCAAGUAAAGAAUUUAUCCAUGUGAUUUCAGUGCUGCACAGAGCCAUUGCUCUAUAUUCUGAUUCUGCCGUGGACCUUGCAACCAUGCCUUGUUUUCUCGAGCUCCAAGCAACUAGAUUAUCUCCCAGGUACACACAGUAUCCACUUAUAGAUCUUCUGUCAUCUGGAUCAGUUGCCCAGUCUGCAUCUGUGUAUGCAAUGAGAUCCAGAUGCUCAGAUUUUUUGAACCUUAGACAUAAAUUCAUAGUGUUUUUGAGAUACCUCAGCACUCUUUUGCAUGCUACCCAAUGUGGCUGUCUGGGAUCAGACAUGAACUGACUCAGCUUGUUCACUGAGAAGGCAAGCUCUGGCCUAGUCAAUACUGCAUAUUGUAGGCUUCCUAUGACACUCCUAUAGAGUGUGGGAUCAUGGAAUCUAUUCCCAACAUCCUUCAGCAAUUUCUCAGAGGUGCUGAAGGGUGUCUCUAUUCCUUUACAUUCUGUCAUCUCUGUUUUGGCCAGCAGGUCUUGAACAUACUUUUCUUGAGAAAGUAGAAUAGAGUUUUGACUCCUGAUAACUUGUAUCCCAAGAAAGAAGUUUAAAUUUCCGAGAUCCUUCAAAGCAAAAGAUGUAUCCAGAUCCUUAAUCACUUCCUCAAUGCCUUGGUUGUCACUUCCAAUGAUUAUGAUGUCAUCUACAUAUAUGAGCAUGAUAACUAUCUUUGAUUCAACCCUUCUGAAAAACAAAGAUGUGUCACUCCUGGAAUUUUUGAAUCCCCAAGAACUCAAAGCACCUUUUAGUUUAUCAAACCAUGCUCUCGGAGCUUGCCUCAGUCCAUACAAAGCCUUUUUUAGUUUGCAGAUGUAGCUUGGCCUGUUCUUGUCUUCAAAACCUUCAGGCUGUGGCAUGUAUACUGUCUCUGUCAAGUCACCAUUCAAGAAGGCAUUGUUUAUGUCCACUUGCCUAAGCAACCAGUCAUUGUUUACAGCCAUGGUUAGGAUGAUUCUAAUAGUUGCAGCCUUAACAACAGGGCUGAAAGUUUCAUUGAAAUCAAGCCCUGGGGUCUGCAAGAAUCCCUUUGCAACCAAUCUGGCCUUAUACUUAUUAAUGCUGCCAUCUGAGUUUUCCUUCACUUUGUAGACCCACUUAUUUCCAAUCAGUUUGCAAUUUUGAUUGUUUGGUAUCAAGGUCCAGGUUUUACUCUUCAUCAAUGCAUGAUAUUCAUCCUCCAUUGCCUUUUUCCACUUGGGAUCCUUCAAAGCAUCUAAGGUGUUUUUGGGGAGUAGAGGUUGUGUUCUACUAGAAACUUGGAACAGCUUUGGUUUGAAGAUGCCAGCCUUGGAUCUUGUUACCAUGGGGUGUGAAGACAAGGUGUUUUGUGUGGGAAGGUUUUGAUUGUUUGUUUAUGUGAUUUGAGGUGGACUGUGAGUUGAAGGGCUACCUGAUAUUGAGUCAGUAUCAUUUACCUGUUGCAUUUCAUUCUGAACUGGACUUGGGCUGCAUUCUGUGUUUCCAGUAGUGUCUAGAGAGUUGCCAUGAGCUGUUGUCACUUGUGUGAGGCUAUGGGGAUCAUUAACAGAAAAAGACACAACCUGAAAUUUCUCAAGUAAAGCAACUUCAUCACCCUCUUUUACUGACUCUUGUUUCCUAAAGCUAGAAUCUUUUUCGAAAGGAAAAGAGUUUUCAUUGAAUUUGACACUGGCUGAGAUAUAGAUUCUACCUGAAUUACUCAUACAAACAUAACCUUUGUGAACACUGCUGAUCCCCAAUAGGAUACAUUUGGAGGUGUGAAAAUCAAAUUUGUGUUUGUUGUAUGGUCUUAGAAAUGGAAAGCACUCACAGCCAAAAAUUUUAAUUUGUGUAUAAUCUGGUUUGAGAGAGUAUAAUAAUUCAAAUGGUGUCUUAUUCUCAAGCACAGGUGAGGUGAGUCUGUUAAUGAUGAAGGUAGCAUAGCUGAAAGCUUCUUGCCAAAUUUUUAAGGGCAUUUUGGCUUGAGCAAGUAGGGCAAGUCCAGUCUCCACAAUGUGUCUGUGUUUUCUCUCAACCUUGCCAUUUUGUUCAUGUAAGUAUGGACAUGAAUGUCUUAGAGCUAUUCCCUCUCUUUUCAAAUAUGGUUCAAAGGCUUUGAAUUCUCCUCCCAUGUCUGUUUGUAGUGCUUUGAUUGUUAAGUUCAACUGUUUUUCAAUCUGAUUUUUAAAGGUAAUGAAGGUAUCAAGAGCUUGAGACUUGGCUGCUAAAGGAAAGAUCCAUGUGUAUCUUGUUCUGUCAUCAACAAAGGAAAUGUAAUAUCUGUGUCCAUGAGUGGAUAGAAUUGGUGCUGGUCCCCAAAGGUCUGUGUGAAUUAAUUCCAGGGCUGUCUUAGUUUUGGUUUCAGUGCUUUUGAAAGUUUGUUUUGAUUGCUUUCCAUAUUGACAUGCUGAGCAGAAUGAAGGAACAUCAUAUUUAUUAAUUUUGAGCUGAUUACAUGAUAGCAAGGUAUUUUUCAAGACUGAUGUACUAGGGUGUCCUAGUCUGGAAUGCCAUAGAUUAAUUUCUGCAUCAGCUUGCUGACUGUUGCUACUUGACUCAUCAGCUACAUUUGACUUGACACUGACUUUGACAGACUCAUUACUUAAAUUGAAGGACAACAUGGACACAGGACAACUAAUGUUGUUUAUUGACUCUGACUUUGACAAAAUUGAAAAUAAAGCAGCAGAAGGAAUUUUGUUCCUGCUCAGGAUAGCAGGUAGGUGCAUCAGCUCAUAUAGCCCAUCUCUAGCCACUCCUUUCACCAGAAUUUUCCCUUGUCUCUUGUCCUUAAUAAAACAAACAAGUUUUUGAAACUCAACAUCAACAUCAUUGUCAUGCAGUAAUUUAGAAAUGCUAAUAAGGUUCUUGGUUAUGUCAGGCACAUAUAAUAUAUCAGUUAAGGUAAUGUGCUUGUGUGGAUCAUAAGUGGGCAAGGCAGAAUAACCAAUAUGACUGAUCAGAAGCUUUUCACCAUUACCAACAGCUAGUUUAUUUUUACCUUGGUAUUCAGAGUUGAUGCUGAUAUUUCCAAGAGUGUUUGUCACAUGAUUGGUGGCACCACUGUCAAGGUACCAAGCUCCACUGCUUUGACCUUCAGCAGCAGCAACAUAAGCACCCCUCUGCUCUCUUCUUCUGGUUGGUUGUGAUACAAAGUUUUUCUUGAAUCUGUGCCAACACUCAGCUGCUGUGUGCCCCAUUUUCCAGCAAAUUUGACAUGGCCCUUUUGGAUCAGAGCCAUUGUCAUCUGCCACUGCUUUUCCUUUCCCUUUGUCUUGAAAGUUCUGGUUGGUUUGGUUGUUUGUGGGGUUGUUUCCAGGGCUUCUAAAGACUAUUCCAGGCUGCUGGUGAUGAGCAGCUCUCUCACUGUUGUUCCAGCUCCUUCUUCCAUUCCUCAUUUGAGCAUAGUUUGCUUCAAUAUUCCCAGAGCUCAAGUUUUGCUCAGUUCUGUUUUCUUGACUCAAAAGCAUACCAUACACUUCUGAGAUUGAGGGAUUCUCCUGCAUUGAGUUGAUGUUAGUAACUACUGAGUCAUAUUCUGGCCCCAACCCAUCAAGCACACACAUGAUGAAAUCAUCAUCAUUCAUACUAUUCCCUGCAGCUCUAAGUGAGUUCAGUAAAGUUUUCAUUUUGGAUUAGUAUUCAUGAAUGGUUGAUGGACCCUUUUUAGUAGUUUGAAUUUGGGUUCUGAGAUAUAGUACUCUUGCCCUUGUUCUAGCACCAAAUUGGUUGGCUAGAGUUGUCCACACCUCACAGGAGGUGGAACAAUCUACCACUGUGCCAAGGACUCCUUCACUUAGUAAAGAGAGUAGCCAACUUAGUAGAAUAUGGUCCUGUUUCCUCCAAAUCUGGUAUUCAGGGUUAGGUGAGGUAAUGGUGGUUCGAUUUGGUCCAGGAUUCAUAAAGGCUUUAGGAGGGCAGACACGGCUGCCAUCAACAAACCCCUCAAGCUCAUUUGCUCUAAUGCUGGAAAUCACUUGUGAUUUCCAGAGCAUAAAGUUGCUUUGAGUUAGUUUGAUUGGAUUAGUAAAGACAUAGGUGUUGCUAGUGAUGUGCUGGGUGGGUGAUGCACUUAUUUGUGCUGUGUUUCUGGUAUUAAGGCCUGGACUUGGUGGCUCAGUGUUUUGGUUUUGAUUUUGAUUCAAUUCGUCUGGUUGAUCACUUGAAUCAACUUGUGUUGGAUUAACAUUUGUUUCAUUGUCACUGCUGCUUGCCAUAGCUAAAAGAUUGGCUCUGAUACCAACUUAAAUUCUAGAGAAUUGCUUUAGUGAUGCAAGCAGAGUGAACAAGACAAUGUAUUCCUUUUGAUUACUUGAAUAAUUCGAAAAUACAUAGCUAUUGCAGUAUAUAUAGAGACAAAGAGAAUAAUGACAGCUAGCAAAAAUAUAUUACAUAGGAAAAAUGAAAACUAAUUUGUCAGAAUUAAAAUCAUGAGCCAAUCAUUUUAGACUUCUAGAAGGUUCAGCUGCUCCAUGCUUAUGUGCUGAUAUUCUUCACCAUAGCUGUUCUGCCAGCUCAAUAAAUCUGACUCAUCUUCCAUAGCAGCAGGCUGCAGAUUACAGAAGUUUAGGUGGCAUGCCAGCUUGGCUUCAAGGUCAAUUGUUGACUCCUCACAGCUGCUGUUUUCAACACAUAUGAGUUUGCAUAUUAUAUAUAGUACGAUAGAUAAAUUCGUCCAACUAUAGAACAACUUUAAAUAAUUAAAUUCAGACUUUUCUUCUUAAAGAUAUUCACAAUUUAGUGCGCAAAGGUCACAACUGUCUUGAACCUAAACAAGGCCUGAAGUUUCUGAAUUAACUUAUAUCAAUUAACAAGGAAUAAAAUUGCAAACUAUAUAUCCCUAGAAAGAAGUAUUGUCAGGAGUUCAAAUAAUUUUACGGUUUUCUAUUUGAAGUUUUCUACAUGAAGAUAUGGCUUAAAGAAUGUUGAUUGCUCAGAAUCACUAAAGCAACCAAGUCCAUGAUUAUCAGCCGAAUUUUCAUGAUUUAACUGUAUUGAUCUAGAAUGUAUGAGAUUGCAUGCUAUAUAUAUUUGGAUAGAUAAAUAUGUCUAGUUACGACAGAACGUUACAGAAUCAAAUUCGGACAUCUCUUCUUAAAGAUAUUUACAAUUUAGUGUACAAAGGUCACAACUGUCUUCAAACUAUACAAGGCCAGAAUUUUUUUAAUUAAAUGAUAUCAAUUCCUCAAGAACAAAUUACAAGCUAUAAACCCCUAGAAAGUUCUAUAUUUUAGAAGUUCAAAUAAUUUUACAUGUUUAAUUUGAAUUUUUCUACAUUAAGAUAUGACUUAAAAAGUACAGAUUGCUCAGAAGCAUUGAAGCAACAAACUUGGAAGAUAUAUUAGUUCUUUCUUUCAGCCUUUCCCCUUAAGGACAACAACCGCCAAACAUUAUAUGCUUAAUUUUCUUAUGUUUCUACAUUUUUUUUUUCUUUGGAAAAACAAUAGAACAGUGUUUAAUUUUAAAGUAUUGGUUAUUACAUGGUUACACAGCCGAAAUCUCCUCAUGACCAUCUCUCUACUCAACAACAAAAUAAAGAUAAAAAUCCUAAAUAUCAAAUUAUAAAGAACAUAUGCAGUACUAACUUUCUUUAUCAAUAUCAAUGACUUUCUUGUAGUGAUAGCUCCCAGAUUUAUCUUGAACAUAAAUUUUUUAAAAGCUAAAAAACUUGAUUAAUUGAUAAAAAAAAAUCUAUUUAAAUUAAAUUGGAUUGAUUGACUAAAAACUCCACUCAAAUUUAAUCUUUGAUGAGAUACUGUCUGUUGUAUACAAAUAUGAGUUUGAAUUGUGUUAGUUUAUUCUGCCAACAGUCAAACUGGUUAACAUAAAUCGUUUGGAUCGUGUAGUGGGCUCAAGUUCGGCAAAUUUCAGUGACCACGCUACAAUUUCAAACAUUCUCACAAUUUCACUUAAAUAAUAUAUUUUAUUUAAUUACACAAAAUUCAAUAAAUAUAUGAUUUUUGUAAAAUAUAUGAACAUGUAUAUGAAACUGAUAUUCAUAGGAAUUUUUAAUUACACUUUAAAAUUUAUUUUAUCUAUGUAUCCUACAUCAUUCAUUAUCGACUUUUCGUAAUUUUAUUAAGUAGUAAUUUCAAGCCAAACAGAAAAGAGUUUCAACAUUUAAUUAAUUUGAAGACUCAAUGUGAGACUCAAAAUUGCUAAAAUAGUAUUUAAAUCAUAUUGUUAAUGUUAUAAGAUAACUUGAUUAUCAUGUAAUUAAACUAAUUUCAAAAUUUAUUUUGAAAGCAUGCAAACAAAUGUAAUCUAUGCUAUGAGAUUUUUUUUUUUUUUUAAUGUAUGGUGUUUGUCCAAUGGUGAAAUAUAAAUAAUAGCCUUCAAUUUCUCAUGUGGUAUAUUUUAUUGGCUUACUAGCUUAUGAAACUAUAUGCAAAUGUUGAAAAUUGGACUGCUGCAUCAAAUAUCAUGUGAUAUAUCUUAUUUGACCUUAGAUCAAUGUAUCGAAUGCCCAUAAAACAUAGUUUACUUUGUAAUUCUACAAAUUAAUUUUUACUAAUAUUUAUAUUUCAUUUAUCAAUUCAUAAUUCAUCGGGAUAAUUACAAAUUUAAUUUCUCUCCUAUUAAUAAAUAGGGGUACAUACAAGUACUCAAUAUUUGUGUGUGUGUGUGUCACUUAAUAUGUUUUAAUAACUAUAAGAAUAAUUGCCUCUACUAACUUUUUCCCAUACAAUUUUUAUUACAUUUUACCAAUUGUAUUUCUAUACUACUAUUUUGUAAAAGAAAGCUAUAAUUGACUACUCAAAAAUAUCUUCAUAUUUUUUAUUACAUUUACAUUAAAGUUUUAGUAUAUUAGAAAUGCAAAGUUUAAUUUUCAAUAACGUAACACUUUAACGAAAUCAACAUAUUAAGUGCAAUGUAUGAUAGAUGAUAUGACACUUUAAAUAUGCUACAAAGUUAAUAGGAAAAAAACCACCCACACCUCUAAAGUUUGCUUAAAUAGUAAAAAAUAAUCCCUUAAAAUUAAAAAAAUAUAAUAUAAAAUAAGAUAAAAUUUAUAAAAUUUUAUGAAUAUUAAAAAAUUUAUUUUAACAUUAUUAAUUUGUCAUAUUCUUUUAAUAAUAUUAAAAUCUAUUUCACAUACGAAUAAUAUUAAAUUAUUAUACCUAACAUUCAAAGUAAUAUAUAAAAUUUAUAUAUUUUUUUACAAUAUCUUAUUUUAUUAUGUCUAUAUUAAUAUCGAUCUUAAAAUCAAUUUUUGGAUUAAUUAAUUUUAGUAAAUCCAUCGGGAUAGACUAAAAAUAACUUAAUAUGAAUAAAAUUUUCAUCAUACACGUUAUUUUAUUAAUUAUACUUAUUGUAAUAUUUUAUCUAUAUCAUAUGAUAUUUAUUUAUCAUUUCUAUACUAUUACUAUAUUUAUAUUUAUUUAGGUUGUUUUAAUUAAAACGUAUAAUAAUCAUUUAUGAAAUUAAGAGGGUUUGUAUAACUAUUCAUGAAACUAAAUAGUUUUAUAUGAUCAUUUAAGCAAACCUUAAGGGUGUGAAUGGUUUUUUUCCAAAUUAAUAUUAAUUUAAAAGUUAUAAAUUAAUAUUUUACCUGCUAUAUUUUAAUUAAUUAAUUAAUUAUCUAUUAUAUUAAAUGAUUAAAUUUCUUACAUUUAAGGAUUCACACUAAUCCCACUGUCAAUGCUGUAAAAACACAUACAGCAUCUUAAAUAAAUCCUAAUAAUAAUAAUAAACUCUCCCGAAUUGAACCGAACGAGUCAGAAAUGGCAUCGAAAAGCAAGAUUCUAUCCAUCGGGGGGACAGGGUAUAUCGGUAAAUUCAUCGUCGAAGCGAGCGUGAAAGCCGGCCACCCGACGUUCGUGCUCGUGAGAGAAUCCACACUCUCUGCUCCUUCCAAAUCUCAACUCCUCGACCACUUCAAAAACCUCGGCGUCAAUUUCGUU